This 106211-nucleotide long non-coding RNA is filed under the name Triticum aestivum (bread wheat). Its description in RNAcentral is "long non-coding RNA (TAES_LNC006819)". The record is from RNAcentral. Lineage: Eukaryota; Viridiplantae; Streptophyta; Magnoliopsida; Poales; Poaceae.
UAACUAAAUGCACAUGUUAUAUGUACGAGUUUUGCUUAUGUCCGUAUUCUUCUUCUUCACAUGAUGCACAAAAUGUUUAAAUUUGAUGGUACAUAAGAUAAAAUAUUGUAAACAGAAUAAUAUAAGAUGCAGCGUACAUGGCAGAUUCUUCCGGUCCUCAGUGUUCCAAGUCAUGUAAACUCUCAACAGCCUUCCAGGUAACCUUGACAGAAAUUUUUGUGGAAUCAUGAAGAUACACCAUUUCAUGCACUGUUCCAUGAUACCCCGAACCAAAUCGACCUUCCCACAUACAACACGGCAGCUCUUGAGAAAAACCACCAUCUUUCGGGGAUCCUUCGAUACAAAGAAUAAGGUAACUGUAUCUCAUCACUCCUACGACCGAACUCAUUCUGCAACCUGAUUCUGUAACUCCAGAAAGGAGGCGGAUCACAUCUCUGAAGCCACUCGUCUUCGCAUAAAGAUUCAGAUUAAGGCCAUUGACAGGAGCAUGAAGUAUCUCAACAUCAACUUUUGCUUGAACUGCAUUCCACAACACCAGAAACUUCAUAUCCAAUCCACACUUUUCCCCAUACAGACGCCGAGUUUCGAUGAAUGGUCUUGUUUUGUGCAUGUUCAUAAACUCAGUAAACUCGGUACAUCCUUCAAUCAGAAGGUCAUCUUUUGGCCCAUCUUCUGGCUGGUCAUCAGUCCGUACAGAAAGCUUGAAUUCAAACAACACACGGCUUCCCAUGUGAAUACAUCGAGCAGGGCUAGUCAGCGAUAAAUGUGCAAUGCCCUACAUUAAGGAUCAACAAGCAUUACAUCAUAUAAAUAGUUCAUACUCAUUAGUUACUAGGAAUUGAUGGCAUAUCAUCACCACAUGUGCAUGAAUAGAAAAAAGACAAGUGUUCUGUUUAAUAGUGAUCAUCUGACUUUGAAAGUUGCCCAGUGAAUGAAAGAUAAAUUUGAGCUUGCACAUUAAAGAAGAGUUUGAAUGAUGCCCAAAAAUACAGAUUAUUAAUAUCUUGUGUCAUUGAUUAACAUGUGUUGUGUGCUAUGGUUCGGGAGAGGCUCUUGCACUUGGGGCAAGAUAGAAAAAUUAAUCAUCCAAUUCUUGCUUGCUUUACUCCUUAUAGAGGGUCCUCUUUGUAUAGAGGUCCUACAAUACAAUAUAGGUAACAAAUCAUAGAUCAUAUGUCUUAACUGGCUGAAUGCCCAAGCUAAAAGAUACCUUCCUAAUUUAAAAUAAAAACUUCGAAACAAAGUGAUCACAAGGAUCCUCUACCGAACUUGGUGCUGGAUGAGCCAUGUACUAAACGUACAAAUAAAACAUGCAUAGCACAAACUUGCAAGAACACCGACUAAAUCUGGUGUGAUAAAGAAAAGCGUGCAGGUAGAAAGAUGCAAGUUUGCGGAACUACCGUAUCCCGCUUCACAUUUACAGCUUCAUAAUUGUCAAUCCCACGCCUGUACACAUAGUUGCGCAAAGGUUCACCAUUCUCACGUACUGCGAAAAAACCAAAUAUAUUGGCACAUCCAGGUUGGACGUGGCGAUAACCAGCAGUUUUGAGAUCAAUGAACUGCAGCACGCCGCUCGGUACACAAUGGCAACCGUGUGAGCAAUCAAUGGCCCUAACAUUGUUGUUCACGUUGACUGAGAAAACAAUAAGGGAAGCAUGUGACAUAUAAGAGAUUUCAAAUUAGUAAGAAUAUGCUCAUAUGACGUAUGGCCACAACUGAAAUUAAUCAGAGAUUUCAAAUUAGUAAGAGUAUGCCAGAACUGAAAUUAAUCAUUUUUUUAUAAAAAUAUAUAUACCUUCAGACUCAUCAUAGAGUUGAUAUUGGCUACCGAAGAAAUGCUUGUGUUUUUCAACAAGGGGAUUGUUGAAUGCCCGGAAAAGAAACGUUGCCGAAGGGCCUCGAAGUUGAAUAUCAGGAUUUUGGAACACAGCAUCAGAUUGCUCAUCAAACUCACUACUAACCCUUGGGAAAUCAUCAACGGUAAAAGGUUGGUAUUUCUCUGCAUGAAAAAACAUUAAAAUAAUCAAGUCAAUAGAACAAAAUGAAGGAUAUUACUUUUUUCUUCUUCUAGAAUACGCAUGAGCAUCGAUAUAUUCAUAGAAGAAGGAUCUUAAGUUUAGACCAAGUAGAAGCACCAACUAUUAUUGAUACGGGAUAUAGCACAAGUUGGUUUAAAAUCCCUUGAUGAAUCACUUGAGAAAGCUUAUCUGUUAAACCAACUGCAAGCUACAUGGCUGUAUACAUGCAUAGGAAUCUAUGUUUCUCAAGACAAAGAUGCCUAUAUUACAAACAUGGUCACCGCGUGUAUGAUCCGGAAGGAACUGCACUAUGGUUCAAUUCAGGAAACUUAAACCAAGUUAGGAAAAAAAGUACCAAUCUCAACUAAUCUAACGUAGUAACUGCUCCGGUGAAAUAGCCAGCUAAUUUCAAGUCACUUGAAAGUUUCUUGGAUCAAGGACUGAUUUACUCUGUAUUGGCUAUGUGACUCUGCCGUGUGGCUUUAUUUAUAAAGUCGGACUUAGGCCUUUUUCGUAAAUAAAAAAGGACUGAUUUACUCGGGAAUCAAAUUGCAUCAGGAUACACAUGUAUUCAGGGAUCAAAUUGCGUCAUCAGGAUACACAUGGAGCCUCACCUAGGUCUUCAUCCUCGUCUUCGUCAUCAAUGACAGCCUGAUGGUCGUCGUCCUCAAUGCUGGCGGUAGACAUGGCCGAGUCUACGCCGUCGCUCGGAGGAGUUGAGGGGGAAGGUGGCCUCUUCAUUUCCGUCUCCGAUUCGCCUCCGCUGGACAUCGAUGCCGCCGCCGCCGCCAGCGAGAGGAAGAGAAAGCAAGGUACGAGUUCGAUUGGUGGAUCAGGUUGUCAGAGACAUAUGCGCUUUCUUGUCUCGGAAAUUCUAACAGGCUGGAGCUGGCCCAAUUCCUCUGAGGCCACUCUGGGUGCCUCGCCAGAUCCAGGUCACGGCGUGCCUUGCCCCCUACAUCCAUCGUCCAAAUCAAUCCUAUGGCCAAGCGAGUCAGCAUGUAGACGGAGGAAAACUGCGUGGGCUGAGGAAACAGGGAAACAGAGGCGCUUCGCGGGCGGAGCUCUGUCGGACUGAGAGGAGUGAAAUGUAAAAAACCAUCACAUUGAAGCAUAGGUUUGCAGAAAAUAUUGGUUUACGAAUUUCUAUCAAACCACUAAAUUUUGGCCUAAUCUUUUGCAAAAAAUAAUAGUCGGCGGCUUUGGCUCAUUUGCUAAUGUAUAUCUAUCUAUAUCUAUAUCUAUACCUACUAUUAAAGGGAAUAGGUAUUUUUGGUUUGGUUUAGUCCUUUUCAUUUAGUUUAUACACGCUAAGCAAUUUGGGCCAUGUAUUUGUAUGUCGAUGGGCCUUUUAUGGGCUUUUGUUUGGUUAAACACGUGACCUCCUGUCUAGCUCUUUGAUGUAACAACCAACGACCUAUGCGCCUUUCACAUUUACUAAUGCCAACUCCCUCUAAAUAUACGAGUGACAGUCAUCAUGUUUAGGGCGAGCUAAUUAAGCGAAUGAGCUAAUAAAAGACGGAUUGUGGGUUUAAAUAGAAAAUUCAAACGGAUGUGGCUAAUUAAAGAAAGGAUAUGGGUAAACCGGUGGAAUAACUAAAAGAAUGAUUGUGGUCUUAAUAAAUUCUACAUGAAGGAUUUGAGGUAAAAAGGUAGGAUAAUUAAAAAGAAGGAUCUGGAGGCUUUAAUGUGUUGGGCCUACUAAAUUAGAAAAUGAAGGAUUUGAUUCCCGACUAAAACGGUGAGGACAUCAUGGUAAUUAAUGAAAUGAUUAUAAUUAAAUGCCAUUAAGAAAGAAUUUUACUUAAAUAGAAUCAAUGUGAGAUUAUGCCCGGCAAAGAAGAACACGGUUAAACUGCAACAAAUUCUUUUAUGUUCAUUUUGUAGAAGGAUGCUAGUUGCGGCAUGUUCUUCAUAAUGAAUCCGGUAUUAUGAGACAUUAUGCUUGCAGCUAAUAAAAGAAGGAUUGUGGGCUUAAAUAGAAAAUUCAAAUGGAUGUGGCUAAUUAAAGAAAGGAUAUGGGUAAACCGGUGGAAUAACUAAAAGAAAGAUUGUGGUCUUAAUAAAUUCUACAUGAAGGAUUUGAGGUAAAAAAGUAGGAUAAUUAAAAAGAAGGAUCUGGAGGCUUUAAUGUGUUGAGCCUACUAAAUUAGAAAAUGAAGGAUUUGAUUCCCGACUAAAACAGUAAGGACAUCAUGAUAAUUAAUGAGAUGAUUAUAAUUAAAUGACAUUAAAAAGGAUUUUACUUAAAUGGAAUCAAUGUGAGAUUAUGCCCGGCAAAGAAGAACACGGCUAAACUGCAACGAAUUCUUUUAUGUUCAUUUUGUAGAAGGAUGCUAGUUGCGGCAUGUUCUUCAUAAUGAAUCCGGUAUUAUGGGACAUUAUGCUUCCACAAAACUUCUAUUUUUCCCGUUGCAACGCACGGGUAUAUGUGCUAGUGAUUAUGACAGAUGAAGCGCACCAUUUGCUGAUGUGGACUAACAGUCCACAAUAAACGACGUUAGAGAGGUCUUUUGCCAAAAAUACCUCCCCUCUCUGAAAAAAUUACCUUAAAAAAAGUCAACCACCAGAAAGCGUUCGCCCGUCCGAGCUGCGGCCCACGCGACCUGAUUCCUCUGUCCCCAUCGGAGGCGGUGGUGGCGCAGCAGCGGUGGGCGCUGCCUUCGCGGCGAGGGUGUAGCUGAGGGGCGGCUCUCCGGUCGGCGACCUGUGCCUGUGGACGCGAGGAGGGGGAGAUGGGCCCGGGACGUCGGGGACGCGCGCGGCAGCAGCGACCGCGAGUCCGACAACCCCUCCGACCUCGCCACCUCGCCCUUCUCCAUCCUCCCUCCUCACUCUUUUCCGAGCCGGUGCCGCGCAUCCCGGCUUCCCCUCCCCUUCUCCUUCCUUCCUCUGUUUUUCACAAGCAAGCCUCGCGUAGCACGGGCAGGAGCAGCACGGGCAAGCAGCGGUGCGGCCUCGCAUCCUCGUACAGCACGGGCACGAAGCAAGCAGCGGCCUCGCGCAGCACGGGCACGAGCAGCGGUGUCGACGCACAUCACUGGAGCAAGAAGCGGCGCGGCGGCGCACAACACGGGCACAAGCAUCAACAGCGGCAUGCAGCCCCGGAGCAAGCAGCGGCAUAGCCGCACGCAACAUUGCCGCGACCAUACACUGUGAGCUCCGCCGUUGCCGGUGCGUGGCGUGGGCGGCAGCCCAAGAGCGCGCGGUGGCUGGCGGCAGGCUACAGCCGAGUUGGGCAUGGCAAGGGCUUGAUUGCAUUUUGUUUUAUGAUUGAAGGGUGCCUAUGCAAAAAUACUAGGGACAAUUUGGUAAUUGUCUAACGCCAAUUGAGACCAACGGUUACGCCAUGUCAGCUUUUGUCGGCCCCGCAUGUCAUAAUCAAGGUUAAAAUGGCCAAAGCUACUGAUUAGUGUUUUUUGCAAAAGAUUAGACCGAGAAUCAGUGGUUUCCGGCGGAAAUUCAUAAACCGGUGUUUUCUGCAAACCUAGGCUCUAAUGUGGUGGUUUUCUACAAUUCACUCGGACUGAGAGCCCAAUAGUCGUCAUCCUCGAUGCUGGCGAUAGACUUGGCCGAGCCCACGCCAUCGCUCGGUGGAGUUGAGGGGGAAGGAGUCGCCUUCACCUCCUUGUGAACCUCCAUGACGCCGCCGCCAUCACCGCCAGCCAGAGGAAGCGAAAGCAAGGUACGCGUUCGGCUGAUGGAUGAGGCCGUCGGAGAAACAUAGGAAUUUCGCAACAACGACAAAAAGACACAGGACAUUCUAACCAGCUUGGCGCAUGCCAACUCGUCUCCAGCUACUUUUGGUCUCGAGGAUUUUGAAAGAAUGUCGUAGAAUUUUAGUUUAUAGAAAAUUUAAUGGAAAUAUUAAAAAGAUUUUUAGGCACGAAAAUCAAACAUUUUUCAUGGCAGUUUAUGUUAGCAUAUGGUUCACAAAUUUAGUUGGCGAGCACAACAAUUUUCUAUAAAAAUAAGUAAACUGGUCUGAAUUUGCCAUGAUCGUCAACUAAACUUGUCAUCCUCGGCAAACAUAAAUUUCCAUCAAAACAUUUGAUUUGCCAUGCCUAAAAAUCUGACGUUCGCUCGAUAUUCAUAUAUUCCGGUCCAAUUUUAAUCUAUAGUUAGGCCCAUCAGCCGGCACUUUUCACCUAUGGUUAUUUUUGGUCCCUAGUUUUUGAUGAUUGGUCGCCAGGGAGAUGCUUUCAUCGAACGAUUUCGUCCACCCAAGAGGAGCAGCUGUGAGUGAACGUUUUACCUUGUUCGUUAGAGGGCGGGAUGGUGCAAACCCUCGAUUGGACCAAAAGGCCGAGAUAACAGUUUCCAUAUUCAAAAAAUGGCACGAACAAAAAACAUAAACAUUCCUUGUUGGGAAUUGGGAUAAUUCUUGAAGUUCUCCUCAUGUCCGCCCCAGCUUGAAGCUGUCACACACCUAGAGGGCUCCUGGGUGUCUAAGAGCGUGGCGGCAUCCUUCAGCCCCAUGCGGGUGGCGUCAGUACGCGCAUCCACCAACCGAAGAUGGUAUGACCGUGUGUAAUUUAUCUAUGAUGGUCAGUAAGUGCAUCUAGUGCCCCUCAGCGAUUUUCGUGUAUUUAAGACUUACAGGUUAAGGAACAAAUAUGUUUGUGAAUGUACACAGGCUCUAUAAGUCAAUGAGGAGUUUAAUAUUUAUGAUGAAAGUCGACCCUUAUAAAUGUAUGUCUUCAACUGAAGACUUUGGUUCUCCUGAAGAUUUUGAAAGUGAAGAAAUUGGUGUGACCUUGAAGACUUGGAUAUUCAUGCGAGGAUUGUGAAGCGUGAAGACUUUUGUUUUCAUAGUUUCAUUUUCUCUUUGUUGAGUUAUAGAAAACACCGUACUAUUAAAGGUGGUCGAGGUAAUACUAAGGAAACUGAUUUUCAAGUGAUGCUCAUCUCAAAAUCCUACACCUACACAAUCCUUUUGAGUGAAGCAAUUGGAAAUCUCAUACCAGUUCAGUCAAUUUCUUCAGUGACAGAGAUAAAGAUCUUCUGGUCUCUGAGGAAUUUGUUCUGACUGAGGAGUUAAGAAUUCGCCAGUGCGAAUUGCAUACACAGUGAGGAACAUGAUAGCCCUGAGGAAUUUGAACCUCAUAUUUCUGACCGUUGUUGUGCUACGCGCGAGCUGUUCAAAAUAUCUACCCACCUAACGGUCAUAUUAUUGAAGGGCAUUUAUGUCUUAUCAUGUCGGUCUGCUCCCUAGGCUAUAAAUAGUCGCCCCCUACAACCACUAGCUGGUUGGCUGCUCCGAGAGAAACUGACACUUGUCAUUGAGAGCAUCCCAUCCUUCGAGGACUUUGAGCGAAAAUCAUCAAGUGAGGAAAAACCCAAAACCCAAACCCAGACACCUACAAACCCAAAGUGAUUGAGCAUCACUGAAGAGAUUAUUCUUGUGUGGAACCGAUGCUUGUUACCUUUGAGGACUGUGUAUCCUCCAGACGAUUAGGCGUCAUGGUCUGAGCAUCCAAGAGAAAUUGUGGAUCGCCAAGUGACCAAGUCUGUGAAGGUUUGGAAGUCACCUGAAGACUUACCAUGAGUGUUGGGCGAGGUCUGUGUGACUUUAGCUCAAGGAGAAUACGUGAGGACUGUGUGUCCGGGACUAUGUGUCCUCAGGUUUAAAUACCUAGCCGCUCCAACCAGACGUACAACUGUCGCAGCAGUUGGAACUGGUCUACCAAAUCAUUGUCUUCACCAAGCCAACUGGUUCUAUUUCCUCAACCCUUUCAUUUCCUCAUUCAUGUGAUUGAUGAACUUGCUCAUUACUGUUUGAAGACUUUGACUGAAGACUUUCUCUAUUUCCUCAGUCCUAAUUCUUCUGUCACAUAGUCUUCAACCUGCUUAUCAUGUUUUCACGCUAUCUGUACUCUGUGCUUAUUUUCAUUUCAUCAUGAUGACUAUGUUGUUGCUCUGUUAUGCUUAUACCGGAGUACUUAUUCCGCCGCUAGUGUGUCGUUGGUUAGGAAUUUCUUCACCUAGAAAUUCAUCAGUGAUGAAUUUGUAAAAAAUAGCCUAUUCACCCCCCUCUAGUUGAUAUAACGCACAUUCAAUUAGUAUCAGAGCAAGGUACUCCCUUGUUCUGUGUGAUUUUGGUUCAACUACCUGGAGUUUUAGUUAUGUCGAUUGCAGGAAUGAUCAAGAUCUUGGUUGGGUGUCCUACCUUCGAUGGGACAGACUACCCCUACUGGAAGAACAAGAUGCGCAUGCAUCUUGAGGCAAUUGAUAAUGAUCUCCGGUAUGUUGUGGAAAAUGGUGUUCCCUCAGUCACUCCGUCUGUGAAUGUUGCUGAUGUGAAGAGAUUAAAGCAACUCAACUCUCAAGCGAAGAAUAUCAUAUGUGGCCAUCUGAGCAAAGGACAGUACGGCAGAGUGAGUGCUUUGGAAAGUGCUAAGCUGAUUUGGGACAGGUUGUCCAAGGUCAAUGAAGGAGUCUCCACUCAACGUGACUCCCGAGUUGAUGUUAUUCUGUUGUAGGGUGAAACCCUAGAGGGGGUCUUUUCACACUUGGAGGGGGAAAAGGAGGAAGAACACUCAAGAACACAAGGCACAAAACACUCGAACAAACACAAAUAUCACAUCCACUAGAGUAGCAUACUUGAGAUCCACAAGAUUACAUGAACAAUUCAAGGAAAAUAGCACUAGGUAAGUUCUUCCCACUAGGUGAGGCCUUGAUGAUGAUAUUCUCCAAGAGGAGGCCUUGAGAAUCCAAAGGAUUCUUCCCUAGGUGGGGGCUUGAUCUCCAAGAGGAGGGGAUACAAGGAGCAAAGCUCUCUUUGGUGUUCUAAAAUACUUUGCUAUCCUUCCAAAUGAGCUAGGAGAUGAGUAUAUAAAGGCUAGGGAAUAAAAUUGGAGAAAGAGGGGUACAAAGGACCAAAAAGUCCCUAAAAUGCGUGGCCAUGGAAGAAGGGUCCGGGCACCCAGGGAGGAACCGGCCGGGCACCCAGACCGGUCAGAGGCCAGCGUCCACGCGGGACCGGGCACCCGGUGGCGAAGGGGCUGGGCACCCGGCUAGGUCAGGGGCUGGCGGGCAAGCGGCCGGGCACCUGGGGGUCCCAAGCCCGGGCACCCGGGGUGGCUCCCAGCGACUGGCAGGGCAUGGGCCAGGCACACGGGGCCGGUUGGCCGGGCACCCGGGGCGGGCUGGGCGAGGCCCAAGUGGAGGGCCGGGCACCCGGGGCCGGCUGGGGCGCAGCCCAGGCAGUGGCCGGGCACCCGGGGCCGAGAUGGCCGGGCACCCGGGGUGUCCAGGGGGUUCAGGCCUCCCCAUGUCUUUGAGUCCGGGCACCCGGGUCCUUCCUUCCGGGCACCCGGGGUGUCCAGGAGCUUCUCCCCUUCAUUCUUCUUGUUCUCCUCUCCUCUCCCUUGCUCCAUGGAUGCUCGAGUCUCCAUCUUCUCCUUCUCACGAUCAUCUUCUUGGUGUCUAAGAAUGCAUAGCACGUCUCUUUGAGGUAGAACCCAAUUCUCAUGUGAAACCGAAAGAAACUCGAAGAGGAUAGAAUUGACCUCGUUCUCGAUGUUGCGUGCACGUGCUCUUGUCAUUGGUCCUCUUGGUGCUUGCGAUGGUGAUGGAGUGUCGGUGCGGGUAGUCGAGGGAUGCUCCGCAUCAUCUCCCCCCCUUGGGAGAGAUCCGACCACGGAUCGUGCUCUUCAUCACCAUGGUACUUUGCCAAGUCUUUGACGUUGAAGAUGUCGCUAACGUUGUACUUGUCACGUGGGAUGUCGACCUUGUAGGCAUUGUCGUUGUAGCGUGCGAGCACCUUGAAUGGUUUGUUGGCUCUCGGGAGUAGCUUGGACUUGCGUUCCUUGGGGAAACGGUCCUUGCGGAGAUGUAUCCAUACUUGAUCACCCGAUUGGAACACCAUCGGAGACUUGUUGAUGUUGAGCUUGGCGGUGAGUCGUUGUACUUGGCGCUCGAUCAUGGAACGGUUUCUUCAUGCAUCUUCUUGAGGUAGGCGGCUCUUGCACUUGCAUCCAUGUUUGCUCGUUCUUGAAGUGGUAGAGGAAGGAUGUCCAAUGGUGACAAAGGGUUGAAACCGUAGACGACCUCAAAGGGGGACUUGAAGGUGGUAGAGUGUCUUGCGCGGUUGUAGGCGUACUCGGCGAUGGGUAGGCACUCCUCCCACUCCUUGAUGUUCUUCUUGAUCAACACGCGUAGGAGAGUUGCAAGCGUCCAGUUGGUGAAUUCGGUUUGGCCAUCGUUUGAGGAUGAUACGCCGUGGAGAAGAGUACCUUGAUUCCGAGCUUGGCGCAUAGCGUUUUCCAAAAGUAGCUUAAGAACUAGACGUCUCGAUCCGACACAAUUGUCUUUGGCACACCAUGCAACCUCAAGAUUUCCCUACAAAAGAGAUUGGAAACAUGUGAAGCAUCGUCUAUCUUAUUGCAUGGGAUAAAAUGAGUCAUUUUAGAGAAUCGAUCCAAAACAACAAAAAUGGAGUCUUGCCAUUUUGAGUCCUAGGUAAUCCAAGCACAAAAUCCAUGCUAAUGUCUUCCCAAGGUUGAUGUGGAAUAGGUAAAGGCGUAUGUAAACCAUGAGAUUGAGAGUGCGACUUAGCUUUGCAACAUGUAGAGCACCGGUUGGUGAAGCGGGCGACAUCAAGAAACAUCUUGGGCCAAUAAUAAUUCUUGGAAAGCAUGGCAAAAGUCUUGUCGCGCCCAAAGUGUCCCAUGAGUCCACCUCCGUGAGCCUCUUGCAAAAGUAACAAACGAAGAGAAGACUCGGGAUUGCAUAGUUUGUUAGCUCUCAUAAGAUAACCAUCUUUGAUAUAAUAUCGUUCCCAAGAAGUAUGUGUCACACACUUAGCAUAAGGAGUAGCAAAAGUCACAUCACUCUCAUACAAAUCUUUGAUAUGAUCAAAUCCAACUACAUUCAAUUCAAGUUGAGUAAGUAACAUGCAUUUGCGGGAAAGGGCAUCCGCCACAACAUUUUCUUUGCCCUUAAUGUACUUGAUCACAUAGGGAAAAGAUUCAAUGAAUUCACUCCAUUUAGCAUGUCGUUUAUUCAACUUGGUUUGACCUUUAAGGUAUUUAAGUGUUUCAUGAUCGGUAUGUAUGACAAACUCAUGUGGUCUAAGGUAAUGCUCCCAAACAUGCAACACACGCACUAAAGCAUACAAUUCUUUGUCAUAGAUGGGAUAGUUAAGUUGAGCACCGGAGAGUUUUUCACUAAAGUAUGCAAUAGCUCGCUUUUCUUGCAUCAAAACUCCACCAAUUCUGGUACCACUUGCAUCGCAGUGAACCUCAAAAUUUCUGUCAAAGUUGGGUAAAGCAAGAAUCGGAGCAUGAGUAAGCAAAGAUUUGAGCUCAUCAAAAGUGGUAGGUUGCAAAGGUCCCCAAACAAAAGGAGCAUUUUUCUUACUCAAAGCAUGCAAAGGUGCGGCGAUGGUGCUAAAACCUUUCACAAAGCAACGAUGGAAACCCGCAAGGCCAAGAAAGCUACGCACUUAUUGCAAAUUAGUGGGUUGGGGCCAAGUUUUAAUUGCUUCAAUUUUAGAUUCAUCAACAUGGACACCCUUUGAGGAAACAACGAAACCCAAGAAGACAAGCUUGUCAACACCAAAAGUGCAAUUUUUCAUGUUGGCAUAAAGACGUUCCUUGCGAAGAGUUUGCAAAAUGGCCCUAACAUGAUUUAGAUGAUCUUUGAUGGAUUUGCUAAAAACAAGUAUGUCAUCGAAGUAGACCACAACAAACACUCAAAUGUAAGGACAAAGCACGAAAUGCAUAAGACGCAUGAAAGUACCGGGAGCUUCCGAUAAACCCAUAGGCAUCACCAACCACUCGUACAAGCCAAAUUUUGUUUUGAAAGCGGUUUUCCAUUCAGCACCUUCUUUUAUGCGGAUUUGAUAAUAGCCACUUUUAAGAUCAAUUUUUAAGGAAAUGGUGGCGCCGCUAAGUUCAUCUAGCAUAUCAUCUAGGCGAGGAAUGGGAUGCCUAUAACGAACGGUGAUAGCAUUGAUGGGCCUACAAUCUGAGCACUUGCGAAAACUACUAUCUUGCUUGGGCACAAGUAUAAUCGGAACGACACAAGGGCUUAAGAUUUCACAUACAUGUCCGUUGUCGAUGAGUUGUUGUACUUGCCAUUGGAUCUCCUUAGUUUCUUCGGGGUUGACGUGGUAGGGAGCCUUGUUUGGAAGAGGUGCGCCAGGGAUGAGGUCGAUCCUAUGUUUAAUGCCACGUAGAGGAGGGAGACCGGGAGGUAGCUCAUCGGGAAAGACAUCCUCGAAUUCCUGCAACAAGUUGGAAAACACUAGAGGAAGAGGAUUAGGAUUGUUACUUUUGGUCACCUCAUCUUUGCAUAAGAGGACAAAGUGGAUGACGUUCGAUGGGUUCUCACACACUUCUCUCAUCUCUCUUUUUGUGGCUAAGAGGACUAAGUUUUUCUCUCUUUGCGAAGAGGCGCUCAAUUUUGGCUUGUGGCUCUCACUUUCUUUUUGGGGGUGCACUCUCUCACUAGUAUCUCCAUGAUGGGUGGAAGCUUGCUUGUCGGUGAUCACUUGGCUUGGUGACAUUGGUCGAAGCACAUACUCCUUGCCUUUCAUCUUGAAGCUAUAGUGGUUGGUUCGUCUAUUGUGGAUGAUGCCCCGGUCGAAUUGCCAAGGUCUUCCCAAAAGAAGGUGGCACACGGACAUAGGAACCACAUCACACUCUAAGGUGUCCUCGUAGGCGCCGAUCUUGAAAGAAACUUGCACCGUGUGCUCCACUUGAAUGGUGCCGGAGUCGCUUAGCCAUUGCACCUUGUAGGGACGAGGGUGCUUCUUCUUGACCAAUUGCAGCUUGGAACAUAGCUCUUCACUUGCCAAGUUGUGACAACUACCUCCGUCAAUGAUGACCUUGAUGGAGCGCCCAUUGAUGCCGGCCUUGGUGUGUAAGAUGUGGCACCGUUGGUCUUCGUCUUGCUGGUGUUGGAGCGUCAAGACCUUGGAGACCACGAGAGAGGGACUUGAAUAGUUGUCACAAAAGACUUGAUCAUCUUCAUCUUCGUUCACGCGCCGGUGCAUGGCCAUGUGCUCAAUGGAUUCCAUUUCUUCUUCACUCAUCGAGUCGUAUGUGCCAUCAUCGUUGAAGAUCAUUGUUCACUUGUUGGUGCAUUGGAAGGACUUGUGUCCUCAGCCGUCACAUGUGAAGCACUUGAAUGAACUUGUCUUGACGGGAUCAUCGGUAGGCGCCGAAGAUGAAGGAGUCUUGGAUUUGUAGGUGCUUGCCGGAGGACGAGUCGAGGAAGGCGCAACUUGCUUGGAACUUGACUUGUCGCUGGUACUUGGUGAUGCUCUAGUUGAGGUAGGAGGUGCCGAAGUCGCGGGAGCUUGAGAGUAGGAGCCGUAGGUCUUGGACGAGUACUUGGCGUAUUUGAAGUCAUCUUGCACUUGUCGCUCGGCCUUGGUAGCUUGAUGAACUAGCUCGAGAAGGUUUGAGUAUGGUUGGAAGCCGGCAAUCCGCUUGAUUGGGUGGUUGAGGCCGUUCAAGAAGCGUGCCAUUGUUUGCUCGUCGUAUUCCUUGACAUUGGCUCGUAUCAUGGCAAUCUCCAUUUCUUGGUAGUAUUCUUCCACCGUCUUCGUGCCUUGCUUGAGGAGUUGCUACUUCUUGAAGAGAUCUCGGGUGUAGUGAGUAGGCACGAAGCAGUCUCUCAUGACUUCCUUCAUUUAUUCCCAAGUUGUGAUUUGUGGUUCACCUCUUGUAUGUCGUCGCUCGAUCACUUGUUCCCACCAAAUGAGGAUGUAGUCUUGGAACUCGAGGAAGGCCAUGGCGAUCUUCUUUUCCUCGUCGUAGUUGUGAAGGCAGGAAAUCUUGUCCACCUUCAAGGCCCAUGAGAGAUAUUCUUCGGGUCAUUGCUUACGGAGAACUUGGGCAUGGUGAACUUGAGCUUGCCGUAGCGGAGUUCUUCAUCAUGGUAGCGGUUUUGAUAUCUCUCUUGCCGUGGAGGAAGGUCCUCAAAUGCUCGUUCCUUGCGAUGUCGCUGUUGGCGUGGAGGAGGGUCUUGAAGCACUUGUUCCGCUUGGUGUCGCUCUUGUCUUGGAGGAGGACAAGGAAUAUGUGCUUGGUUGCGCCUUUCUUGUUGCUCUUCGCGUCGGGCGGCUUCUUCUUGCAUCUCGCAACAAAGAGCUUCCUCUUGUUCUCGCACUUGGUGGUUACGGUCUUCAAUGGCUCUAGUGGCCUCGCGUAGUGCUUGUUGUGCUUCGAGUGCUUGUGCUUGACGGAUGGCGUCAUCUUCUAGAGGUACUUGAUGUGGCGCUUGUGGAGGUAUUUUCUCUUGCUCCCUUGCUUCUUGCGCUUGGUGUUGCACCCUUUCACGUGCUCAAACUCGGUCUUGUAAGCCAUUGCCAUGGAACGGAUUUUCUUGUGCUUGGCAAUCUUGAGGAACAUCACAUCGAGGAAAGCGAGCUCGUGGAGGACUUGCAUCAUAAGGGGAGUAGUCCGAAGAUGGCCGACUUGUACGGUGACCUGAGUGGCGCCGUCUUGAAGAAGCGGUUGAGGAAGACGGGCUUCGUAAGAUCAUGCUGCGGAGCUCUUCCAUUUGUGUGGUGAACUUUGCAUCGAUGUAGUCGCGGUUCCUUGUUUUCGAUUGACGAAGGUCGGAGGCGAGUUGCUCCAAGCGUUCACCCAAUGCUUCGCUUUCUUGAUGAAGUGCCUUGUUGCGCGAUGAAGAAGUGGUUCUUGGAGACGAAGUCGCAAUCAUCACCUUGCUCCUUGAAAAGUGGGUUCGCCAACGAGUUUGGCCUAUCCAUCAUAACCAAGUGGGGUGAGUAGGAAAAUGAGAGAACAAUACCAAAGUUACCUUUUUCGAGGAUUGAGGAUGUAACAAGUGUCACUCAAGGUAAUGCCACAAUAGGAGAAUUGGAACCGUGUUUGUUUCUCACACCUACAGUAAGAGGCUUAUGGAGGAGCUCGGUUAGAAUGGUGGCAAAAAUUUCAAGCAAAUGUUAGUCAAGAUAUCGAUAAGGUUGAGAAGGUUCACAAAAAUGCAAGUAAAUCAAAUAGAUCAAACCCAAAGAUAUCACUAGGAACACACACGCGGAAGAUAGAUGGGAUCCGCACAACCAAGGAGUGAGCGCAAAAUGUGCAACCAUGGAAAAUGCUCUUGUUGUGCGAAUUCUAGAGAGACGCUAGCUCGAUUGCUCAAAUGGGCAAGAUACGCUUGUGCACCAACCUAUGAGAGAAACAUGUCGUCUUCAAUCCCAACUAUGCUAUGUAUGCGAUGACCAAGAUGAUAUAACUAUGCAAAUGGCUCAAUGCUAUUGCUCACAAGCUCUUUGUUUCUCCUCUUUUGCUUAAAAGCUUUUCUUUUCUUUCUCUAUGCUUGAUGCUCGAGCUGAGUAUGAUAUGAUACAAGUAUGUAAGAUAUGCACGGGAGAGACUUAUGGCACAAACAUGAUAAUACGAUCACUACGGUGCACAAUUGCGUGGCCCGGCAAUUCUCAACUUGCUAGUCUCGAUGGGUAAGCAACACAAAAUGGCUCGGGCUAUCAAUGCAAAUUCAAGGUAAGAAGUAAGUGUCAUCGAGGUUACCGUCCUUUCUUACGGUUAGUGGUGAAGAUGACUCUGAGGUGAUGAUGGUGAUGACGAUGUCACACGCUCCUAAGUAACCGAAACACCUUAGGAAACAUAAAUUGCAACUCAAAAUAGGUCAAAUGCGGAAGGUGGGUGUUUUUUUGAUGAUUUUUGGAUGGGGGCUAAUGGUGGUGGUAGUGAGAUGAGUGGAUGGGGGAUGUCAAGAGCUUCCAAAUGAGCUAAAGAACACAAAAAAUGGACUUGGGAGAUGGAAGUUAUGGUCAAAUUGGUGGAGGUGUUGGGCUGAUUCGGGGCGGGGGGUGCGGGCACCCGGGGGUGGGAGGUGGGGGUGCCCGGGGUGGUCAGGGGGAAAUGACCCGGGGGUGCGGGUGCCCGGUGGUUCGAGGUGCGGGCACCCGGUGGUCGAUGAUUUGGGCGGAAAUUUUGGGGGAAAAGCAAAAUUCGGUGGUUUUCGUGGUGGGAAGGGUGGGGAUUGUUGGGGAGGGGCUAGAUCCACUUGCCAAACAUCAAAUCCAUGGACCAAAACAACCAAAUCUCACAAGAAACAACAAAUUGCAAGAAAAAAAUUUGGGGCUAUUUUUUGUGGGGAUUUUCGAAUUUGGACGAAAAACAACAAAAUCAAGCUAGCAAAUGGGGAGAUGGGACUCCAAGAUGUGAAUCAACCUUGCUCAUGAUACCAAGAUGUUGUAAGGUGAAAUGCUAGAGGGGAUCUUUUCACACUUGGAGGGGAAAAACAAGGAAGAACACUCAAGAACACAAGGCACAAAACACUCAAACAAACCCAAAUAUCACAUCCACUAGAGUAGCAUACUUGAGAUCCACAAGAUUACAUGAACAAUUCAAGGAAAAUAGAUAGGUAAGUUCUUCCCACUAGGUGAGGUCUUCAUGAUGAUCUUCUCCAAGAGGAGGCCUUGACAAUCCAAAGGAUUCUUCCCUAGGUGGGGGCUUGAUCUCCAAGAGGAGGGGAUACAAGGAGCAAAGCUCUCUUUGGUGUUCUAAAAUAAUUUGCUAUCCUUCCAAAUGAGCUAGGAGAUGAGUAUAUAAAGGCUAGAGAUGAAACUUGAAGAAAGAGGGGUACAAAGACCAAAAAGUCCCUAAAACGCGUGGCCAUGGAAGAAGGGUCCCGGCACCCGGGGAGGAACCGUCUGGGCACCCGGACCGGUCAGAGGCCAGUGCCCAGGCAGGACCGGGCACCGGGUGGCGAAGGGGUCGGGCACCCAGCCAGGUCAGGGGCUGGCCGUCGAGCGGCCGGGCACCCAGGGGUCCCAAGCUCGGGCACCCGGGGUGGCUCCCGGCGGCUGGCGGGGCUUGGGCUGGGCACCCGAGGCGGGCUGGGCGAGGCCCAAGUGGAGGGCCGGGUACUCGGGGCCGGCUGGGGCGCAGCCCAGGCAGAGGCCGGGCACCCGGGGUGUCCAGGGGGUUCGGGCCUCCCCAUGUCUUUGAGUCCGGGCACCCGGGGUCCUUCUGUCCGGGCACCCGGGGUGUCCAGGAGCUUCUCCCCUUCAUUCUUCUUGUUCUCCUCUCAUCUCCCUUGCUCCGAGGAUGCUCAAGUCUCCAUCUUCUCCUUCUCACGAUCAUCUUCUUGGUGCCUAAGAAUGCAUAGCACGUCUCUUUGAGGUAGAAUCCAAUUCUCAUGUGAAACCGAAAGAAACUCGAAGAGGAUAGAAUUGACCUCAUUCUCGAUGUUGUGUGCGCGUGCUUGCUACGUCUUGAGCUUGCGUUGGUUUUCCUCGAAGAGGAGAGGAUGAUGCAGCAGAGUAGCAUAAGUAUUUCCCUCAGUUUUUGAGAACCAAGGUAUCAAUCCAGUAGGAGGCUCCUCAAAAGUCCCACGCACCUACACAAACAAACUGAGAACUCGCAAGCAACGCAAUAAAGGGUUUGUCAAUCCCUUCACGGCCACUUGCGAAAGUGAGAUCUAAUAAAGAUAGUAAGAUAAGAUAAAUAUAUUUUUGUUAUUUUAUAAUAUAGAUGCAAAAAGUAAAGAUGCAAAUAAAAGUAGAUUGAAAGCAAAUAUGAUAAGAGAUAGACCCGGGGGCCAUAGGUUUCACUAGUGGCUUCUCUCAAGAGCAUAGGUGUUACGGUGGGUGAACAAAUUUCUCACGAGCAAUUGAUAGAAAAGCGAAUAGUUAUGAGAUUAUCUAGGCAUGAUCAUGUAUAUAGGCAUCACGUCCGUAACAAGUAGACCGACUCCAGCCUGCAUCUACUACUAUUACUCCACACAUCGACCGACUCCUGCCUGCAUCUAGACUAUUAAGUUCAUAAGAACAGAGUAACACAUUAAGCAAGAUGACAUGAUGUAGAGGGAUAAACUCAAGCAAUAUGAUAGAAAACCCCAUCUUGUUAUCCUCGAUGGCAACAAUACAAUACGUGCCUUGCAACCCUUUCUGUCACUGGGUAAGGACACCGCAAGAUUGAACCCAAAGCUAAGCACUUCUCCUAUGGCAAGAAAGAUCAAUCUAGUAGGCCAAACCAAACUGAUAAUUCGAAGAGACUUGCAAAGAUAACUCAAUCAUACAUAAAAGAAUUCAGAGAAGAUUCAAAUAUUAUUCAUAGACAAACUUGAUCAUAAACCCACAAUUCAUCGGAUCUCGACAAACACACCACAAAAAGAGUUUACAUCGAAUAGAUCUCCACAAGAGAGGGGGAGAACAUUGUAUUGAGAUCCAAAAAGAGAGAAGAAGCCAUCUAGCUAAUAACUAUGGACCCGUAGGUCUGUGGUAAACUACUCACAACUCAUCGGAGGGGCAAGGAUGUUGAUGCAGAAGCCCUCCAUGGUCGAUUCCCCCUCCGGUGAGGCGCCGACGAAGGCUCCAAGAUGGGAUCUCGCGGAUACAGAAGGUUACGGUGGUGGAAGUUAUGUUUUUUCUUGCUCCCGGAUGUUUUCGGGUACGUAGGUAUAUAUAGGAGGAAGAAGUACGUCGGUGGCCGCCCGAGGGGCCCACGAGACAGGGGGCGCGCCCUAUAGGGGGGGGGGCGCCUCCUAUCUCGUGGGAGCCUCGGCUGCUUCUUGACUUGCACUCCAAGUCCUCUGGAUCACGUUUGUUCCAAUAAUCACGCUCCCGAAGGUUUCAUUCCGUUUGGACUCCGUUUGAUAUUCCUUAUCCUCGAAAUACUGAAAUAGGCAAAAAAACAGCAAUAUGGGCUGGGCCUCCGGUUAGUAGGUUAGUCCCAGAAAUGAUAUAAAUGUGUAAAAUAAAGCCCAUAACAUCCAAAAGGGGUAAUAUAAUAGCAUGGAACAAUCAAAAAUUAUAGAUACGUUGGAGACGUAUCAAGCAUCCCCAAGCUUAAUUCCUGCUCGUCCUUGAGUAGGUAGAUGAUAAAAAAGAAAUUUUGAUGUGGAAUGCUACCUAGCAUAGUUCUCAAUGUAAUUUUCUUUAUUGUGGCAUGAAUGUUCAGAUCCAAAUGAUACAAAAUAAAAGUUCAUAUUAACGUAAGAAAUAAUAAUACUUCAAGCAUACUAAUCAAAGUAAUCAUGUCUUCUCAAAAUAGCAUGGCCGAAGAAAGUUAUCCCUACGAAAUCAUAUAGUCUGGUUGUUGCUCUAUCUUCAUCACACAAAGUAUUUAAUCAUGCACAACCCCGAUGACAAGCCAAGCAAUUGUUUCAUACUUUAAUAAUCUCAAACUUUUUCAACUUUCACGCAAUACAUGAGCGUGAGCCAUGGACAUAGCACUAUAUGUGGAAUAGAAUGGUGGUUGUGGAGAAGACAAAAAAGAGAAGAUAGUCUCGCAUCAACUAGGCGUAUCAAUGGGCUAUGGAGAUGCCCAUUAAUAGAUAUCAAUGUGAGUGAGUAGGGAUUGCCAUGCAACGGAUGCACUAGAGCUAUAAAUAUAUGAAAGCUCAACAAAAGAAACUAAUUGGGUGUGCAUCCAACUUGCUUGCUCACGAAGACCUAGGGCACUUUUGAGGAAGCCCAUCAUUGGAAUAUACAAGCCAAGUUCUUAUAAUGAAAAAUUCCCACUAGUAUAUGAAAGUGACAACAUAUGAGACUCUCUAUCAUGAAGAUCAUGGUGCUAUUUUGAAGCACAAGUGUGGAAAAAGAGAUAGUAGCAUUGUCCCUUCUCUCUUUUUCUCUCAUUUUAUUUUUUUCUUUUUCUUUUUCUCUCCCCCCCUUUUUUUUCUUUCUCUUUUUUUUCUUUGGCCUUUCUUUUUCUUUUUCUUUUUGGCCUCUCUUUUUCUUCUUCUUUUUUUUCUUUUUGUAAAGUCCAAAGUCUCAUCCCGACUUGUGGGGGAAUCAUAGUCUUCAUCAUCCUUUCCUCACUAGGACAAUGCUCUAUUAAUGAAGAUCAUCACACUUUUAUGGAUUUACAACUUAAAGCUAGAACAAGAUAUGACUCUAUAUGAAUGCCUCCGGUGGUGUACCGAGAUAUGCAAUGAAUCAAGAGUGACAUGUAUGAAAAUUAUGAAGGUGGCUUUGCCACAAAUACGAUGUCAACUACAUGAUCAUGCAAAGAGCAAUAUGACAAAAGUAAUGCGUGUCAUAUAAACGGAACGGUGGAAAGUUGCAUGGCAAUAUAUCUCGGAAUGGCUAUGGAAAUGCCAUAAUAGGUAGGUAUGGUGGCUGUUUUGAGGAAGGUAUAUGGUGGAUGUAAGGUACCGGCAAAAGUUGCGCGGCACAAGAAAGGCUACCAAUGAUGGAAGGGUGAAAGGGUGCGUAUAAUCCAUGGACUCAACAUUAAUCAAAAGAACUCAUGCACUUAUUGCAAAAAUUUAGAAGUCAUCAAAAACCAAAGUACUACGUGCAUGCUCCUAGGGGGAUAGACUAGUAGGAAAAGACCAUCGCUCAUCCCCGACCGCCACUCAUAAGGAAGACAAUCAAUAAAUAAAAUUAUGCUCCGACUUCAUCACAAAGCGGUUCACCAUACGUGCAUGCUACGGGAAUCACAAACUUCAACACAAGCAUUCUUUAAAUCCAUAAUCACCCAACUAGCAUGACUUUAAUAUCACUACCUCCAUGUCUCAAAACAAUUAUCAAGCAUCAAAUUGACCAUAAUCUACGAUAGUUUUUAUUAUACCCAACUUGGAUGCUCAUCAUUCUAGGACCAACUUUAUGACCGUAGCAAAUACCAUGUUGUUCUAAAAUACUCUAAAAAAUAUAUAAGUGAAGCAUGAGAGACUAGUACUUUCUUCAAAAUUAAGACACCACCGUGCUCUAAAAGAUAUAAGUGAAGCACUAGAGCAAAAACUAUCAAGCUCAAAAGAUAUAAGUGAAGCACAUAGAGUAUUCUAGCAAAUUCUAAUCAAAUAGGCUUCUUCCAAAAGGUUUGUACAGCAAGGAUGAUUGUGGUCAACUAAAAAGCAAAGACUAAUAUAAUACACGACACUCCAAGCAAAACACAUAUCAUGUGGCGAAUAAAAUAUAGCUCCAAGUAAAGUUACCAAUGAACGAAGACGAAAGAGGGGAUGCCUUCCCGGGGCAUCCCCAAGCUUAGGCUUUUGACUAUCCUUGAAUAUCUUGGGGUGCCAUGGGCAUCCCCAAUCUUAGGCUCUUGCCACCCUUUAUUCCAUAGUCCAUAAAAGCUUUACCCAAAACUUGAAAACUUCACAACACAAAACUCAACAGGAAAUCUUAUAAGCUCCGUUAGUGAAAGAAAACAAAACCACCACAUAAGGUACUGUAAUGAACUCAUUCUUUAUUUAUUUUGGUGUUAAACCUACUGUAUUCCAACUUCCUUAUGGUUUAUAAACUAUUUUACUAGCCAUAGAUGCAUUGAAAUAAGCAAACUACACACGAAAAACAGAAUAUGUCAAAAACAGAACAGUCUGUAGCAAUCUGUAACUAACACAAACUUCUGGAACUUUAAAAAUCCUACAAAAAUAGGAAGUCCUGGAAAAUUUGUUUACUUAUCAGCAGCAAAAAUAAUCAACACAAAAGCACGUUCCUGUGAUUUAACAAAAUUAUAUUUGUGCGUGCAAAGUUUCUGUUUUUCAGCAGAAUCAAAUCAACUAUCAUCGUAGGUUAUCCUAUAGGUUCUAGUUGGCACAAACACUAAUUAAAAGAUAAAAACACAUCUAACCAGAGGGUAGAUGCAAUAUUUAUUAAAUAACAGCAAGGAAAAAUAUUGAGUUGCGUCCCAACAAGCGCUAUCGUUUAACGCCCCUAGCUAGGCAUUGAUAAUUUUAAUGAUGCUCACAUGAAAGACAAGAAUUAAAGCACAAAGAGAGCAUCAUGAAACACGUGACAAACACAUCUAAGUCUAACAUACUUACUAUGCAUAGGCAUAUUAUAAGCAAACAAAUUUGCAAGGCAAGCAAAAACUAGCAUAUGCAAGGAAGAAGAAAGAGACGAUAGCAAUCUCAACAUGACGAGAGGUAAUUUAAUAAAAUAAAAAUUUCUACAACCAUAUUUUCCUCUCUCAUAAUAAUUACAUGUAGGAUCAUAGGAAAAUUCAACAAAAUAGCUAUCACAAAACAUAUUCUCAACAUGAUCCACAUGCAUGCAAAGUUGACACUAUUCCAAGAUAGUGGGAUUAACAUUAGCUAGAGUCAUGACCUUUCCGAACCCACUUUUAUCAAAAAUAUCAUAAGAUUGAACAUACUCCAAAAAUGUGGGAUCUAAAGUUGACACUCUUCCAAACCCACUUUCAAUAUUAUUGCAAACAUUAUUAUCAAUCUCAUAUUCAUCAUGGGGCUUAAAUUUUUUUUUCAAGGUUAUAAGAAGAAUCACCCCAAUCAUGAUCAUUGAAACAAGUAGUAGACAUAGCAAAACUAGCAUCCCCAAGCUUAGGGUUUUGCAUAUUAUUAGCACAACUGACAUCAAUAGAAUUUAUAGGAAAAUCAUUGCAAUCGUGCUUUUUAUUCAAGGAGUUAUCGUGAAUCUCUUCGUAAAUUUCUUCAUCAUAAUUUUCAGAUUCACAAAGUUUGAGCAAAGCUUCAUAAAGAUAAUUUAGUGUGCAAAACUCAUUAGCAAUUGGUUCAUCAUAAUUGGAUCUCUUAAAAAGAUUAGCAAGCGGAUGAGGAUCCAUAGAUCUUAGGUUCUCUAUUUAGCAAUAAAUAAGCAUCUAAUCCAACCAAACAAGCAAACGAAAGGGCAAGCAAAAGAGAGAAGAGAAGAUUGGGAAAGAGAGGGCAAAUAAAACGGCAAGGGUGAAGUGGGGGAGAGGAAAACGAGAGGCAAAAGGCAAAUAAUGUAAAUGCGAGGGAGAUGGGUUUGUGAUGGGUACUUGGUAUGUCUUGACUUGAGCGAAGACCUCCCCGGCAACGGCGCCAGAAAUCCUUCUUGCUACGUCUUGAGCUUGCGUUGGUUUUCCUCAAAGAGGAGAGGGUGAUGCAGCAGAGUAGCGUAAGUAUUUCCCUCAGUUUUUGAGAACCAAGGUAUCAAUCCUGUAGGAGGCUCCUCAAAAGUCCCACGCACCUACACAAACAAACUAAGAACUCGCAACCAACGCAAUAAAGGGGUUGUCAAUCCCUUCACGGCCACUUGCGAAAGUGAGAUCUAAUAAAGAUAGUAAGAUAAGAUAAAUAUAUUUUUGGUAUUUUAUAAUAUAGAUGCAAAAAGUAAAGAUGCAAAUAAAAGUAGAUUGAAAGCAAAUAUGAUAAGAGAUAGACCCGGGGGCCAUAGGUUUCACUAGUGGCUUCUCUCAAGAGCAUAUGUAUUACGGUGGGUGAACAAAUUACUAUCGAGCAAUUGAUAGAAAAGCGCAUAGUUAUGAGAUUAUCUAGGCCUGAUCAUGUAUAUAGGCAUCACGUCCGUAACAAGUAGACCGACUCCUGCCUGCAUCUACUACUAUUACUCCACACAUCGACCUACUCCUGCCUGCAUCUAGAGUAUUAAGUUCAUAAGAACAGAGUAACGCAUUAAGCAAGAUGACAUGAUGUAGAGGGAUAAACUCAAGCAAUAUGAUAUAAACCCCAUCUUGUUAUCCUCGAUGGCAACAAUACAAUAUGUGCCUUGCAACCCUUUCUGUCACUGGGUAAGGACACCGCAAGAUUGAACCCAAAGCUAAGCACUUCUCCUAUGGCAAGAAAGAUCAAUCUAGUAGGCCAAACCAAACUGAUAAUUCGAAGAGACUUGCAAAGAUAACUCAAUCAUACAUAAAAGAAUUCAGAGAAGAUUCAAAUAUUAUUCAUAGAUAAACUUGAUCAUAAACCCACAAUUUAUCGGAUCUCGACAAACACACCACAAAAAGAGUUUGCAUCGAAUAGAUCUCCACAAGAGAGGGGGAGAACAUUGUAUUGAGAUCCAAAAAAAGAGAAGAAUCCAUCUAGCUAAUAACUAUGGACCCGUAGGGUAAACUACUCACAACUCAUCGGAGGGGCAAGGAUGUUGAUGUAGAAGCCCUCCAUGGUCGAUUCCCCCUCCGGUGGAGCACCGGCGAAGGCUCCGAGAUGGGAUCUCGCGGAUACAGAAGGUUACGGUGGUGGAAAUUGUGUUUUGUCUUGCUCCUAGAUGUUUUCGGGGUACGUAGGUAUAUAUAGGAGGAAGAAGUACGUUGGUGGCCGCCCGAGGGGCCCACAAGAUAGGGGGCGCGCCCUACAGGGGGGGCGUGCCCUCCUAUCUUGUGGGAUCCUCGGCUGCUUCUUUACUUGCACUCCAAGUUCUAUGGAUCGUGUUUGUUCCAAAAAUCACGCUCCCGAACGUUUCAUUCCGUUUGGACUCCGUUUGAUAUUCCUUUUCUUCGGAAUACUGGAAUAGGCAAAAAAACAGCAAUAUGGGCUGGGCCUCCGGUUAGUAGGUUAGUCCCAAAAAUGAUAUAAAUGUGUAAAAUAAAGCCCAUAAACAUCCAAAAGGGGUAAUAUAAUAGCAUGCAACAAUCAAAAAAUAUAGAUACGUUGGAGACGUAUCAGUGCUCUUGUCAUUGGUCCUCUCGGUGCUUGCGGUGGUGAUGGAGUGUCGGUGCGGGUAGUCGAGGGAUGCUCUGCAUCAUCUUCGCAAUCUCUUCAACCGCUUCAAAAGACUCGACAAUGAAAAUGUUCAGCAAACCUUCGAUCGCCUCACUGACAUCUCAAAUGAGCUUCAAGCACUUGGUGCCACUGACAUCACCGACCAUGAGAUGGUGAAGAAAUUGCUGAGAUCACUUGAUUCCUCAUUCGAUACUCUUGCAUUGAUGAUUCAAGAACAAGGUGAUUACAAGUCACUAGAUCCCGCUGAUAUCCUCGAGAGGCUAAAUACUCAUGAGUUCCAGCUUGCUGAGAAGAGAGACCUCUAUGGACCAUGCUAUGGAAGAUCAUGUGAACUGAAGGCCAAGGCAGUCUCUGAAUCUGAAGGUGAAGAUUCUGGUAGCAGUCUUGGUGAUCCUCAAGAACUGAACCAGGCGCAAGCAAUGCUCGUGAAGAAAUUCCAGAAGUUCUCUCACUGUGGUCGUUUUGGAAAGUCUUCAAGAAGUGAUGAUUCCUCAUCUCGUGACUACAAAAAGAGGACUUUUGCCAGAAAUGUAAGAAACCUGGUCACUACAUGUCUGAUUGUCCUCAGUGGGAAAAGGAAUCAAAGAAGAGGAAGAAGUACAAAGAUGAUGAUUCUGAUGACUCAAAGAAGAAGAAGAAAUCUUCAAAGUCCUCGUCAUCAAAAUCUUCAAAGUCUUCAUCUCACAAGAAGAGCAGUUCCAAGAACGCAUGUGCAUUUAUUGUUAAGGAAAUAGACUCUGAAGCUGAAUCUGAGGAAAAUGUGGAAGAGGAGGAAUCUUAGGAGUCAGACUCUGGUGUGGCGAGCCUAGCCCUUGCUACUGCUUAUGUCAGCAAUUCAAUCUUGAACAAUGAAGAAAAUGACCUCCCCAACUCUACUGACAAGAGCGUCGAUGACUAUGCUCCCACCUAUUGCUCCAUGGCAAAAGAUGCCAAGGUACUCAAACAUCCCCCCUCUAAAUCUAGUGAGGAUGAAUCUGAUGACAAUCUCAAACCUAGUUAUUCCAAACUUGCCAAAAUUGCUGUUAAACAACAAAAGGCUUUGGAAAAGAUUCAAAAUCUGCUAGACAAAAGCGAUGACCUGUUGGGUGAGGAAUUGAAUCGAACUAAGACUUUAAUUAAUAGUCUUCAUAGACUUCAGCUUAAGGUUGACAAUCUUCAGGGUCAUCAUAACUCUCUCUUAACUGAUCAUGAAAAACUUUCUUAUCAAUUUCUUCAGUGAAAGCAAGAUCUUGAGAAGUUAAAAGUGAAUUAUGAAGAUCUUCAGAAGGAAAAAGAUUCAUUGCUUGCUCAACAGAUCAGUUGUGCUCAGGAAGGAUUUAUUCCACCAUGUCUGAAAUGCAUUGAGCGUGAAUCUGCUAAUUCUUCACCUGAAUGUUCAAAUGCUUCUAUUGCUGCAAAUUCUUGAACUGUCUCCGUGGUCAUAAAUUCCUCAUCUGAGGAUACCACAAGUAUCACUUACGACAAUGCAGGGUUGAAGGAAUUGUUUGUGACAUGCAUAUACAAAAGCCUUAGAGGGCAUCAGACUCUUUGUGAUAUGCUCAAAAAGCAGUAUUGAACAAGAACCCUAGGAAAGAGGGUAUUGCCUUUGAGAGGAAACUCAAUGCUGAUGGGACCUACUAGAAACCUAAGCAGUACCCCAAAACCUCAUGGGUUGCUGUGAAAGGACCUCCUGUAGAUCCAUGCACUUUAUCUGACUUUACCUGUGAAUCUUCAUAUUCCUCUGAUGAGUCAUUUGACUCCAAUAUAAACUGUUCAAGAAUCAAAAUGGUGAAGUAUUUGCUCGAUAUGUUGGAACUAACUGCAGGAAUGGUCCCCCUAUGAAGAAAAUCUGGGUUCCCAAAAGGUGCCUUGAAAAUCUUCAGGUGAAUGUCAUCAUGACACCACCUAUGAAGAAUAGGAAUCCCAGAUAAAAUUCUUCAUAUGGAUCAAAUUCUUCAUAUGGAUCCAAGUCCUCUUAUGGACCAAAUUCUUCAUCUAGAUCAAAUUCCUCAUGUGGAUCCAAAUCCCCAUAUGAACAUCAUCGUGCUAAUCCAAGAAAAGGUAUAUCCUGCACACUAUAUACCAGCAAAUAUGAUAAAAAGUAAAGAACAAUAAUGAUCAAUAAGAAGCAAAGGGCAUUUGUGUGCAGAAGAUGAGAAUCCACCAGAUAAGACACAAACAUAAACAUAACAUUUCACAACAGAAGAUGAGAAGCCACCUGAUAAGAGUACAGCCAGCUGCUUGCCUCACACUUGUUUACACAAACACUUACAUAAAGGAAGCUGUCAUUGUAGGUUCAGGCUUUGGAGCAGAACGUCAUCGUUACAUGAUUCUUGCAUAGUAAAAAUCUAAAAGCACUUGGAGACCUCCAAAAGACAAAUGUUCCACUACUAAACUUGACUAAUAAGAACGAAAAAUAUGUUGCCUACUAAGCACUCAAGCCUGCUGAUUGGGACAUGUUUUUUUGAAGGUUAUCAGAAGCUAUCUUUGUUGGAAAUAUGCCCUAAAGGCAAUAAUAAAAGUAUUAUUAUAUUUCAUUGUUCAUGAUAAUUGUCUUUUGUUCAUGCUAUAACUGUAUUAUCCGGAAAUCGUAAUACACGUGUGAACAAAUAGACCACAAUAUGUCCCUAGUGAGCCUCUAGUUGACUAGCUCGUUGUGAUCAACAGAUAGUCAUGGUUUCCUAACUAUGGACAUUGGAUGUCGUUGAUAACGGGAUCACAUCAUUAGGAGAAUGAUGUGAUGGACAAGACCCAAUCCUAAGCAUAGCACAAAGAUCGUGUAGUUCGUUUGCUAGAGCUUUGCCAAUGUCAAGUAUCUCUUCCUUCGACCAUGAGAUCAUGUAACUCCCGGAUACCGUAGGAGUGCCUUGGGUGUAUCAAACGUCACAACGUAACUGGGUGACUAUAAAGGUGCAUUACAGGUAUCUCCGAAAGUGUCUGUUGGGUUGACACGGAUCGAGACUGGGAUUUGUCACUGAAGGAAAUAUGCCCUAGAGGCAAUAAUAAAGUUAUUAUUUAUUUCCUUAUAAUCAUGAUAAAUGUUUAUUAUUCAUGCUAGAAUUGUAUUUUCCGGAAACAUAAUACAUGUGUGAAUACAUAGACAAACAGAGUGUCACUAGUAUGCCUCUACUUGACUAGCUCGUUAAUCAAAGAUGGUUAUGUUUCCUAACCAUGAACAAUGAGUUGUUAUUUGAUUAACGAGGUCACAUCAUUAGUAGAAUGAUCUGAUUGACAUGACCCAUUCAAUUAGCUUAGCACCCGAUCGUUUAGUAUGUUGCUAUUGCUUUCUUCAUGACUUAUACAUGUUCCUAUGACUAUGAGAUUAUGCAACUCCCGUUUGCCGGAGGAACACUUUGGGUACUACCAAACGUCACAACGUAACUGGGUGAUUAUAAAGGAGUACUACAGGUGUCUCCAAUGGUCGAUGUUGGGUUGGCGUAUUUCGAGAUUAGGAUUUGUCACUCCGAUUGUCGGAGAGGUAUCUCUGGGCCCUCUCGGUAAUACACAUCACAUAAGCCUUGCAAGCAUUACAACUAAUAUGUUAGUUGUGAGAUGAUGUAUUACGGAACGAGUAAAGAGACUUGCCAGUAACGAGAUUGAACUAGGUAUUGGAUACCGACGAUCGAAUCUCGGGCAAGUAACAUACCGAUGACAAAGGGAACAACGUAUGUUGUUAUGCGGUCUGACCGAUAAAGAUCUUCGUAGAAUAUGUAGGAGCCAAUAUGGGCAUCCAGGUCCCUCUAUUGGUUAUUAACCAGAGACAUGUCUCGGUCAUGUCUACAUUGUUCUCGAACCCGUAGGGUCCGCACGCUUAAGGUUACGAUGACAGUUAUAUUAUGAGUUUAUGGAUUUUGAUGUACCGAAGGUUGUUCGGAGUCCCGGAUGUGAUCACGGACAUGACGAGGAGUCUCGAAAUGGUCGAGACGUAAAGAUUGAUAUAUUGGAAGCCUAUGUUUGGACAUCGGAAGUGUUCCGGGUGAAAUCGGGAUUUUACCGGGUUACCGGGAGGUUACCGGAACCCCCCGGGAGCCAUAUGGGCCUUCAUGGGCCUUAGUGGAAAGGAGAAAGGGACAGCCCAAGGUGGCUGCGCCUCUUCCCCCUCCCCUAGUCCUAUUAGGACUAGGAGAAGGUGGCCGGCCCCCCUCUCUCCCUUCCCCUCCGAGGAAUCCUAGUUGGACUAGGAUUGGAGGAGGAAUCCUACUCCCAGAGGGAGUAGGACUCUCCUGCGCCUCCCUCUUUGGCCGGCCAGCCUCCCCUCCUCUCCUCCUUUAUAUACGGAGGCAGGGGCACCUCUAAACACACAAGUUGACACAAGUUGAUCCACGUGAUCAAUUCCUUAGCCGUGUGCGGUGCCCCCUGCCACCAUAUUCCUCGAUAAUACUGUAGUGGAGUUUAGGCGAAGCCCUGCUGCUGUAGUUCAUCAAGAUCGUCACCACGCCGUCGUGCUGACGGAACUCUUCCCCGACACUUUGCUGGAUCGGAGUCCGGGGAUCGUCAUCGAGCUGAACGUGUGCUCGAACUCGGAGGUGCCGUAGUUUCGGUGCUUGAUCGGUUGGAUCGUGAAGACGUACGACUACUUCCUCUACGUCGUGUCAUCGCUUCCGCAGUCGGUCUGCAUAGGGUACGUAGACAACACUCUUCUUUCGUUGCUAUGCAUCACAUGAUCCUGUGUGCGCGUAGGAAAUUUUUUGAAAUUACUACGAAACCCAACAGUGGCAUCCGAGCCUAGGUUAAUGAUGUUGAUGUUAUAUGCACGAGUAGAACACAAGUAAGUUGUGGACGAUACAAGUCAUACUGCCUACCAGCAUGUCAUACUUUGGUUCGGCGGUAUUGUUGGACGAGACGACCCGGGCCAACCUUACGCGUACGCUUACGCGAGACCGGUUCCCUCGACGUGCUUUGCACAGAGAUGGCUUGCGGGCGACUGCCUCUCCAACUUUAGUUGAACCAAGUAUGGCUACGCCCGGUCCUUGCGAAGGUUAAAACGGAGUCUAUUUGACAAACUAUCGUUGUGGUUUUGAUGCGUAGGUGAGAUUGGUUCUUACUUAAGCCCGUAGCAGCCACGUAAAACAUGCAACAACAAAGUAGAGGACGUCUAACUUGUUUUUGCAGGGCAUGUUGUGAUGUGAUAUGGUCAAGGCAUGAUGCUGAAUUUUAUUGUAUGAGAUGAUCAUGUUUUGUAACCGAGUUAUCGGCAACUGGCAGGAGCCAUAUGGUUGUCGCUUUAUUGUAUGCAAUGCAAUCGCGAUGUAAUGCUUUACUUUAUUACUAAACGGUAGUGAUAGUCGUGGAAGCAUAAAGAUUGGCGAGACGACAACGAUGCUACGAUGGAGAUCAAGGUGUCGCGCCGGUGACGAUGGUGAUCAUGACGGUGCUUCGGAGAUGGAGAUCACAAGCACAAGAUGAUGAUGGCCAUAUCAUAUCACUUAUAUUGAUUGCAUGUGAUGUUUAUCUUUUUAUGCAUCUUAUCUUGCUUUGAUUGACGGUAGCAUUAUAAGAUGAUCUCUCACUAAAAUUAUCAAGAAGUGUUCUCCCUGAGUAUGCACCGUUGCAAAAGUUCUUCGUGCUGAGACACCACGUGAUGAUCGGGUGUGAUAGGCUCUACGUUCAAAUACAACGGGUGCAAAACAGUUGCGCACGCAGAAUACUCAGGUUAAACUUGACGAGCCUAGCAUAUGCAGAUAUGGCCUCGGAACACGGAGACCGAAAGGUCGAGCGUGAAUCAUAUAGUAGAUAUGAUCAACAUAAUGAUGUUCACCGAUGAAACUACUCCAUCUCACGUGAUGAUCGGAUAUGGUUUAGUUGAUUUGGAUCACGUGAUCACUUAGAGGAUUAGAGGGAUGUCUAUCUAAGUGGGAGUUCUUUAAUAAUAUGAUUAAUUGAACUUAAAAUUUAUCAUGAACUUAGUCCCUGAUAGUAUCUUGCUUGUUUAUGUUGAUUGUAGAUAGAUGGCUCGUGCUGUUGUUCCGUUGAAUUUUAAUGCGUUCCUUGAGAAAGCAAAGUUGAAAGAUGAUGGUAGCAAUUACACGGACUGGGUCCGUAACUUGAGGAUUAUCCUCAUUGCUGCACAGAAGAAUUACGUCCUGGAAGCACCGCUGGGUGCCAGGCCUGCUGCUGAAGCAACGCCAGAUGUUAUGAACGUCUGGCAGAGCAAAGCUGAUGACUACUCGAUAGUUCAGUGUGCCAUGCUUUACGGCUUAGAAUCGGGACUUCAACGACGUUUUGAACGUCAUGGAGCAUAUGAGAUGUUCCAGGAGUUGAAGUUGAUAUUUCAAGCAAAUGCCCGGAUUGAGAGAUAUGAAGUUUCCAAUAAGUUCUAUAGUUGCAAGAUGGAGGAGAACAGUUCUGUCAGUGAGCAUAUACUCAAAAUGUCUGGGUAUAAUAAUCACUUGAUUCAAUUGGGAGUUAAUCUUCCGGAUGAUUGCGUCAUUGACAGAAUUCUCCAAUCACUACCACCAAGCUACAAGAGCUUCGUGAUGAACUAUAAUAUGCAAGGGAUGAAUAAGACUAUUCCCGAGCUCUUCGCAAUGCUGAAAGCUGCGGAGGUAGAAAUCAAGAAGGAGCAUCAAGUGUUGAUGGUUAACAAGACCACUAGUUUCAAGAAAAAGGGCAAAGGGAAGAAAAAGGGGAACUUCAAAAAGAACGGCAAGCAAGUUGCUGCUCAAGAGAAGAAACCCAAGUCUGGACCUAAGCCUGAAACUGAGUGCUUCUACUGCAAGCAGACUGGUCACUGGAAGCGGAACUGCCCCAAGUAUUUGGCGGAUAAGAAGGAUGGCAAGGUGAACAAAGGUAUAUGUGAUAUACAUGUUAUUGAUGUGUACCUUACCAAUGCUCGCAGUAGCACCUGGGUAUUUGAUACUGGUUCUGUUGCUAAUAUUUGCAACUCGAAACAGGGACUACGGAAUAAGCGGGCACUGGCAAAGGACGAGGUGACGAUGCGCGUGGGAAACGGUUCCAAAGUCGAUGUGAUCGCAGUCGGCACGCUACCUCUACAUCUACCUUCGGGAUUAAUAUUAGACCUAAAUAAUUGUUAUUUGGUGCCAGCGUUGAGCAUGAACAUUAUAUCUGGAUCUUGUUUAAUGCGAGACGGUUAUUCAUUUAAAUCAGAGAAUAAUGGUUGUUCUAUUUAUAUGAGUAAUAUCUUUUAUGGUCAUGCACCCUUGAAGAGUGGUCUAUUCUUAUUGAAUCUCGAUAGUAGUAAUACACAUAUUCAUAAUGUUGAAACCAAAAGAUGCAGAGUUGAUAAUGAAAGUGCAACUUAUUUGUGGCACUGUCGUUUAGGUCAUAUCGGUAUAAAGCGCAUGAAGAAACUCCAUACCGAUGGACUUUUGGAACCACUUGAUUAUGAAUCACUUGGUACUUGCGAACCGUGCCUCAUGGGCAAGAUGACUAAAACACCGUUCUCCGGUACUAUGGAGAGAGCAACAGAUUUGUUGGAAAUCAUACAUACCGAUGUAUGUGGCCCGAUGAAUAUUGAGGCUCGUGGCGGAUAUCGUUAUUUUCUCACCUUCACAGAUGAUUUAAGCAGAUAUGGGUAUAUUUACUUAAUGAAACAUAAGUCUGAAACAUUUGAAAAGUUCAAAGAAUUUCAGAGUGAAGUUGAAAAUCAUCGUAACAAGAAAAUAAAGUUUCUACGAUCUGAUCGUGGAGGAGAAUAUUUGAGUUACGAGUUUGGUGUACAUUUGAAAAACUGUGGAAUAGUUUCGCAACUCACGCCACCCGGAACACCACAGCGUAAUGGUGUAUCCGAACGUCGUAAUCGUACUUUACUAGAUAUGGUGUGAUCUAUGAUGUCUCUUACUGAUUUACCGCUAUCAUUUUGGGGAUAUGCUUUAGAGACGGCCACAUUCACAUUAAAUAGGGCACCAUCAAAAUCCGUUGAGACGACGCCUUAUGAACUGUGGUUUGGCAAGAAACCAAAGUUGUCGUUUCUUAAAGUUUGGGGCUGCGAUGCUUAUGUGAAAAAACUUCAACCUGAUAAGCUCGAACCCAAAUCGGAGAAAUGUGUCUUCAUAGGAUACCCAAAGGAAACUGUUGGGUACACCUUCUAUCACAGAUCCGAAGGCAAAACAUUCGUUGCUAAGAAUGGAUCAUUUCUAGAGAAGGAGUUUCUCUCGAAAGAAGUGAGUGGGAGGAAAGUAGAACUUGACGAGGUAACUGUACCUGCUCCCUUACUGGAAAGUAGUUCAUCACAGAAAACUGUUUCAGUGACACCUACACCAGUUAGUGAGGAAGCCAAUGAUAAUGAUCAUGAAACUUCAGAUCAAGAUACUGCUGAACCUCGUAGAUCAACCAGAGUAAGAUCCGCACCAGAGUGGUACGGUAAUCCUGUUCUGGAGGUCAUGCUACUAGAUCAUGAUGAACCUACGAACUAUGAAGAAGCGAUGGUGAGCCCAGAUUCCGCAAAGUGGCUUGGAGCCAUGAAAUCUGAGAUGGGAUCCAUGUAUGAGAACAAAGUAUGGACUUUGGUUGACUUGCCCGAUGAUCGGCAAGCAAUUGAGAAUAAAUGGAUCUUUAAGAAGAAGACUGACGCUGAUGGUAAUGUUACUGUCUACAAAGCUCGACUUGUCGCAAAAGGUUUUCGGCAAGUUCAAGGGAUUGACUACGAUGAGACCUUCUCACCCGUAGCGAUGCUUAAGUCCGUCUGAAUCAUGUUAGCAAUUGCCGCAUUUUAUGAUUAUGAAAUUUGGCAAAUGGAUGUCAAAACUGCAUUCCUGAAUGGAUUUCUGGAAGAAGAGUUGUAUAUGAUGCAACCAGAAGGUUUUGUCGAUCCAAAGGGAGCUAACAAAGUGUGCAAGCUCCAGCGAUCCAUUUAUGGACUGGUGCAAGCCUCUCGGAGUUGGAAUAAACGUUUUGAUAGUGUGAUCAAAGCAUUUGGUUUUAUACAGACUUUCGGAGAAGCCUGUAUUUACAAGAAAGUGAGUGGGAGCUCUGUAACAUUUCUGAUAUUAUAUGUGGAUGACAUAUUACUGAUUGGAAAUGAUAUAGAAUUUCUGGAUAGCAUAAAGGGAUACUUGAAUAAAAGUUUUUCAAUGAAAGACCUCGGUGAAGCUGCUUACAUAUUAGGCAUUAAGAUCUAUAGAGAUAGAUCAAGACGCUUAAUUGGACUUUCACAAAGCACAUACCUUGACAAAAUUUUGAAGAAGUUCAAAAUGGAUCAAGCAAAGAAAGGGUUCUUGCCUGUGUUACAAGGUGUGAAAUUGAGUAAGACUCAAUGCCCGACCACUGCAGAAGAUAGAGAGAAUAUGAAAGAUGUUCCCUAUGCAUCAGCCAUAGGCUCUAUCAUGUAUGCAAUGCUGUGUACCAGACCUGAUGUAUGCCUUGCUAUAAGUUUAGCAGGGAGGUACCAAAGUAAUCCAGGAAUGGAUCACUGGACAGCGGUCAAGAACAUCCUGAAAUACCUGAAAAGGACUAAGGAUAUGUUUCUCGUAUAUGGAAGUGACAAAGAGCUCAUCGUAAAAGGUUACGUUGAUGCAAGCUUUGACACUGAUCCGGACGAUUCUAAAUCGCAAACCGGAUACGUGUUUUCAUUAAACGGUAGGAGCUGUCAGUUGGUGCAGUUCUAAACAAAGCGUCGUAGCGGGAUCUACAUGUGAAGCGGAAUACAUAGCUGCUUCGGAAGCAGCAAAUGAAGGAGUCUGGAUGAAGGAGUUCAUAUCCGAUCUAGGUGUCAUACCUAGUGCAUCGGGUCCAAUGAAAAUCUUUUGUGACAAUACUGGUGCAAUUGCCUUAGCAAAGGAAUCCAGAUUUCACAAAAGGACCAAACACAUCAAGAGACGCUUCAACUCCAUCCGGGAUCUAGUCCAGGUGGGAGACAUAGAGAUUUGCAAGAUACAUACGGAUCUGAAUGUUGCAGACCCGUUGACUAAGCCUCUUCCACGAGCAAAACAUGAUCAGCACCAAGGCUCCAUGGGUGUUAGAAUCAUUACAGUGUAAUCUAGAUUAUUGACUCUAGUGCAAGUGGGAGACUGAAGGAAAUAUGCCCUAGAGGCAAUAAUAAAGUUAUUAUUUAUUUCCUUAUAAUCAUGAUAAAUGUUUAUUAUUCAUGCUAGAAUUGUAUUUACCGGAAACAUAAUACAUGUGUGAAUACAUAGACAAACAAAGUGUCACUAGUAUGCAUCUACUUGACUAGCUCGUUAAUCAAAGAUGGUUAUGUUUCCUAACCAUGAACAAUGAGUUGUUAUUUGAUUAACGAGGUCACAUCAUUAGUAGAAUGAUCUGAUUGACAUGACCCAUUCCAUUAGCUUAGCACCCGAUCGUUUAGUGUGUUGCUAUUGCUUUCUUCAUGACUUAUACAUGUUCCUAUGACUAUGAGAUUAUGCAACUCCCGUUUACCGGAGGAACACUUUGGGUACUACCAAACGUCACAACGUAACUGGGUGAUUAUAAAGGAGUACUACAGGUGUCUCCAAUGGUCGAUGUUGGGUUGGCGUAUUUCGAGAUUAGGAUUUGUCACUCCGAUUGUCGGAGAGGUAUCUCUGGGCCCUCUCGGUAAUACACAUCACAUAAGCCUUGCAAGCAUUACAACUAAUAUGUUAGUUGUGAGAUGAUGUAUUACGGAACGAGUAAAGAGACUUGCCGGUAACGAGAUUGAACUAGGUAUUGGAUACCAACGAUCGAAUCUCGGGCAAGUAACAUACCGAUGACAAAGGGAACAACGUAUGUUGUUAUGCGGUCUGACCGAUAAAGAUCUUCGUAGAAUAUGUAGGAGCCAAUAUGGGCAUCCAGGUCCCGCUAUUGGUUAUUGACCAGAGACAUGUCUCGGUCAUGUCUACAUUGUUCUCGAACCCGUAGGGUCCGCACGCUUAAGGUUACGAUGACAGUUAUAUUAUGAGUUUAUGCAUUUUGAUGUACCGAAGGUUGUUCGGAGUCCCGGAUGUGAUCACGGACAUGACGAGGAGUCUCGAAAUGGUCGAGACAUAAAGAUUGAUAUAUUGGAAGCCUAUGUUUGGACAUCGGAAGUGUUCCGGGUGAAAUCGGGAUUUUACCGGGUUACCGGGAGGUUACCGGAACCCCCCGGGAACCACAUGGGCCUUCAUGGGCCUUAGUGGAAAGGAGAAAAGGGCAGCCCAAGGGGGCUGCGCGCCUCCCCCCUUCCCCUAGUCCUAUUAGGACUAGGAGAGGUGGCCGGCCACCCCUCUCCCUCUUUCCCCCUUGGGAAUCCUAAUUGGAAUAGGAUUGGAGGGGAGUCCUACUCCCGGUAGGAGUAGGACUCCUCCUGCGCCUCCUCCUCCUGGCCGGCGCACCCUCCCCCCUUGGCUCCUUUAUAUACUGAGGCAGGGGCACCUCUAAACACACAAGUUGACACAAGUUGAUCCACGUGAUCAAUUCCUUAGCCGUGUGCGGUGCCCCCUGCCCCCUGCCACGACGCCUUAUGAACUGUGGUUUGGCAAGAAACCAAAGUUGUCGUUUCUUAAAGUUUGGGGCUGCGAUGCUUAUGUGAAAAAACUUCAAACUGAUAAGCUCGAACCCAAAUCGGAGAAAUGUGUCUUCAUAGGAUACCCAAAGGAAACUGUUGGGUACACCUUCUAUCACAGAUCCGAAGGCAAAACAUUCGUUGCUAAGAAUGGAUCAUUUCUAGAGAAGGAGUUUCUCUCGAAAGAAGUGAGUGGGAGGAAAGUAGAACUUGACGAGGUAACUGUACCUGCUCCCUUACUGGAAAGUAGUUCAUCACAGAAAACUGUUUCAGUGACACCUACACCGGUUAGUGAGGAAGCCAAUGAUAAUGAUCAUGAAACUUCAGAUCAAGAUACUACUGAACCACGUAGAUCAACCAGAGUAAGAUCCGCGCCAGAGUGGUACGGAAAUCCUGUUCUGGAAGUCAUGCUACUAGAUCAUGAUGAACCUACGAACUAUGAAGAAGCGAUGGUGAGCCCAGAUUCCGCAAAGUGGCUUGAAGCCAUGAAAUCUGAGAUGGGAUCCAUGUAUGAGAACAAAGUAUGGACUUUGGUUGACUUGCCCGAUGAUCGGCAAGCAAUUGAGAAUAAAUGGAUCUUUAAGAAGAAGACUGACGCUGAUGGUAAUGUUACUGUCUACAAAGCUCGACUUGUCGCAAAAGGUUUUCGACAAGUUCAAGGAAUUGACUACGAUGAGACCUUCUCACCCGUAGCGAUGCUUAAGUCCGUUAGAAUCAUGUUAGCAAUUGCCGCAUUUUAUGAUUAUGAAAUUUGGCAAAUGGAUGUCAAAACUGCAUUCCUGAAUGGAUUCCUGGAAGAAGAGUUGUAUAUGAUGCAACCAGAAGGUUUUGUCGAUCCAAAGGGAGCUAACAAAGUGUGCAAGCUCCAGCGAUCCAUUUAUGGACUGGUGCAAGCCUCUCGGAGAUGGAAUAAACGUUUUGAUAGUGUGAUCAAAGCAUUUGGUUUUAUACAGACUUUCGGAGAAGCCUGUAUUUACAAGAAAGUGAGUGGGAGCUCUGUAGCAUUUCUGAUAUUAUAUGUGGAUGACAUAUUACUGAUUGGAAAUGAUAUAGAAUUUCUGGAUAGCAUAAAGGGAUACUUGAAUGAAAGUUUUUCAAUGAAAGACCUCGGUGAAGCUGCUUACAUAUUAGGCAUUAAGAUCUAUAGAGAUAGAUCAAGACGCUUAAUUGGACUUUCACAAAGCACAUACCUUGACAAAAUUUUGAAGAAGUUCAAAAUGGAUCAAGCAAAGAAAGGGUUCUUGCCUGUGUUACAAGGUGUGAAAUUGAGUAAGACUCAAUGCCCGACCACUGCAGAAGAUAGAGAGAAUAUGAAAGAUGUUCCCUAUGCAUCAGCCAUAGGCUCUAUCAUGUAUGCAAUGCUGUGUACCAGACCUGAUGUAUGCCUUGCUAUAAGUUUAGCAGGGAGGUACCAAAGUAAUCCAGGAAUGGAUCACUGGACAGCGGUCAAGAACAUCCUGAAAUACCUGAAAAGGACUAAGGAUAUGUUUCUCGUAUAUGGAAGUGACAAAGAGCUCAUCGUAAAAGGUUACGUUGAUGCAAGCUUUGACACUGAUCCGGACGAUUCUAAACCGCAAACCGGAUACGUGUUUUUAUUAAACGGUGGAGCUGUCAGUUGGUGCAGUUCUAAACAAAGCGUCGUAGCGGGAUCUACAUGUGAAGCGGAAUACAUAGCUGCUUCGGAAGCAGCAAAUGAAGGAGUCUGGAUGAAGGAGUUCAUAUCCGAUCUAGGUGUCAUACCUAGUGCAUCGGGUCCAAUGAAAAUCUUUUGUGACAAUACUGGUGCAAUUGCCUUGGCAAAGGAAUCCAGAUUUCACAAAAGGACCAAACACAUCAAGAGACGCUUCAACUCCAUCCGGGAUCUAGUCCAGGUGGGAGACAUAGAGAUUUGCAAGAUACAUACGAAUCUGAAUGUUGCAGACCCGUUGACUAAGCCUCUUCCACGAGCAAAACAUGAUCAGCACCAAAGCUCCAUGGGUGUUAGAUUCAUUACAGUGUAAUCUAGAUUAUUGACUCUAGUGCAAGUGGGAGACUGAAGGAAAUAUGCCCUAGAGGCAAUAAUAAAGUUAUUAUUUAUUUCCUUAUAAUCAUGAUAAAUGUUUAUUAUUCAUGCUAGAAUUGUAUUUACCGGAAACAUAAUACAUGUGUGAAUACAUAGACAAACAAAGUGUCACUAGUAUGCCUCUACUUGACUAGCUCGUUAAUCAAAGAUGGUUAUGUUUCCUAACCAUGAACAAUAAGUUGUUAUUUGAUUAACGAGGUCACAUCAUUAGUAGAAUGAUCUGAUUGACAUGACCCAUUCCAUUAGCUUAGCACACGAUCGUUUAGUAUGUUGCUAUUGCUUUCUUCAUGACUUAUACAUGUUCCUAUGACUAUGAGAUUAUGCAACUCCCGUUUACCGGAGGAACACUUUGGGUACUACCAAACGUCACAACGUCACUGGGUGAUUAUAAAGGAGUACUACAGGUGUCUCCAAUGGUCGAUGUUGGGUUGGCGUAUUUCGAGAUUAGGAUUUGUCACUCCGAUUGUCGGAGAGGUAUCUCUGGGCCCUCUCGGUAAUACACAUCACAUAAAGCCUUGCAAGCAUUACAACUAAUAUGUUAGUUGUGAGAUGAUGUAUUACGGAACGAGUAAAGAGACUUGCCGGUAACGAGAUUGAACUAGGUAUUGGAUACCGACGAUCGAAUCUCGGGCAAGUAACAUACCGAUGACAAAGGGAACAACGUAUGUUGUUAUGCGGUCUGACCGAUAAAGAUCUUCGUAGAAUAUGUAGGAGCCAAUAUGGGCAUCCAGGUCCCGCUAUUGGUUAUUAACCAGAGACAUGUCUCGGUCAUGUCUACAUUGUUCUCGAACCCGUAGGGUCCGCACGCUUAAGGUUACGAUGACAGUUAUAUUAUGAGUUUAUGCAUUUUGAUGUACCGAAGGUUGUUCGGAGUCCCGGAUGUGAUCACGGACAUGACGAGGAGUCUCGAAAUGGUCGAGACGUAAAGAUUGAUAUAUUGGAAGCCUAUGUUUGGACAUCGGAAGUGUUCCGGGUGAAAUCGGGAUUUUACCGGGUUACCGGGAGGUUACCGGAACCCCCCGGGAGCCAUAUGGGCCUUCAUGGGCCUUAGUGGAAAGGAGAAAGGGACAUCCCAAGGUGGCUGCGCCUCUUCCCCCUCCCCUAGUCCUAUUAGGACUAGGAGAAGGUGGCCGGCCCCCCUCUCUCCCUUCCCCUCCGAGGAAUCCUAGUUGGACUAGGAUUGGAGGAGGAAUCCUACUCCCAGAGGGAGUAGGACUCUCCUGCGCCUCCCUCUUUGGCCGGCCAGCCUCCCCUCCUCUCCUCCUUUAUAUACGGAGGCAGGGGCACCUCUAAACACACAAGUUGACACAAGUUGAUCCACGUGAUCAAUUCCUUAGCCGUGUGCGGUGCCCCCUGCCACCAUAUUCCUCGAUAAUACUGUAGCGGAGUUUAGGCGAAGCCCUGCUGCUGUAGUUCAUCAAGAUCGUCACCACGCCGUCGUGCUGACGGAACUCUUCCCCGACACUUUGCUGGAUCGGAGUCCGGGGAUCGUCAUCGAGCUGAACGUGUGCUCGAACUCGGAGGUGCCGUAGUUUCGGUGCUUGAUCGGUUGGAUCGUGAAGACGUACGACUACUUCCUCUACGUCGUGUCAUCGCUUCCGCAGUCGGUCUGCGUAGGGUACGUAGACAACACUCUUCUUUCGUUGCUAUGCAUCACAUGAUCCUGUGUGCGCGUAGGAAAUUUUUUGAAAUUACUACGAAACCCAACAGUCACUCCGUAUGAUGGAGAGGUAUCUCUGGGCCCACUCGGUAAUGCAUCAUCAUAAUGAGCUCAAGGUGACCAAGGUGUUGGCCACGGGAUCAUGCAUUACGGUACGAGUAAAGUGACUUGCCGGUAACGAGACUAAACAAGGUAUUGGGAUACCGACGAUCGUGUCUCGGGUAAGUAACGUACCGAUUGACAAAGGGAAUUGCAUACGGGAUUUGAUCGAAUCCUCGAUAUCGUGGUUCAACUGAUGAAAUCAUCGAGGAGCAUGUGGGAGCCAACAUGGGUAUCCAGAUCCCGCUGUUGGUUAUUGCCCGAGAGUUGUCUCGGUCAUGUCUACGUGUCUCCCGAACCCGUAGGGUCUACACACUUAAGGUUCGGUGACGCUAGGGUUGUAUGAAUAUGAGUAUGCAGCAUACCGAAUGUUGUUCGGAGUCCCGGAUGAGAUCCCGGAUGUCAUGAGGAGUUUCGGAAUGGUCCGGAGGUAAAGAAUAAUAUAUAGGAAGUGGUAUUUCGGCCAUCGGGAAAGUUUCGGGGUCACCCGGUAUUGUACCGGGACCACCGGAAGGGUCCCGGGGGUCCAUCGGGUGGGGCCACCCAUCCCGGAGGGCCCCAUGGGCUGACGUGGGAGGGAAGCCAUCCCAUAGUGGGCUGGUGCGCCCCUAGGCCCACCCCCUGCGCCUAGGGUUGAAACCCUAGGGNNNNNNNNNNNNNNNNNNNNNNNNNNNNNNNNNNNNNNNNNNNNNNNNNNNNNNNNNNNNNNNNNNNNNNNNNNNNNNNNNNNNNNNNNNNNNNNNNNNNNNNNNNNNNNNNNNNNNNNNNNNNNNNNNNNNNNNNNNNNNNNNNNNNNNNNNNNNNNNNNNNNNNNNNNNNNNNNNNNNNNNNNNNNNNNNNNNNNNNNNNNNNNNNNNNNNNNNNNNNNNNNNNNNNNNNNNNNNNNNNNNNNNNNNNNNNNNNNNNNNNNNNNAUUGCCUUGGCGCCUCCCUCCCCCUGCUACACCUCGUCCUCCUCCCGUAGACGCUUGGCGAAGCCCUGCUGGAGUUCUGCUGCAUCCACCACCACGCCGUCGUGCUGCUAGAUCAUCAUCAACCUCUCCUUCCCCCUUGCUGGAUCAAGAAGGAGGAGACGUCUCCCGUCCCGUACGUGUGUUGAACGCGGAGGUGUUGUCCGUUCAGCACUUGGACAUCGGUGAUCUGAAUCACGUCGAGUACGACUCCAUCAUCACCAUCCCUUUGCAAGCUUCCGCACGCGAUCUACAAGUGGUAUGUAGAUGCAAACUCACUCCCUUGACUCAUUGCUUAGAUGAACUCAUAGAUGGAUCUUGGUGAAACCGUAGGAAAAAUUUUAAUUUUCUGCAACGUUCCCCAACAGUGGCAGCAUGAGCUAGGUCUAUGCGUAGUUCUCUAAUGCACGAGUAGAACACAAUUUUGUUGUGGGCGUGGAUCUUGUCAACUUGCUUGCCUCUACUAGUCUUUUCUUGCUUCAGCGGUAUUGUGGGAUGAAGCGGCCCGGACCAACCUUACACGUACGCUUACGUGAGACCGGUUCCACCGAUUGACAUGCACUAGUUGCAUAAGGUGGCUGGCGGGUGUCUGUCUCUCCCACUUUAGUUGGAGCGGAUUCGAUGAAAAGGGCCCUUAUGAAGGGUAAAUAGAAGUUGACAAAAUCACGUUGUGGUUAUUCGUAGGUAAGAAAACGUUCUUGCUAGAACCCAAUCGCAGCCACGUAAAAGAUGCAACAACAAUUAGAGGACGUCUAACUUGUUUUUGCAGCGAUUGAUCAUGUGAUGUGAUAUGGCCAGAAGUUGUGAUGAAUGAUGAAUUGUGAUGUAUGAGAUCAUGUUCUUGUAAUAGGAUUCAUGACUUGCAUGUCGAUGAGUAUGACAACCGGCAGGAGCCAUAGGAGUUGUCUUUAUUUUUUGUAAGACCUGCGUGUCAUUGAAGAACGCCAUGUAAAUGUUGGAAAUAUGCCCUAGAGGCAAUAAUAAAAGUAUUAUUAUUAUAUUUCCUUGUUCAUGAUAAUUGUCUUUUAUUCAUGCUAUAACUAUAUUAUCCGGAAAUCGUAAUACACGUGUGAAUACAUAGACCACAAUAUGUCCCUAGUGAGCCUCUAGUUGACUAGCUCGUUGUGAUCAACAGAUAGUCAUGGUUUCCUGGCUAUGGACAUUGGAUGUCGUUGAUAACGGGAUCACAUCAUUAGGAGAAUGAUGUGAUGGACAAGACCCAAUCCUAAGACUAGCACAAAAGAUCGUGUAUUUCAUUUGCUAGAGCUUUGCCAAUGUCAAGUAUCUCUUCCUUCGACCAUGAGAGCGUGUAACUCCUGGAUACCGUAGGAGUGCUUUGGGUGUAUCAAACGUCACAACGUAACUGGUGGACUAUAAAGGUGCACUACAGGUAUCUCCGAAAGUAUGUAUUGUUUUAUGCGGAUCGAGACUGGGAUUUGUCACUCCGUGUAAACGGAGAGGUAUCUCUGGGCCCACUCGGUAGGACAUCAUCAUAUGCGCAAUGUGACCAAGAAGUUGAUCACGGGAUGAUGUGUUACGGAACGAGUAAAGUGACUUGCCGGUAACGAGAUUGAACAAGGUAUUGGAUACCGACGAUCGAAUCUCGGGCAAGUAACAUACCGAUAGACAAAGGGAAUUGAAUACGGGAUUGAUUAAGUCCUUGACAUCGUGGUUCAUCCGAUGAGAUCAUCGUGGAACAUGUGGGAGCCAUCAUGGGUAUCCAGAUCCCGCUGUUGGUUAUUGAUCGGAGAACGUCUCGGUCAUGUCUACAUGUCUCCCGAACCCGUAGGGUCUACACACUUAAGGUUCGAUGACGCUAGGGUUAUAAAGGAAGUUUGUAUGUGGUUACCGAAUGUUGUUCGGAGUCCCGGAUGAGAUCCCGGACAUCACGAGGAGUUCCGGAAUGGUCCGGAGGUAAAGAUUUAUAUAUGGGAAGUCCUAUUUUGGCCACCGGAAAAUGUUCGGGAUUUUUCGGUAUUGUACCGGGAAGGUUCUAGAAGGUUCCGGAGUGGGGCCCACCUGCAUGGGGGGACCCACAUGAACGUGGGUAGUGGGGGCGAGGCCCCACACCCCUGGUCAAGACGCACCAAGAUCCCCCCUUAGAAGGAAUAAGAUCAUAUCCCGAAGGGAUAAGAUCAAGAUCCCUAAAAAGGGGGGAUAACAAUCGGUGGGGAAGGAAAUGAUGGGAUUUCUUUCCUCCCACCUUGGCCAAUGCCCCAAUGGACUUGGAGGGCAAGAAACCAGCCCCUCCACCCCUAUAUAUAGUGGGGAGACACAUGGGAGCUACAGACGAAGUUCUGGCGCAGCCCUCCCCCUCUCCCAAGUCGUCCUCCUCUCCCGUGGUGCUUGGCGAAGCCCUGGUGGAUUGCCACGCUCCUCCAUCACCACCACACCGUUGUGCUGCUGUUGGAUGGAGUCUUCCUCAACCUCUCCCUCUCUCCUUGCUGGAUCAAGGCGUGGGAGACGUCACCGGGCUGUACGUGUGUUGAACGCGGAGGUGCCGUGCGUUCGGCACUUGAUCAUCGAUGAUUUGAAUCACGACGAGUACGACUCCUUCAACCCCGUUCUCUUGAACGCUUCCGCUUAGCGAUCUGCAAGGGUAUGUAGAUGCACUCUCUUUCUACUCGUUGCUGGUCUCUCCGUAGAUAGAUCUUGGUGACACAUAGGAAAAUUUUGAAUUUCUGCUACGUUCCCCUACAGUGGCAUCAUGAGCUAGGUCUAUUGCGUAGAUUCUUUGCACGAGUAGAACACAAAGUAGUUGUGGGCGUUGAUUUUGUUCAAUAUGCUUUCCGUUACUAGUCCAAUCUUGUUUCGACGGUAUUGUGGGAUGAAGCGGCCCGGACCGACCUUACACGUACUCUUACGUGAGACAGGUUCCACCGAUUGACAUGCACUUGGUGCAUAAGGUGGCUAGCGGGUGCCAGUCUCUCCCACUUUAGUCGGAACGGAUUCGAUGAAAAGGGUCCUUAUGAAGGGUAAAUAGCAAUUGGCAUAUCACGUUGUGGUUUUGCGUAGGUAAGAAACGUUCUUGCUAGAAACCCAUAGCAGCCACGUAAAACAUGCAAACAACAAUUAGAGGACGUCUAACUUGUUUUUGCAGGGUAUGCUAUGUGAUGUGAUAUGGCCAAGAAGAAUGUGAUGAAUGAUAUGUGAUGUAUGAGAUUGAUCAUGUUCUUGUAAUAGGAUUCACGACUUGCAUGUCGAUGAGUAUGACAACCGGCAGGAGCCAUAGGAGUUGCCUUUAUUUAUUGUAUGACCUGCGUGUCAUUUAACAACGCCAUGUAAAUUACUUUACUUUAUUGCUAAACGCGUUAGCCAUAGAAGUAGAAGUAGUCAUUGGCGUGACAACUUCAUGAAGACACGAUGAUGGAGAUCAUGAUGAUGGAGAUCAUGGUGUCAUGCCGGUGACAAGAUGAUCAUGGAGCCCCGAAGAUGAAGAUCAAAGGAGCUAUAUGAUAUUGGCCAUAUCAUGUCACUACUCUAUUUGAUUGCAUGUGAUGUUUAUCAUGUUUAUGCAUCUUGUUUACUUAGGACGACGGUAGUAAAUAAGAUGAUCCCUUACAAAAUUUCAAGAAGUGUUCUCCCCUAACUGUGCAUCGUUGCUAUAGUUCGUCGCUUCUAAGCACCACGUGAUGAUCGGGUGUGAUGGAUUCUUACGUUCACAUACAACGGGUGUAAGACAGUUUUACACAGCGAAAACACUUAGGGUUAACUUGACAAGCCUAGCAUGUACAGACAUGGCCUCGGAACACGGAGACCGAAAGGUCGAGCAUGAGUCGUAUAGUAGAUACGAUCAACAUGAAGAUGUUCACCGAUGAUGACUAGUCCGUCUCACGUGAUGAUCGGACACAACCUAGUUGACUCGGAUCAUGUAAUCACUUAGAUGACCAGAGGGAUGUCUAUCUGAGUGGGAGUUCAUAAGAUGAACUUAAUUAUCCUGAACAUAGUCAAAAGACCUUUUGCAAAUUAUGUCGUAGCUCGCGCUAUAGUUCUACUGUUUAGAUAUGUUCCUAGAGAAAAUAUAGUUGAAAGUUGAUAGUAGCAAUUAUGCGGACAGUAGAAAGCUUAUGUCCUUAAUGUACCGCUCAGUGUGCUGAACCCCAAACGUCGUUUGUGGAUGUUGCGAACAUCGGACAUACACGUUUUGAUAACUACGUGAUAGUUUAGUUAAACGGUUUAGAGUUGAGGCACCAAAGACGUUUUCGAAACAUCGCGAAACAUAUGAGAUGUUUCGAGGGCUGAAAUUGGGAUUUCAGGCUCGUGCCCACGUCAAGAGGUAUAAGACCUCCGACGAUUUUCUUAACCUGCAAACUAAGGAAGAAAAGCUCAAUCGUUGAGCUUGUGCUCAGAUUGUCUGAGUGCAACAAUCACUUGAAUCGAGUGGGAGUUAAUCUUCCAGAUGAGAUAGUGAUGUUUCCCCAAAGUCAUUGCCACCAAGCUGCUAGAGCUUCGUGAUGAACUAUAACAUAUCAGGGACAGAUAUGAUGAUCCUUGAGGUAUUCGCGAUGUUUGACACCGCGAAAGUAGAAAUCAAGAAGGAGCAUCAAUUGUUGAUGGUUGGUGAAACCACUAGUUUCAAGAAGGGCAAGUGCAAGAAGGGAUACUUCAUGAAAUGACAAAUCAGCUGCUGCUCCAGUGAAGAAACCCAAGGUUGAACCCAAACCCGAGACUAAGUGCUUCUGUAAUAAGGGGAACAAUCACUAGAGCAGAAUUACCCUAGAUACUUGGUAGAUGAGAAGGCUGGCAAGGUCGAUAGAAGUAUAUUGGAUAUACAUUAUGUUAAUGUGUACUUUACUAGUACUCCUAGUAGCACCAGGGUAUAAGAUACCGGUUCGGUUGCUAAGUGUUAGUAACUCGAAAUAAAAGCUACGGCAUAAACGGAGACUAGCUAAAGGUGAGCUGACGAUAUGUGUUGGAAGUGUCUCCAAUGUUGAUAUGAUCAAGCAUCACACGCUCCCUCUACCAUCGAGAUUUGGUGUUUGCGUUGAGCAUAGACAUGAUUGGAUUAUGUCUAUCGCAAUACGGUUAUUAAUUUAAAGAGAAUAAUGGUUACUCUAUUUAUUUGAAUAAUACCUUCAAUGGUCUUGCACCUAAAAUGAAUGGUUUAUUGAAUCUCGAUCGUAGUGAUACACAUUUUCAUGCCAAAAGAUAUAAGAUAGUAAUGAUAGUACCACUUACUUGUGGCACUGCCAUGUAAGUCAUAAUGGUAUAAAACGCAUGAAGAAGCUCCAUGUUGAUGGAUCUUUGGACUCACUCGUUUUUGAAAAGUUUGAGACAUGCGAACCAUGUCUAUUGGUGUAUAUGCAUGAAGAAACUCCAUGCAAAUGGACCGUUUGGACUCACUUGAUUUUGAAUCACUUGAGAUAUGCAAAUCAUACCACAUGGGCAAGAUGACUGAAAAAGCCUCGUUUUCAGUAAGAUGGAACAAGAUAGCAACUUGUUGGAAGUAACACAUUUUGAUGUGUCCAAUCCAAUGAGUGCUGAGGCAUGCAGUGAAUAUCGUUAAGAUCUUACUUCACAGAUGAUUCGAGUAGAUGUUGAGAAUAUUUACUUGAUGAAAUACAAGUCUGAAUUAUUGAAUGGUUCAAGUAAUUUCAGAGUGAAGUAGAAGAUCAUUGUGACAAGAGGAUAAAAUGUCUAUGAUAUGAUCAUAGAGAUGAAUAUCUGAGUUACGAGUUUUGGCACACAAUUAAGACAUUGUGGAAAUUGUUUCGCAAUUAAUACCGCCUGGAACACCAUAGUGUGAUGGUGUGUCCGAACAUCAUAGUUGCACCCUAUUGGAUAUGGUGCGUACCAUGAUGUCUCUUAUCGAAUUACCACUAUUGUCCAUGGGUUAGGCAUUAGAGACAACCACAUUCACUUUAAAUAGGGCACCACGUAAUUCCGUUGAGAUGACACCGUAUGAAUUAUGGUUUAGAGAAACCUAAGUUGUCAUUUCUUAAAAGUUUGGGGCUGCGACGCUUAUAUGAAAAAGUUUUAGGUUGAUAAGCUCGAACCCAAAGCGGAUAAAAUGCAUCUUCAUAGGAAACCCAAAACAGUUGGGUAUACCUCCUAAUUCAGAUCCGAAAGCAAUAUGGAUUGUUUCUUGAAUCGGGUCCUUUCUCGAGGAAAAGUUUCUCUCGAAAGAAUUGAGUGGGAGGAUGGUGGAAACUUGAUGAGGUUAUUGAACCGUCUCUUCAACUAGUGUGUGGCAGGGCACAGGAAGUUGUUCCUGUGGCACCUACACCAAUUGAAGUGGAAGCUUGUGAUGUUGAUCAUGAAACUUCGGAUCAAGUCACUACCAAACCUCGUGGGAUGACAAGGAUACGUACUACAUUAGAGUGGUACGUAAUCCUGUCUUGGAAGUCAUGUUGCUGGACAACAAUGAACCUACGAGCUAUGGAGAAGCAAUGGUGGGCCCGGAUUCCGAUAAAUGGCUCGAGGCCAUAAAAUCCGAGAAUGGAUCCAUGACUUUGGAAGAAAUACUUGAUGGUCGUAAGGCCAUUGGGUACGGAUGGAUUUUAAAAGGAAGACAGACAAUGAUGGUAAGAAUUACCAUUAAGAAAGCUCGACUUGUCGUUAAGAUAUUUUCCGACAAGUUCAAGGAGUUGAUUACGGUGAGGUUUUCUCACUCGUAGCGAUGCUAAGAGUCUGUUGGAAUUGGAUUAGCAGUUACUGCAUGAUUGAUGAAAUCUUGCAGAUAGGAUGUCAAAACAUUGUUUCCUCGACGUUAUACUUGAGGAAAGGUUGUAUGUGAUACAACCGGAAGGUUUUGUCAAUCCCAAAAGAUGCUAAUAAGUAUGCAAAGCUCCAGCAAUCCUUCUAAGGACUGGAGUGAGCAUCUCGGAGUUGGAAUGUGUGCUUUGAUGAUGAUCAAAGAUUUUGGGUUUGUACAAAGUUUACGAGAAACUUGUAUUUCCAAAGAAGUGAGUGGGAGCACUAUAGAAUUUCUGAUGAGUAUAUGUUGUUGACAUAUUGUUGAUCAGAAAUGACGUAGAAUUUCUGGAAAGCAUAUAGGGUUAUUUUGAAAGUGUUUUUCAAUGGAAAGCCUGGAUUAAGCUACUUGAACAUUGAGCAUCAAGAUCUAUAAGGAUAGAUCAAAAUGCUUAAUAAUACUUUCAAAUGAGCACAUGCCUUGACAUGAUCUUGAAGGUGUUCAAGAUGGACCAGCCAAAGAAGGAGUUCUUGCCUGAGUUGUAAGGUACGAAGUUAGGACUUAAAGCUCGACCACGGCAGAAAAGAGAGGAAGGAUGAAGGUCGUCCCCUAUACUUUAGACGUAGGCUCUACAGUAUGCCAUGCUGAGUACCGCACCUGAAGUGUGGCUUGCCAUGAGUUAGUCAAGGGGUACAAGAGUGAUCCAAGAAUGGAUCACAGGACAGCGGUCAAAGUUAUCCUUAGAAAUUAGUGGACUAAGGAAUUUUUCUCGAUUAUGGAGGUGGUAAAAGAGUUCGUCGUAAAGGGUUACGUCGAUGCAAGCUUGACACCUAUCCGGAUAGCUCUGAGUAGAGAUACCGGAUACAUAUAAUGGAGCAACAAUUUAGAAUAGCUCCAAGUAGAACAGUUAUUUGGAUUAGCUCCAAAUAGAGCGUGGUAGCUACAUCUAGGAGAUGACAUAGAGAUUUGUAAAACACACACGGAUCUGAAAGGUUCGGACCCGUUGACUAAAACCUCUCUCACAAGCAACAUGAUCAAACCUAAAACUCAUUGAGUAUUAAUCACAUAGUGAUGUGAACUAGACUACUGAUUCUAGUAAACUCUUGGGUGUUAGUCACAUGGCGCUGUGACCUGUGAGUGUUAAUCACAUGGCGAUGUGAACUAGAUUAUUGACUCUAGUGCAAGUGGGAGACUGUUGGAAAUAUGCCCUAGAGGCAAUAAUAAAAGUAUUAUUAUUAUAUUUCCUUGUUCAUGAUAAUUGUCUUUUAUUCAUGCUAUAACUGUAUCAUCCGGAAAUCAUAAUACACGUGUGAAUACAUAGACCACAAUAUGUCCCUAGUGAGCCUCUAGUUGACUAGCUCGUUGUGAUCAACAGAUAGUCAUGGUUUCCUGGCUAUGGACAUUGGAUGUCGUUGAUAACGGGAUCACAUCAUUAGGAGAAUGAUGUGAUGGACAAGACCCAAUCCUAAGACUAGCACAAAAGAUCGUGUAGUUCAUUUGCUAGGCUUUGCCAAUGUCAAGUAUCUCUUCCUUCGACCAUGAGAGCGUGUAACUCCUGGAUACCGUAGGAGUGCUUUGGGUGUAUCAAACGUCACAACGUAACUGGGUGACUAUAAAGGUGCACUACAGGUAUCUCCGAAAGUAUCUAUUGUUUUAUGCGGAUCGAGACUGGGAUUUGUCACUCCGUGUAAACGGAGAGGUAUCUCUGGGCCCACUCGGUAGGACAUCAUCAUAUGCGCAAUGUGACCAAGGAGUUGAUCAUGGGAUGAUGUGUUACGGAACGAGUAAAGUGACUUGCCGGUAACGAGAUUGAACAAGGUAUUGGAUACCGACGAUCGAAUCUCGGGCAAGUAACAUACCGAUAGACAAAGGGAAUUGAAUACGGGAUUGAUUAAGUCCUUGACAUCGUGGUUCAUCCGAUGAGAUCAUCGUGGAACAUGUGGGAGCCAUCAUGGGUAUCCAGAUCCCGCUGUUGGUUAUUGAUUGGAGAACGUCUCGGUCAUGUCUACAUGUCUCCCGAACCCGUAGGGUCUACACACUUAAGGUUCGAUGACGCUAGGGUUAUAAAGGAAGUUUGUAUGUGGUUACCGAAUGUUGUUCGGAGUCCUGGAUGAGAUCCCGGACGUCACGAGGAGUUCCGGAAUGGUCCGGAGGUAAAGAUUUAUAUAUGGGAACUCCUAUUUUGGCCACCGGAAAAUGUUCAGGAUUUUUCGGUAUUGUACCGGGAAGGUUCUAGAAGGUUCCGGAGUGGGGCCCACCUGCAUGGGGGGACCCACAUGAACGUGGGUAGUGGGGGCAAGGCCCCACAUGCCUGGUCAAGGCGCACGAAGAUCCCCCCUUAGAAGGAAUAAGAUCAUAUCCCGAAGGGAUAAGAUCAAGAUCCCUAAAAAGGGGGGAUAACAAUCGGUGGGGAAGGAAAUGAUGGGAUUUCUUUCCUCCCACCUUGGCCAACGCCCCAAUGGACUUGGAGGGCAAGAAACCAACCCCUCCACCCCUAUAUAUAGUGGGGAGACGCAUGGGAGCUACAGACGAAGUUCUGGCGCAGCCCUCCCCCUCUCCCAAGUCGUCCUCCUCUCCCGUGGUGCUUGGCGAAGCCCUGCUGGAUUGCCACGCUCCUCCAUCACCACCACGCCGUUGUGCUGCUGUUGGAUGGAGUCUUCCUCAACCUCUCCCUCUCUCCUUGCUGGAUCAAGGCGUGGGAGACGUCACCGGGCUGUACGUGUGUUGAACGCGGAGGUGCCGUGCGUUCGGCACUUGAUCAUCGAUGAUUUGAAUCACGACGAGUACGACUCCUUCAACCCCGUUCUCUUGAACGCUUCCGCUUAGCGAUCUACAAGGGUAUGUAGAUGCACUCUCUUUCUACUCGUUGCUGGUCUCUCCAUAGAUAGAUCUUGGUGACACGUAGGAAAAUUUUGAAUUUCUGCUACGUUCCCCUACAGUAAACUACUUUACUUUAUUGAUAAACGCGUUAGCCAUAGAAGUAGAAGUAGUCGUUGGCGUGACAACUUCAUGAAGACACGAUGAUGGAGAUCAUGAUGAUGGAGAUCAUGGUGUCAAGCCGGUGACAAGAUGAUCAUGGAGCCCCGAAGAUGGAGAUCAAUGGAGCUAUAUGAUAUUGGCCAUAUCAUGUCACAACUGUAUAAUUGCAUGUGAUGUUUAUUAUGUUUAUGCAUCUUGUUUACUUAGGACGACGGUAGUAAAUAAGAUGAUCCCUUACAAAAAUUUCAAGAAGUGUUCUCCCCUAACUGUGCAUCGUUGCUACAGUUCGUCGCUUCUAAGCACCACGCGAUGAUCGGGUGUGAUGGAUUCUUACGUUCACAUACAACGGGUGUAAGACAGUUUUACACAGCGAAAACACUUAGGGUUAACUUGACGAGCCUGGCAUGUACAGACAUGGCCUCGGAACACGGAGACCGAAAGGUCGAACACGAGUCGUAUGGAAGAUACGAUCAACAUGAAUAUGUUCACCGACGAUGACUAGUCCGUCUCACGUGAUGAUCGGACACGGGCUAGUCGACUCGGAUCGUGUGACACUUAGAUGACUGGAGGGAUGUCUAAUCUAAGUGGGAGUUCAUAAUUUGAUUAGAACUUAAUUAUCAUGAACUUAGUCUAAAACCUUUGCAAAUAUGUCUUGUAGAUCAAAUGGCCAACGCUCAGUUCAACAUGAACUUCAACGCGUUCCUAGAGAAAACCAAGCUGAAAGAUGAUGGCAGCAACUAUACGGACUAGGUCCGGAACCUGAGGAUCAUCCUCAUAGCUGCCAGGAAGCAAUAUGUCCUAGAAGGACCGCUAGGUGACGCUCCCGUCCCAGAGAACCAAGACGUUAUGAACGCUUGGCAAACUCGCGCUGAUGAUUACUCCCUCGUUCAGUGCGGCAUGCUUUACAGCUUAGAACCGGGGCUCCAAAAGCGUUUUGAGCAUCACGGAGCAUAUGAGAUGUUCGAAGAGCUGAAACUAGUUUUCCAAGCUCAUGCCCGGGUCGAGAGAUAUGAUGUCUCCGACAAGUUCUACAGUUGUAAGAUGGAGGAAAACAGUUCUGUCAGUGAGCACAUCCUGAAGAUGUCUGGGUUGCACAACCGUAUGACCCAGCUGAACAUUAACCUCCCAGAUGAGGCGGUCAUUGACAGAAUCCUCCAGUCGCUCCCACCAAGCUACAAGAGCUUUGUGAUGAACUACAACAUGCAGGGGAUGGUAAAGACCAUUCCUGAAGUGUUCUCGAUGCUGAAGUCAGCAGAGGCUGAAAUCAAGAAAGAACAUCAAGUGUUGAUGGUCAAUAAGACCACUAAGUUCAAGAAGGGCAAGGGUAAGAAGAACUUCAAGAAGGACGACAAAGAUGUUGCCGCGCCCGGUAAGCCAGUUGCCGGGAAGAAGUCAAAGAAUGGACCCAAGCCUGAGACUGAGUGCUUUUAUUGCAAGGGGAGGGUCACUGGAAGCGGAACUGCCCCAAAUACUUAUCGGAUAAGAAGGCCGGCAACACCAAAGGUAUAUUUGAUAUACAUGUAAUUGAUGUGUACCUUACAGUACUCGUAGUAACUCCUGGGUAUUUGAUACCGGUGCCGUUGCUCAUAUUUGUAACUCACAGCAGGAGCGGCGGAAUAAAUGGAGACUGGCAAAGGACGAGGUGACGAUGCGCGUCGGGAAUGGUUCCAGAGUCUAUGUGAUCGCCGUCGGCACGCUGCCUCUACAUUUACCCACGGGAUUAGUUUUGAACCUUAAUAAUUGUUAUUUAGUGCCAAGUUUGAGCAUGAACAUUGUAUCUGGAUCUCGUUUAAUACGAGAUGGCUACUCAUUUAAGUCUGAGAAUAAUGGUUGUUCGAUUUAUAUGAGAGAUAUGUUUUAUGGUCAUGCUCCGAUGGUCAAUGGUUUAUUCUUAAUGAAUCUCGAGCGUAAUAUUACACAUGUUCAUAGUGUGGAUGCAAAAAGAUGUAAAGUUGAUAACAAUAGUCCCACAUACUUGUGGCACUGCCGCCUUGGUCACAUUGGUGUCAAGCGCAUGAAGAAGCUCCAUGCUGAUGGACUUUUAGAGUCUCUUGAUUAUGAAUCGUUUGACACAUGCAAACCAUGCCUCAUGGGCAAAAUGACCAAGACUACGUUCUCCGGAACAAUGGAGCGAGCAACCAACUUGUUGGAAAUCAUACAUACCGAUGUGUGCGGUCCAAUGAGUGUUGAGGCUCGCGGAGGAUAUUGUUAUGUUCUCACUCUCACUGAUGACUUAAGUAGAUAUGGGUAUGUCUACUUAAUGAAACACAAGUCUGAGACCUUUGAAAAGUUCAAGGAAUUUCAGAGUGAGGUGGAGAAUCAACGUGACCGAAAGAUAAAGUUCCUACGAUCAGAUCAUGGAGGAGAAUACUUAAGUCUCGAAUUUGGUACACACUUAAGGAAAUGUGGAAUCGUUUCACAACUCACGCCGCCUGGAACACCUCAGCGAAACGGUGUGUCCGAACGUCGUAAUCGCACUCUAUUGGAUAUGGUGCGGUCUAUGAUGUCUCUUACCGAUUUACCGCUAUCAUUUUGGGGAUACACUCUAGAGACAGCUACAUUCACUUUAAAUAGGGCACCGUCUAAAUCCGUUGAGACGACACCGUAUGAAUUAUGGUUUGGGAAGAAACCUAAGCUGUCGUUUCUAAAAGUUUGGGGAUGCGAUGCUAAUGUCAAGAAACUUCAACCUGAAAAGCUCGAACCCAAGUCGGAAAUAUGCGUCUUCAUAGGAUAACCUAAGGAAACUGUCGGGUAUACCUUCUACUUAAGAUCCGAGGGCAAGAUCUUUGUUGCCAAGAACGGAUGCUUUCUGGAAAAAGAGUUUCUCUCGAAAGAAGUAAGUGGGAGGAAAGUAGAACUCGAUGAAGUACUACCUCUCGAACGGGAAAGUGGUGCAGCGCAGGAAACCGUUCCUAUGAUGCCCACACCAACUGAAGAGGAAAACAAUGAUGAUGAUCAAGGUACUUCGGAUCAAGUUGCUACUGAACUUCGUAGGUCCACAAGGACACGUUCCGCACCAGAGUGGUACGGCAACCCUGUCCUGGAAAUCAUGUUGUUAGACAACGGUGAACCUUCGAACUAUGAAGAAGCGAUGGCGGGCCCAGAUUCCAACAAAUGGCUUGAGGCCAUGAAAUCCGAGAUAGAAUCCAUGUAUGAAAACAAAGUAUGGACUUUGACAGACUUGCCCGAUGAUCGGCGAGCGAUAGAAAACAAAUGGAUUUUUAAGAAGAAGACGGACGCGGAUGGUAAUGUUACCAUCUACAAAGCUCGACUUGUCGCUAAGGGUUAUCGACAAGUUCAAGGGAUUGACUACGACGAGACAUUCUCUCCCGUAGCGAAGCUAAAGUCCGUCCGAAUCAUGUUAGCAAUUGCCGCAUACUAUGAUUAUGAGAUAUGGCAGAUGGACGUCAAAACGGCAUUCCUUAAUGGACAUCUUAAGGAAGAGCUGUAUAUGAUGCAUCCGGAAGGUUUUGUCGAUCCUAAGAACACUAACAAAGUAUGCAAGCUCCAGCGAUCCAUUUAUGGACUGGUGCAAGCAUCUCGGAGUUGGAACAUUAGCUUUGAUGAGAUGAUCAAAGCGUUUGGGUUUAUGCAGACUUAUGGAGAAGCCUGCGUUUACAAGAAAGUGAGUGGGAGCUCUGUAGCAUUUCUCAUAUUAUAUGUAGAUGACAUACUCUUGAUGGGAAAUGAUAUAAAACUUCUGGACAGCAUUAAGGCCUACUUGAAUAAGUGUUUUUCAAUGAAGGACCUUGGAGAAGCUGCUUAUAUAUUAGGCAUCAAAAUCUAUAGAGAUAGAUCGAGACGCCUCAUAGGUCUUUCACAAAGCACAUACCUUGAUAAGAUUUUGAAGAGGUUCAAAAUGGAUCAGUCCAAGAAGGGGUUCUUGCCUAUGUUACAAGGUGUGAGAUUGAGCUCAGCUCAGUCACCGACCACGGCAAAAGAUAAAGAAGAGAUGAGUGUCAUCCCCUAUGCUUCAGCCAUAGGAUCUAUUAUGUAUGCCAUGCUGUGUACCAGACCCGAUGUAAACCUUGCCGUAAGUUUGGUAGCAAGAUAUCAAAGUAAUCCCGGCAAGGAACACCGGACAGCGGUCAAGAAUAUCCUGAAGUACCUGAAAAGGACAAAGGACAUGUUUCUCGUUUAUGGAGGAGACGAAGAGCUCGUCGUAAAGGGUUACGUCGACGCUAGCUUCGACUCAGAUCUGGAUGACUCUAAGUCACAAACCGGAUACGUGUAUAUGUUGAAUGGUGGAGCAGUAAGCUGGUGCAGCUGCAAGCAUUGCAUCAUGGCGGGAUCUACGUGUGAAGCGGAGUACAUGGCGGCCUCGGAGACAGCACAUGAAGCGAUUUGGGUGAAGGAGUUCAUCACCGACCUAGGAGUCAUACCCAAUGCGUCGGGGCCGAUCAAACUCUUCUGUGACAACACUGGAGCUAUUGCCCUUGCCAAGGAGCCCAGGUUUCACAAGAAGACCAGGCACAUCAAGCGUCGUUUCAACUCCAUCCGUGAAAAUGUUCAAGAUGGAGACAUAGAGAUUUUCAAAGUACACACGGAUCUGAAUGUCGCAGAUCCGUUGACUAAACCUCUCUCGCGAGCAAAACAUGAUCAACACCAGAACUCUAUGGGUGUUCGAUUCAUCACAAUGUAACUAGAUUGGUGACUCUAGUGCAAGUGGGAGACUGUUGGAAAUAUGCCCUAGAGGCAAUAAUAAAAGUAUUAUUAUAUUUCAUUGUUCAUGAUAAUUGUCUUUUGUUCAUGCUAUAACUGUAUUAUCCGGAAAUCGUAAUACACGUGUGAACAAAUAGACCACAAUAUGUCCCUAGUGAGCCUCUAGUUGACUAGCUCGUUGUGAUCAACAGAUAGUCAUGGUUUCCUGACUAUGGACAUUGGAUGUCGUUGAUAAUGGGAUCACAUCAUUAGGAGAAUGAUGUGAUGGACAAGACCCAAUCCUAAGCAUAGCACAAAGAUCGUGUAGUUCGUUUGCUAGAGCUUUGCCAAUGUCAAGUAUCUCUUCCUUCGACCAUGAGAUCGUGUAACUCCCGGAUCCCGUAGGAGUGCCUUGGGUGUAUCAAACGUCACAACGUAACUGGGUGACUAUAAAGGUGCAUUACAGGUAUCUCCGAAAGUGUCUGUUGGGUUGACACAGAUCGAGACUGGGAUUUGUCACUCCGUAUGACGGAGAGGUAUCUCUGGGCCCACUCGGUAAUGCAUCAUCAUAAUGAGCUCAAGGUGACCAAGGUGUUGGCCACGGGAUCAUGCAUUACGGUACGAGUAAAGUGACUUGCCGGUAACGAGACUGAACAAGGUAUUGGGAUACCGACGAUUGUGUCUCGGGUAAGUAACGUACCGAUUGACAAAGGGAAUUGUAUACGGGAUUUGAUCGAAUCCUCGACAUCGUGGUUCAACCAAUGAAAUCAUCGAGGAGCAUGUGGGAGCCAACAUGGGUAUCCAGAUCCCGCUGUUGGUUAUUGCCCGAGAGUUGUCUCGGUCAUGUCUACGUGUCUCCCGAACCCGUAGGGUCUACACACUUAAGGUUCGGUGACGCUAGGGUUGUAUGAAUAUGAGUAUGCAGCAUACUGAAUGUUGUUCGGAGUCCCGGAUGAGAUCCCGGACGUCAUGAGGAGUUUCAGAAUGGUCCGGAGGUAAAGAAUAAUAUAUAGGAAGUGGUAUUUCGGCCAUCGGGAAAGUUUUGGGGUCACCCGGUAUUGUACCGGGACCACCGGAAGGGUCCCGGGGGUCCACCGGGUGGGGCGACCCAUCCCGGAGGGCCCCAUGGGCUGACGUGGGAGGGGAGCCAGCCCAUAGUGGGCUGGUGCACCCCCCCUAGGCCCACCCCCUGCGCCUAGGGUUGAAACCCUAGGGUGGGGGGGCGCACCACAUGCCUUGGGGGGCACUCCUCCCCCCUUGGCCGCCGCCCCCUUGGGAGAUUGGAUCUCCCAGGGCCGGCGCCCCCCCUGGGGUCCUAUAUAAAGGAGGGCAGGGGGAGGGCAGCCGCACCGAUUGCCUUGGCGCCUCCCUCCCCCUGCUACACCUCGUCCUCCUCCCAUAGACGCUUGGCGAAGCCCUGCUGGAGUUCUGCUGCAUCCACCACCACGCCGUCGUGCUGCUGGAUCAUCAUCAACCUCUCCUUCCCCCUUGCUGGAUCAAGAAGGAGGAGACGUCUCCCGUCCCGUACGUGUGUUGAACGCGGAGGUGCUGUCCGUUCAGCACUUGGACAUCAGUGAUCUGAAUCACGUCGAGUACGACUCCAUCAUCACCAUCCCUUUGCAAGCUUCCGCACGCGAUCUACAAGUGGUAUGUAGAUGCAAACUCACUCCCUUGAUUCGUUGCUUAGAUGAACUCAUAGAUGGAUCUUGGUGAAACCGUAGGAAAUUUUUCAAUUUUCUGCAACGUUCCCCAACAAUCUUUAAUAGUCAUCUCCUCUGACUUCACUCCAAUAUAAUGUAACCUCUGUGUCAGUUCCUCAAUGCCUGCCAGCGCUGAUUUCAUAAUCCCUUUGGUAUUAGCUUGCCCUCUUAGGUGCUGAGCGGUUGUUGAGUUCUGUAUCUGGUCAGAAUAUGAGCUCAUAUACCUAACAGCAUAGUACCAGCCUUUGCGUAGUUUCUUGAUAGUCUCAUUUCCUUCCAACAACCACGUGACCAAAUGCCUAACUUGAUUUUGAAGCAUUAUGACAUGGGUGUAGUGGUAGUCUCUAAUUUCUUUCCCACACGCAUUUUCCAUAUAUCUAAUAGCUUUUAUAGCGGCACUGUCUUCUGCAUCUUCAUAGGUAUGUGAAACCAUACCAGAUAUUGAGGUAAAAACAAGCAAACCAUCAAGCUGCUCUAAGGAAGAAUUGAAAGUGACCUUGCCACCCGGACGUAUCUUGUGAUGGUAAAUUGUAGGGGGCAAUUUUAAAGCUUCCAACAUAAGCCCAAAUAUGUGGGAAUAGGGGAUUACUAUCAGAUAGUCAUCUUCCUGUAGGUUCAUAAUGAGGUCAAAAUAGUUGUUUCACAAAAGAACAUCUAGGUAGUCAGAUGAGGGUUUGAAUCGGAUAUGCCAGAUCAUAGAAAGUUAGAGCAUGUGUUUAGAAGAUUACUCUGGAUUCAGGUGUUCUUGUCCUUGACGAUGUUGAACCUGGAGAUCCCUCGUCACAAAUCAAACCAAUGUCCAUGCGUCCAUGCCUAAGAUGUCCAUGGCGUCCAUGCCUAAGGUCUUGGAUCUGAGCCUGUAGUGUGAUAUUGAAGUGAGGAAAAAGUCAACAGUGAAUGAGAGAGGAAAGCAGGCGUUGAAUUACCUUUACUUCGAAGAAUGGCUGCCAAAGAAGCUGAUGGAGCCGUCGCUGGGCACACCUCAUAUUCAAUAGAUUUGGAUGAUGAAAUGGAAAAGCGCUUCAUAUUCGACAGAUUCACAUGAUGAAAGGGAGAAGUGCACAGGUUCAGGGCAUUAUACCAAAAGCAAAACAGAGCAGGAUCGCAUCACACUAACAUAUUUACAAUGUAGUGACUUUUUUGAGGGAAUACAAUGCAGUGACCGUAAUAUUUGAUAAAGUGUGGCUUACCGUACCCCAUUUGUCCCCAACCAUAUCAAGCCCAGUAAGGUUCACAAAGAUUAAAAGGUUCGGAGCAUCGAAUUCUAUUACAUACCAGUUGUGUUUUACCAUAGGCAAUGCAACAUGUGAUACACCAAAAGGAUUGAGGAUUCAAGGUUCAGUUCAUCGUACCAAAAGGCCACAAAUAACCAUUCAUCUAUUAAUACUCCUAGAUGUUGAGUCACGGGAAUAAGAGCGGUACUGACAAUACAUCAGAGCUUAUAUGUGCACACAAGUUCAUGUUCAUUAUUCAUUAAGUGACUUUACAUCACCGAUAGGAAGUGCAGCUCGCUGCAACCCACCUCUAGCCAACCUGGUAGUACACUAUUCAAUAGAUCCAAUGAAUGCAAAGGUAUAAGGGUAGCAGACAGAUGAAAGGAUCAAAGAAAGACACAAGGAGGAGUAAUCACUUGUAAUAUUAAUGGUUCGGUCCAUACAUCCCUUUGAGCAUGUCAUGGAACCAAUAUAUAUGGUUCUAACUUUGAUCCCAUCUUUGAGCGAAACUACAUUUUUAUAGAUCUCCUAAUUUUGAUCCCAUUAUUUUAUAGUCCACCAUUCAAUAGUUAAUUUAACAUCAACAUCAGGAGGGAGUGUACCUCCCUUUUGCAUUUGAAUCGGUUGGAACGAUUAAACCUCUCCGCAAACAAAAUCUGCAAAGCAUGUAUCAAACAUUUUAUAGUAUGCUGGCAAUACAGAGCAAUAAAAAAACCACAAGACAAUAAUAAUGGAUGGACCUAACUUCACAUAGUAUGAAAAAUGCUCAAUUCAAUUUUUUUGAUAGUCGAUAAGUGUUUCCCAUGAGAAGUUGUAUGGUGUACAGCUGGCCAGAAAUACACACCCUGAUCAGUACAUAGUAGUAAUUGUAACAUAUAGUCUUUCUAUUUGUAUAAGCCUACAAAUUUAUGCACUUCACGAAGUAAGUGAUAUUCGACUUGUAAGUAUUCCAUUACCAUUUACCAACCACAUUUAUAUCAUAGCUCUGGAAGCUUUGGACCUCAAUACACCUUUGUUUGACCACUAUGGGGCCUUUCAAACCCUUUUUGUUCGCCUAGUCAGCACCUUAGAACGCAAUCAACAUCUUUAGCACAUCAAGAAAUACAUAUCUGGAUCAUACAAUAUAUAGCUAGUGACUUUGUUAUUCCAGUAAAUACAUAUCCUAUAUAGAUAGGAAACCGCCACGCAUUGCCCGCAGAAGCGGUGGGCUAACCAACAUUAAUAACCUCUUUAAAAGCCAAUAAGGUUAAAGAAGUAUACACCUAAAUAACUAAUCAUGCAUAUACACAAAUAGAUAUGGAUCUAAAUAUUUUGCUAGUUACCUAUGGUUUUUAGACAAAUGAAAAUAAAUAGGUGUUCCUUUAUGAAAAGGGUAUGCGGGUGCAUACCAUAAACUGUAGAAAUUGAAUAUUCAUUAUAGAAAACAGAAGUAGAAGAGCUAGAUUCAAAACAUUGAUGAAAAACUGCAACAAGUUAUUCUGUCUGUAUGUAUCUAUGGAUCGAAGUUUAUCACAAUAUUUUGAAGCAUACCAAGCUUCUGGUUCAUGCUCCUAUAUUUUAGUUCACGAAAGAAAAAAAUUCUAGUAAACUGAAACAAAAUCUAAAACGCAUGUCGAAUGCAUAUUUCAACACUCGGCACUCCACCGCAGUAAUCAUAACAUGCACCUGCUAGUGAAAGAUGAACAACUCUUUUUAAUCUGCAUUCUUAUAGUUCCCUUAUUCAAAAUUUAAAUGAAUAAAUUUGAUGACACACAAUCUUACAGGACAGUAAAUAACUACAGUUCUUCUCCUCGAAAGGCAGAAUCCAAACUCGCUAGGGUCAAAUCGACAGUUAAGUGACUGACUGUUUUUGAUUGAACUAAAUCAAGUAUGAAUGAGAAUAAAUCACAAAGUUUUAGUGGUAGAAACCAUCCAAGAGAUACACCAUCAACUACACAUUUAUCACACGCAUAUGCCAGAUAUUUUACCACAAUGGAGCUGAAUAAAAAAACACUGGACAACUUCAGUGAUAUUUUAAAUGGCUUAAACUGGUAGAAUUAGUUUGCGCCAUUUUAUACUUCUUUUCACGAAGGAGCACAUCUAGCGGCAAGAAUCGAUAGGCAAGACCCACCUUACCAGCGUCACGCCGAUGCGAAGGCAUCUCGCAGAUCCAAGGCGACCAGCCCCACCGACCGUAAUUGUAAUUGACGGUAAGACAACAGCUAAUAACAAAAAAGUGGAAUUGAAAUGAGAAGAGUCAGACCUCCUUCCAUCUUUCUAUGCUUCAACUUUAUGUUCUUACAAUGGUUUCCAUGCUCCCAGCAGCUGCUUCCAAAUGCAGUUGAAGCAAAUCGUCGUCUUCUGAAUCCUUGUAGACAACCUCCAUGGUAAAGCAAGAAUCAAGAAAGGUUUUCUACAAACCUGACCAUAAACAUGAACACAAUAACAAUAUAAAACUCGCAGUGCAAAAAACCACACCUUGCUGGGUAGUUUUGGUUGCAGCUCACUUGAUUUGUUCCUUUGGUGUUAUCUAAAUCAGGAUCAACAACGAAAACAAAAUCCAUUGAGCAUCAUCACCCCUUGCACCCCAGCCUCAACGAUGAUCCCCAUCAGGAAGUCUGGGAUGACGAUGGCAAUGAUCAUCAUCAUGCUCUCCACCAGCAGUGUGCACAUGCACAGGUUGACAACGAAGUAGGUGAAGCGGUCAGGUCCUUUCAUUUGCCCGGUAAGGUAGUACAUCAUUCUGCCAAGGAUCACAGCGAUGACAGCCAGGUAUGGAGUGGCUGACAAUGUGUUUGAGAUCACAAACUCCGCCAUGCCGUAAUGGCCACUCGGCCUCUCCCUUCUGAAUACCUAGAAACAAAGUGUGCAGACAGACUUUUAUUUAUUUCAGACUUUCAAUAUACAAUGAAAGCAUGGACAUAUAAGUGCUCUUAUGAAAAUGUCAGUCUGAUGGCAGGGAGAAAGCAACCUUUACAUCCUCUACAAAAGAAGUGAAUCCUCCAAUGGCCAUGAAGGUAAGAAGUGUCGUCGUAUACAUUAUUACUUCACAUCUAGACUGAAAAAUCAGAGGAACAGAUCAAUUUUUGUUGACAUAUAAAUUAUUUAUGUUGCCUAAUGAAUCAUGUCUUCUAGAAUUCACCUGGAUGGAACUGUAACUAUGGACAACUUGGUAUAAUAUGGUGCCAAGACAAAUGCCAAUGCCUAGGUAAACACCCAAGCGCAUCCAGUAGUAUCCUAUGUCCCUGUGCAUAUUCACAAAUGACCUUCUGGUGAGUACAAAGAGCUUUGCUGAGAAGAUCGCUUGUUCCCUCUUCCUAAAUGGAGCUCCACCCUGGAACAUAGCUCAAUAAUACUAGAACAAUAAUUUGAUUUUGAAUGUGUAAACUUCGCUAGGCCAGCACCGUAUACUCUGCGGCGAGAAGUUUGUUGCCGAUUCAUUCAAAUGAAAAAUGACAUGUUGUACAGAUGCUGAAUUAGCAUGUUGUUCCCUCCAGUUCAUAAUGGAGAUUCUUUAGGGGCUGAACUUUGAAAACUUUGACGGCCAGUAUGUUUUGAAUAUUCAGAUCCAAAAUGGUAUGCGUUUCUCAGAAAAUAUUUCCAACAUGUUAUAAUUUUACUGGGUACUAUAUGUACAUAUUAUACCACAACAAAAACAAGUUGCCAAAGUUACAUUUUGAAGGCCGUGUAAAAGACACCACUUUUUCGUGAGCUAGAGGGAGUACUUCACUGACUGAAUUUGCCCUAGUAAUUAGUUUGCAGUUGGUAUAUACAGAUCUGUCCACAUUUGGGUGGUCCCUUCUUUGUAACCAAACAUUUUGGUAUAGCCAAAACAAUACAAUCUUUACUCUCGAGAAAAAAGGGGCUUGUAAGCAACUUACUAUCCCUUUCAUCUCAGCUAUCCGGUUCAUUCUUUUCUCUAAAUAAGCGAGGGACUGGUAAGCAUUUGUUAGAAUCUCUAUUGCUUCAGCUGCCAUUUUUUCCUAGCUUUGGAACUCUCUACAAUUUCCUGCAUGCAUAUGGGAUCACAUAGCCAAAGUAAAGAUGAUGCACUUCUUGUGCAGAGUAUCAUACAACAAAAUGACAAGGAAAAACAGGCACUACCUCGUCAAAAUCUUUGUUGAUUGUCCUCGGGAAGUGGUUGGAUGGGUUCCUCAGGUGUGGGAAUGGGAAGCCACUUUCAGUGUAAUAUUUGAAAGGUCAAUAACAUACAUGUUUUUCUAUCAUAGGUCAAAAGUAAUUCAGUACGAAUAAACUGGAUGCUUUAGUAUGUUUUCAUUCUAAAGGAAAAAAACAACAUUGGCUGACACUUGUACACAUUAACACGAGCCUUAUUAUACAACCAAAGUUUGAUCAAGCCAAUAGCAAAUCUGCUAAUACACAUACUACUGAACGUUUAUAGCACUCGUGUAGCACUUCCAGCGAGGUUGUCCAGCCAAUAGGAAAUCUGUAGCUACAGAGAGAGGCGAACCUGUGGACAGCUGCAUCGUUCUCCUACCCAUGCUCGACAUUGACGGCGGUGCUGCCAUGCCACCACGAGGAAGAGCAAGAGGAACGCCUCCACCUGUGGUGUGGUGCGGCCGGGAGAAGAAGGUGGCCUCCGCCAUUCGGUGGCGCCAACCGCUGGGGGUUGGCCUAGUGCUCCUCCCGUUGAAGCCGCCCGUGCUCCCUCUAUCGAGCAUCAUGGAGGAGUGGAUGAAGAGGAGGCUAAGGUGAGCUUGUGUGGUGGCUGGCAUUGGGAGAGGGACGGAAGGGAGAGAGAAGUGUACCUGGUCGCCCAGGAAUGCCUCGCUAGAGCCGGAGAUGCAGCAAGGCCUGGGGCGGUUCUUGGCGCCGGGAGGCCAAGCACGCGCCAUGGCCAGCGGGAAGCGGAGCCGCACGUGGGGGCGAGGGAGGAGACAGAGAGGAGCCGCCGGAGUCCAUCAGCGAUGAUGUAGGGUAGAACCCUAGAGGCCGAUCUUUCACGUUUGCAAAGGAUCCCUACGAAGAACACGAAGAACACGAGAAGGGGAACGAGAGAAAAACACAAGAAAUCACUCAACCAACAGGAACAAAGUCACACAUGUGCUAGAUCAUCGAGCCACGAGGUAAUACAAGAUCCAAAUCCAACGAGAGACGAUACAAAGGGUAACGGUUCUUCUCCGUGACGAGGUCUUGAUGGUCUUCUACGGAUGAAGGUCUUGAAUCCUGGUGGAUCAUCUCUGAAGAGGUGUCGGCCCCUCACGAGGAGCAAAUGCGGAUGUAUGAGCGAGGCUCUAUCUCACAAAUGAGCUAAAUCAACGCUAAGUCUCAAAAGGAGGAGGAGGAGUCCUAUAUAUAGACUAGGGGGGCGAAGGGGUACAUGGGCUCAGCCCAACACACACGCACAGACGGGGUCCGGAUGAUCCGGGUGAGGAGCCGUAUGAGCCGGGUUUGGGCCGGAUGAUCCGGGAGGAGGCCCGGAUGAGCUGGUGACGCAGGCGGUGGCGGAGCAGGUCCGGAUGUCCGGCUGGGGGUCCGGAUGUCCGGGCAAUGUCUGGAUGAUCCGGGUCGGCGUCCGAAUGGUCCGGCUUUGGGGGGUGAGCUUCGGGUGAUUUAGCCGGAUCGUCUGGACUAGGGUCCGGAUCGUCCGGCCAGCCUGGGACUUGGCGCUUUUCCUCUCCGUCUUCAUGCAUGUCUUCCGCUUCUGGUUCUCCUUGCUUCCUAGCUUCUCCGUGGCUAACUCCUUAGUACCUAAGUAUGCAAAGCGUCUCCGUUUGAGGUAGUAGCCAUGUCUCGUGUGAAUUGAAAGGGAGUUGUGAGAGGAGUGAUGUCACCUCGGUUUCGAGAGCUCUUGCAUGUGCUCUAGUCAUAGGUCCAAGUGGUGUUGUAGGAGAUGUAGAUGCGUCCAUGGGGAUGAUCGUGGGAUGCUCCGCAUCAUCUCCCCCCCCCCUUGGGAAAGAUCGGACCUCAGAUCAAAAUCUUCAUCACCAUGGUAUGGCGAGAGGUCUUUGAUGUUGAAGAUGUCGCUCACAUUGUACUUGUCGCUUGGUAGGUCGAUCUUGUAAGCAUUGUUGUUGUAGCGUGCUAGCACCUUGAAGGGUCCAUCGGCUCAAGGUAGAAGUUUGGACUUGCGUUCAUUGGGAAGCGGUCCUUGCGAAGGUGUAGCCACAUGAGAUCUCCAAUGUUGAAUAUCAUGGGUUGCUUGUUGAUGUUGAGCUUGGUCGCUAGUCGUUGUACUUGGCGCUCGAUGGUGUGCCUUGUAUCCUCAUGCAUCUUCUUGAUGUAGCUUGCUCGUGCACUCGCAUCCAUGUUGGUGCGCUCUUGUAGAGGAAGAGGUAGAAUAUCCAAUGGGGACAACGGGUUGAAGGCGUAGACGACCUCGAAAGGGGACUUGCCGGUCGUCGAAUGUCUUGCCCGGUUGUAGGCGUACUCGGUGAUGUGUAGACACGCCUCCCACUCCUUGAUGUUCUUCUUGAUCAACACGUGAAGUAGAGUGGAGAGCGUACAGUUCGUCACCUCCGUUUGGCCGUCGGUUUGAGGAUGAUAUGCGGAUGAGAACAAGAGCUUGAUUCCGAGCUUGGUGCAUAGCGUAUUCCAGAAGUAACUCAGGAACUUGACGUCGCGGUUGGAGAUGAUUGUCUUUGGUACUCCAUGGAGGCGCAAGAUUUCCCUACAAAAGAGAUUUGCAACAUGUGAAGCAUCGUCUAUCUUGUUGCAUGGAAUGAAAUGUGCCAUCUUAGAAAAUUGGUCCACAACAACAAACACGGAAUCCUUUCCAUUUUGAGUUCUAGGCAAACCAAGUACAAAAUCCAUGCUAAUGUCUUCCCAAGGUUGAUAAGGAAUAGGAAGAGGCAUGUAAAGACCAUGGGAUUGAGCUUUAGACUUAGCUUUGCGACAUGUGGAGCAUCGAUUGGUGAAGCGUGAGACGUCGCGGAACAUCUUGGGCCAAAAGUAGUUCUUGGAGAGCGUGGCGAAUGUCUUGUCGCGACCAAAGUGUCCCCUGAGUCCACCUCCAUGAGCCUCUUGCAAAAGUAGCAAACGAAGAGAAGACUCGGGAAUGCAAAGUGAAAGCACAAGUGCUCCCUGGGUGUUUUUGGUAAUUAAUGUCAACAUAUCUCUUGUUGGACUAACACUUUUAUCUAGUAUGUUUCAGAUAAGUUCAACAAUGGAGUGGCAUGGACUAAAAGAUGUGGGAACUCCUUCAAGAUGCUAAGGACAAAGGAUUGGCUCAAGCUUCAAGCUCGAGACUCUUCAUUUUCCAUUUUAGUGAUCCAAGAUCACAUUGAGUCUAUAGGAAAAGCCAAUACUAUCAAGGAGGGAUGAGGUGUUGCUUAAUGAGUUUCUUGCUCCACAGUGCUUAGUGAUAUGCUCCUAAACCCUCAACUACUUUCCCACUCCCACACAUAUGUCCUAAACCUAAAGUCAAACUUGGCCCCACUGAUUCUUUCUAUCCGGCGCCACCAAGUUUGAAUGUCAUAGCCACUGCCACAAACCCUAAGCAAAUCGGUUCUACCGAUAGGGAUCUUGGUCUCACUGAGAUGGGAUUGUAAUCUCUCUGUAUAUGUCCAUUAUCAAAAUCGGUCUCACCGAGUUUGAGUAAUCGGUACUACCGAGAUUACAAUGCAAACUCUCUGGAUAACUUAUUACAAAAAUCGGUCCCACCGAGUUUGAGUAAUCGGUACCACCGAGUUUGCCUGACCAACUCUCUAGAAAGCUUAUUAUCAAAAUCGGUCUCACCGAGUUUGUGUAAUCGGUCUUACCGAGAUUAUGUUAUGCCCUAACCUAACCAUAUCAGUCUCACCGAGUUGCAUUUCGGUCCCACUGAAAAUCCUAACGGUCACAUUAUUUGCUAAAUCGGUCUGACCGAGUUUAACGGUUUGGUCCCAUCGAGUUUGGUAGAUUGUGUGUAACGGUUAGAUUUUGUGUGGAGGCUAUAUAUACCCCUCCACCUCCUCUUCAUUCGUGGAGAGAGCCAUCAGACUGAACCUACACUUCCAGCAUACAUUUUCUGAGAGAGAACUACCUACUCAUGUGUUGAAGCCAAGAUAUUCCAUUCCUACCAUAUGAAUCUUGAUCUCUAGUCUUCCCCAAGUUGCUUUCCACUCAAAUCUUCUUUCCACCAGAUCCAAAACCUAUGAGAGAGAGUUGAGUGUUGGGGAGACUAUCAUUUGAAGCACAAGAGCAAGGAGUUCAUCAUCAACACACUAUUUGUUACUUCUUGGAGAGUGGUGUCUCCUAGAUUGGCUAGGUGUCACUUGGGAGCCUCCGACAAGAUUGUGGAGUUGAACCAAGGAGUUUGUAAGGGCAAGGAGAUCGCCUACUUUGUGAAGAUCUACCGCUAGUGAGGCAAGUCCUUCGUGGGCGACGACCAUGGUGGGAUAGACAAGGUUGCUUCUUCGUGGACCCUUCGUGGGUGGAGCCCUCUGUGGACUUGCGCAACUGUUACCCUUCGUGGGUUGAAGUCUCCAUCAACGUGGAUGUACGAUAGCACCACCUAUCGGAACCACGCCAAAAACAUCCGUGUCUCCAAUUGCGUUUGAAUCCUCCAAGCCCUUCCUUUACAUUCUUGCAAGUUGCAUGCUUUACUUUCCGCUGCCCAUAUACUCUUUGCAUGCUUGCUUGAUAUGUAUUGUGAACAUUAAACUUGUGCCUAAACUCCACUUAAACCUAAAGAAACUUAAAAACUGCAACUUUGGUACUUAGUGUCUAAUCACCCCCCCUCUAGACACAUCUUCUCAAGGUCCUACAAGUGGUAUCAGAGCAAUAUUCUCCAUUUCUUUGGUUUAAUCAUCAUUGGAGGAAGAUGGAUGAGUCUACUAUUGGGAGUCUUAGACAUAGAGUGCCUAUUCUUGAUGGAGAGUAUUUUCAUGAGUGGAAAAAUGAGAUGCUUGUUAUUUUCAAUUAAUAUCAUUUGAACAAGUACAUUGCUAGCCCUUGUGCACCUUAUGUUGAUCCUAUGCAUCCUACCCAUGAUGAGUCAAUUGACAUGAUUAGGAAUCUUACAACUGCAGAACUUAUCAUUAGAGGAUUGCCUAGAAACUUGAUUGGAUGCUUGCCUACUUUUAAGUGUGCCUACACUAUAUGGAAAUUUCUUGAGGAACGAUUUCCAGAUUAUUCCUUGAAAAAUCUUGAUGAAAUUCUCCAUAAGUCCAUUGCCUUGAGUAAGAUGAAUUCUAGUGAUCCUAUGUUUGGUGAUCGUCUAUUUGAGCUUACUAACCUUAUGCGUGCCAAAGGAAAUGUUGGUAUUAUUAGUAAUAUUAUUUCCGAAGCUAUAAAAAUUCAUAAGCAAGAUCAUUGUCAAACUCACUCUAAUGAAUCACCCUCUCUAGGACUUGAUCCACCACAUGACGAUGUUGAACAUGGAUACUAUGAUGAGGAUGAUGAUAGUGACUUCGAUCUUGAUGAUGCAAUGAGACACUUUGGUCUUAUGGCAAAUCUUUGGGGAUAUAUGACAGGAGGAAAGGAAUGGGUUCUUGAUAGUGGAUGUACCGAUCACAUGACCGGAGAUAAACACAUGUUUUGUGAGCUUGCUGAUAAUGAUAGUCCUCGAAAGUAUGUCACUUUCGGUGACAACUCAAAGGGUAAGGUGAUUGGCCUCGGUAAGGUGGCCAUAUCACAUGAUAGCUCCAUACAAAAUGUUAUGCUCGUUGAAUCUCUUGGAUACAACUUACUUUCAGUAUCUAGACUUGCUGAUGUCGGUUUCAAUGUUCUAUUUACUGAAGUAGAUUGUCAAGUGUUUCGUCGAGACAAUCAUAAAAUGGUCUUUACCGGUGUGCGUAGAGGUGAUCUAUACAUUGUUGAUUUCACUAAAAAGGCUCAACCUCAAACUUGCUUCAUUGCUAAAUCCUCAAAAGGCUGGUUAUGGCAUAGACGACUAGGUCAUGUUGGUAUGCGAAACCUUGACAAACUUAUUAAAGGAAAUCAUAUCCUUGGAGUUAACGAUGUCAUAUUUGAUAAGGAUAGACUUUGCAGUGCUUGUCAAGCAGGUAAACAGGUUGGAGGAAGGCAUCCAGUGAAGAACAUCAUGACCACAAGGAGGCCACUCGAGCUACUUCACAAGGAUCUUUUUGGUCCCAACUCUUACAAGAGUCUCGGUGGAAAUUCUUUUGCUCUAGUUAUAGUUGAUGAUUUUUCAAGAUUUACGUGGGUGUUUUUUCUCGAUGAUAAAUCGCAGGUCCAAAAGAUCUUCAAAAACUUCGCAAGGAAGGCUCAAAAUCAAUUUGAAGUGAAGAUCAAGAAGGUUCACAGCGACAACGGAACGGAGUUCAAGAACGCAAAUGUGGAUACCUUUCUUGACAAAGAAGGGAUUUCACACGAGUUCUUGGCUACGUACACACCUCAACAAAACGGAGUUGUUGAGAGGAAGAACCGGACGCUCAUUGAAAUGGCGAGAAUGAUGCUUGAUGAGUACAAGACGCCGAAGCACUUUUGGGCGGAAGCGGUUGAGACAGCUUGUCAUGCAACAAACCGCUUGUAUCUUCACAAGCUACUUGGCAAGACGGCAUACGAGCUCCUCACCGAUAAAAAAACCCCAAGUUGGAUACUUUCGAGUAUUCGGCUCAAAGUGCUACAUUCUUGAUAAGCAUCAUCACUCUAAAUUUGCUCCUAAGUUUCAUGAAGGUUUCCUACUAGGUUAUGGCUGAAACUCUCACACUUACCGUGUCUACAACAAUUUCACCCAAAGGGUUGAAGAGACGGUAGAUGUGAAGUUUGAUGAAUCUAACGGCUCGCAAGUAGAGCAAUUGCCAAUUGAUGUAGGUGACAAAGAUCCUUCGGAAGCAAUUCAAGACUUGGCUAUUGGCAAGGUUCGUCCAAAGGAGGUGAAGGAGAGUACCUCGUCCGUCCAAGUGGAAGCUUCUACUUCACGAUAAGGUGAACCAAGAGUUGAUACGGAAGCAUCCACAAGUGGGACACACCAAGAUGAAGAAAACGAGGAAGUGCAUCAAGAUGAACGUCAACAACCUCCUUCUCCACCACGACAAGAGAAUGAGAACGCCAACAAUGAAGAAGGCCAAGAAGAAGAAGAACAAGAUGAAGAAGAUGUUGAACGAAGACCCAAGCAAAAGCUUUCACGAGUUCGAGCAAGAAUUGCUAAAGAUCAUCCCGUCGAGCAAAUCUACAAUGACAUUCAAACCGGGAGAAUCACUCGCUCUAAAACUCGUUUAGCUAACUUUUGUGAAAACUAUUCUUUCAUCUCUAGCAUUGAACCUAUGAAGGUUGAAGAAGCAUUGGAAGAUCCAGAUUGGAUAAAUGCAAUGCAUGAAGAGCUACAUAACUUUGAGAGGAACCAAGUUUGGACAUUGGUUGAGAAGCCCGACAACAACCACAACGUCAUCGGUACCAAAUGGGUGUUUCGCAACAAGCAAGAUGAAGAUGGACAAGUAGUUCGCAACAAAGCACAUCUCGUCGCCCAAGGCUACACACAAGUCAAAGGUAUGGACUAUGGUGAGACUUAUGCUCCCGUUGCUAGACUUGAGUCCAUUCGCAUCUUACUUGCCUAUGCUAAUCAUCAUGAUAUUACCUUGUACCAAAUGGACAUUAAAAGUGCUUUUCUAAAUGGUGAAAUAGAGGAGGAAGUUUAUGUUAAGCAACCUCCCGGCUUUGUCAAUCCCAAGAAACCCAAUCAUGUUUACAAACUUCACAAAGCUCUUUAUGGUCUUAAACAAGCUCCUAGAGCAUGGUAUAAAUGCUUGACCAAGUUCCUUAUGGAAAAAGGCUUUGAAAUUGGGAAAAUUGAUUCUACUCUUUUUACUAAAAGGGUUAUUGGAGAACUAUUUGUGUGCCAAAUCUAUGUUGAUGAUAUUAUAUUUGGUUCAACUAACCCUCAUUUUAGUGAAAAGUUUGGGAAGCUAAUGUCGGAGAAGUUUGAGAUGUCUAUGAUGAGUGAACUCAAAUUCUUCCUUGGGUUGCAAAUCAAGCAAACAAAGGAAGGUACCUUUGUUUCUCAAACGAAGUACACCAAGGACUUAUUCAAGAAGUUCAAUAUGCAAGAAUGCAAAGGUAUGUCUACACCCAUGCCUACUAGUGGACAUAAUGACUUGACCAAAGAUGGUGAACCGGUUGAUCAAAAGGUUUAUCGCUCUAUGAUUGGUUCAUUGUUAUAUCUCUGUGCUUCACGUCCUGAUAUCAUGCUAAGUGUGUGCAUGUGUGCACGAUAUCAAGCUGCUCCUAAAGAAUGUCAUCUUAAGGCCGUGAAAAGGAUAGUGAGAUACUUAAUCCAUACACCAAACUUUGGCAUUUGGUAUCCCAAGAGGGCCUCUUUCGAUCUUGUUGGCUAUUCCGACUCAGACUAUGCCGGAGACAAGGUUGAUAGAAAGUCCACUUCGGGCACUUGUCAAUUUCUUGGUAGAUCUCUUGUGUCUUGGUCCUCCAAGAAACAAAACUCGGUAUCCUUGUCCACUGCCGAAGCUGAAUAUAUUGCAACUGGUUCAUGUUGUGCUCAAUUACUUUGGAUGACCCAAACUCUUAAAGAUUAUGGGAUAUAUGUGAGACAUGUUCCACUGCUUUGUGACAAUGAAAGUGCUAUCAAAAUUGGUCUUAAUCCUGUGCAACAUUCUCGAACUAAGCAUAUUGAAGUUCGUCAUCAUUUCAUUCGAGAUCAUGUUGCUAAGGGUGACAUUGAUCUUAAGCAUGUUCGCACUGAAAAGCAAUUAGCGGAUAUAUUCACUAAACCUCUUAAUGAGAAAGUGUUUUGCAGGUUAAGAGGAGAAUUGAACAUCAUUGAUGCUUCAAACUUGGAGUAGAAACUCCAUUGGAUACAUGCAAGACAUGAGCUUAUGACUAAUCCUUGAUAUUUCUCUUAUGAUGAAAAUCUUAUGUCUUGGAUAUAUUUGUAUCUUGCCCAUGUAGGUACUUGGUGGAAUCAAAUUCCAUGAGAUUGUAAUCUACUCACAUCUUGAGCAAUCUCUACAUCACCAAGUCUCUACACUAUGGUGGAUGAAGACAAGGAAGCACGAAACCUUUCAAACAUAUCCUUUGACAAAUUCUAUGUUGAACUUCAUGAUUGUCAUUUUGGAUAACACAAGUGCUCUUCCUUGCAAAAACUAACCCAUGUAGGUAGAUGGACUAAAAUUCCAAGUGGUGCUCCAAAUUCUUGAUGAGCUACAUCAACCUUGAGCAACCCACACAAGUUCAACUACAUGGACAACACCACCAACCAAGGUAUGUCAUUCCAUCUUAGAGAAGCUUUACUCCAAGUCAUGAGCUAAAGCAACUCAACAAGAUGUGAAUAUAUCAAGAUGCUUAAACGAAAAUGGCAACCCCAUUUUGAGCUUAAACAAUGAGUAUGACCUAUGAUCAAGUGAUCUCACUUGACUCCUAAGUCAAUAUACUCUAACAUAGGUGACUCUGUCGCCGACCAUCUCUAGAUGAAGUUCUCUUGUGCUGUUUUCUGUGUUUUUGCAUUUGUCACAUGCAUAUUUGUUUCCCCUUUCAAAAAAACUUCAUCUAGAUUUCUUUCUGUUUGCUCUGCAUUCCAAUUCAUUGCACAUCUUUAAGUGAAUUCCUUGCAAAUCUUUGUGAAAUCUUACUAGUCUAGUGAGCUGAGGUGACAGGUGUUUUCUCUGCGAUGAACUCGGUUUCACCGAUUUGUUGUCUUCGGUCCCACCGAAUCCUUUCGGUCCAACCGAAGAAUACCACUCGGUGCCACCGAUUUCACAAGAGGAAAAACAGUUUGCCACAUAUUCUAUGAUUCUUUUGAUCCAGCUCCACUCAAUGAAUCUUGUCCUCUACAAGCAUCACAUUUUUAUCAUUGCUUUGUGCUGUGUCUCAAGGACCAAACCCAUUCGACGGAUUCCAGAAAACCCUUCUUGGAAAUUUAUGUCAAAGGGGGAGAGAGAGAACAUCAAAGCUUAUCAUUUAAAAAGAGUUUAUCACCUUCUUAAGGGGGAGAGAGAUAUCAUCUCCUAAAGGUGGAGAGAGACCCUUAAAGGGGGAGAGAUACCCUCAAAGGGAGAGAGAGAGAGAUCUCCAGGGGAAGAGAAUACUUAAGUAGAAAGUAUUCCUCAAGGAUCCCAGAUGCUUAGUGUUCAAGAGGAGAGAUGCCCACAUGUCUUCUUGAGGGGAAAGACAUGUUCAUUAUGAUAUUUUGUGCUUAUUUGCAUUAGCAUGCAUUAGCUCUGUUCAUCAUUCAUAUCCUUCAGCUCUGAUUUUCUAUUCCCUAUCUUCUCCCAGUAUCCCAUGCUAGAUUCAGGGGGAGCAAGACAUCUGAGGGAAAGAAAUCAUUUAAAUUCAUUGCAUAUCUUUACUCUUGGGGACAUGUCUAAUCCAAUGUGGUACUCAGUACUCACUCUCUACAUGUCAUCCCAGUCUUGGUAUUCUUGUGGUUUCUUUUGUUUGCUCUGGCUAGUAGGUGCAUCUGUGUUAUCUAACCUUGUUUAUGCAGGUUCAUUCUAUCCUAAGCCAACUCAAGACUACAAGGUAAGUAUAGGCAUCACAAUUAUGUGUAUGAGGAAUUCUUGCUGAUGUACAUACUGUUUGCAAGAAGGACUCAUGAGCAUGAAGGUAUUUUCUUUAAUAUUCUUUGCUCUGAUGCAUAUGGCCAAGAUACAUGUAACACAUUGCCUGCUCUAUCAUGGUUAUGCUCUCACAUGCUCCUAUAUUCCAUACUCACAUGAUUGCAUACAUGUAGGGGGAGCCUAUGCUUGUUACAUGUCUUUCCAAAGCUUUACUUGCUACUCUUUAUAUCUUUAUCUAAAGCUUUGAUGUAUGUUGUCAUCAAUUACCAAAAAGGGGGAGAUUGAAAGCACAAGUGCUCCCUAGGUGGUUUUGGUAAUUAAUGUCAACAUAUCUCUUGUUGGACUAACACUUUUAUCUAGUAUGUUUCAGAUAAGUUCAACAAUGGAGUGGCAUGGACUAAAGGAUGUGGGAACUCCUUCAAGAUGCUAAGGACAAAGGAUUGGCUCAAGCUUCAAGCUCAAGACUCUUCAUUUUCCAUUUUAGUGAUCCAAGAUCACAUUGAGCCUAUAGGAAAAGCCAAUACUAUCAAGGAGGGAUGAGGUGUUGCUUAAUGAGUUUCUUGCUCCACAGUGCUUAGUGAUAUGCUCCUAAACCCUCAACUACUUUCCCACUCCCACACAUAUGUCCUAACCUAAAGUCAAACUUGGCCCCACCGAUUCUUUCUAUCCGGCGCCACCGAGUUUGAAUGUCAUAGCCACUACCACAAACCCUAAGCAAAUCGGUUCUACCGAUAGGGAUCUCAGUCUCACCGAGAUGGGAUUGUAAUCUCUCUGUAUAUGUCCAUUAUCAAAAUCGGUCUCACCGAGUUUGAGUGAUCGGUACUACCGAGAUUACAAUGCAAACUCUCUGGAUAACUUAUUACCAAAAUCGGUCCCACCGAGUUUGAGUAAUCGGUCCCACCGAGUUUGCCUGACCAACUCUCUGGAAAGCUUAUUACCAAAAUCGGUCUCACCGAGUUUGUGUAAUCGGUCUUACCGAGAUUACGUUAUGCCCUAACCCUAACCAUAUCGGUCUCACCGAGUUGCAUUUCGGUCCCACUGAAAAUCCUAACGGUCACAUUAUUUGCUAAAUCGGUCUGACCGAGUUUAACGAUUCGGUCCCACCAAGUUUGGUAGAUUGUGUGUAACAGUUAGAUUUUGUGUGGAGGCUAUAUAUACCCAUCCACCUCCUCUUCAUUCAUGGAGAGAGCCGUCAGACUGAACCUACACUUCCAGCAUACAUUUUCUGAGAGAGAACUACCUACUCAUGUGUUGAGGCCAAGAUAUUCCAUUCCUACCAUAUGAAUCUUGAUCUCUAGUCUUCCCCAAGUUGCUUUCCACUCAAAUCUUCUUUCCACCAGAUCCAAAACCUAUGAAAGAGAGUUGAGUGUUGGGGAGACUAUCAUUUGAAGCACAAGAGCAAGGAGUUCAUCAUCAACGCACCAUUUGUUACUUCUUGGAGAGUGGUGUCUCCUAGAUUGGCUAGGUGUCACUUGGGAGCCUCCGACAAGAUUGUGGAGUUGAACCAAGGAGUUUGUUAGGGCAAGGAGAUCGCCUACUUUGUGAAGAUCUACCGCUAGUGAGGCAAGUCCUUCGUGGGCGACGGCCAUGGUGGGAUAGACAAGGUUGCUUCUUCGUGGACCCUUCGUGGGUGGAGCCCUCUGUGGACUCGUGCAACUGUUACCCUUCGUAGGUUGAAGUCUCCAUCAACGUGGAUGUACGAUAGAACCACCUAUCGGAACCACGCCAAAAACAUCCAUGUCUCCAAUUGCGUUUGAAUCCUCCAAACCCUUCCCUUUACAUUCUUGCAAGUUGCAUGCUUUACUUUCCGCUGCCCAUAUACUCUUUGCAUGCUUGCUUGAUAUGUAUUGUGAACAUUAAACUUGUGCCUAAACUCCACUUAAACUUAAAGAAACUUAAAAACUGCAACUUUGGUACUUAGUGUCUAAUCACCCCCCCCCUAGACACAUCUUCUCAAGGUCCUACACAAAGUUUGUUAGCCCUCAUAAGAUAAUCAUCCUUGAUGUAAUAUCGUUCCCAAGAUGUAUGCGUCAAACACUUAACAUAAGGAGUAGCAAAGGAAGGAUCAUUCGCAUACAAGUCUUUUAUGUGCUCAAAGCCAAUAACAUUCAACUCAAGUUUAGUGACAAGCAUGCAUAUGUGUGAAAGUGCAUCCGCAACUACAUUUUCCUUACCCUUAAUGUACUUGAUCACAUAGGGGAAAGAUUCAAUAAAUUCACUCCAUUUGGCAUGACGCUUGUUCAACUUAGUUUGACCUUUCAAGUACUUAAGCGUUUCAUGAUCGGUAUGGAUGACAAACUCAUGAGGUCUGAGAUAAUGUUCCCAAACAUGUAGCACAUGCACUAAAGCAGAAAAUUAUUUGUCAUAGAUGGGAUAGUUAAGUUGAGCACCGAAGAGUUUUUCACUAAAAUAUGCAAUAGCUCGUUUUUCUUGCAUCAAAACUCUGCCAAUUCCGGUACCACUUGCAUCACAAUGAACCUCAAAAGUUUUGGCAAAGUUGGGCAAAGCGAGAAUCGGAGCAUGAGUAAGCAAAGACUUGAGCUCAUCAAAAGCGGUAGAUUGCAAGGGUCCCCAAACAAAAGGAGCAUUCUUCUUACUCAAGGCAUGCAAAGGAGCGGCAAUAGUGCUAAAAUCCUUCACAAAGCAAUGAUAAAAACCCGCAAGGCCAAGGAAGCUACGCACUUGUUGCAAAUUGGUGGGUUGGGGCCAGGUUUUAAUUGCUUCAAUUUUAGAUUCAUCAACAUGGACACCCUUGGAAGAAACGACAAAACCCAAGAAAACAAGCUUGUCAACACCAAAUGUGCACUUUUUCAUGUUGGCAUAAAGACGUUCCUUGCGAAGAGUUUGCAAAACAGCCCUAACAUGCUUUAGAUGCUCUUUCAUGGAUUUGCUAAAAACAAGAAUGUCAUCAAAGUAAACCACAAAAAACACUCUGAUGUAAGGACGAAGCACAAAAUGCAGAAUAUGCAUGAAUGUACCGGGAGCUUCCGAUAAAACCAUAGGCAUAACCAACCACUCGUACAAGCCAAAUUUGGUUUUGAAAGCAGUUUUCCAUUCAUCACCUUAUUGUAUGCGGAUUUGAUAAUAGCCACUUUUAAGAUCAAUUUUUAAGAAAAUGGUGGCACCGCUAAGUUCAUCAAGCAUAUCAUCUAGGCGAGGAAUAGGAUGCCUAUAGCGAACGGUAAUAGCAUUGAUAGGUCUACGAUCCGAGAACAUGCGAAAACUACCAUCUUGCUUGGGCACAAGUAUAACGGGAAUGGUACAAGGGCUUAAGCUUUCACGUACAUGUCCGUUGUCGAUUAGUUGUUGUACUUGCCGUUGGAUCUCCUUAGUUUCUUCGGGGUUGACGCGGUAUGGAGCUUUGUUUGGAAGAGGUGCUCCGGGGACGAGGUUGAUUUGGUGCUCAAUGCCUCGUAGUGGACGUAGACCCGGAGGUAGCUCAUCGGGGAAAACAUCUUGGAAUUCCUGCAAAAGAGAAGAAACCACUAAAGGUAGAUCAUGAGAGGUGUUAGUUUUUGGUUCCCCAUCCUUGCACACAAGGACAAAGUGCAUAACACUCGAUGGGUUCUCAGACACUUCUCUCAUCUCACUUUUGAUGGCAAAUAGGACUAAGUUUUUCUUGUUGCUCAUCGUGGAGGCACUCGGUUUUGGCUUGUGGCUCUCACUCUCUUUUGGGCGGAUAACUUUCUCACUCUUCUCUCCAUGAUGGGUGUCUUGCUUGUCGGCUAUAACUUGACUAGGAGACAUAGGUCGUAGCACAUGUUCCUUCCCUUUCAUCUUGAAGCUAUAGUGAUUGGUACGCCCAUUGUGGAUGACGCCAUGGUUGAAUUGCCAUGGUCAACCAAGAAGGAGGUGGCAAACGGACAUCGGGACGACAUCACACUCUAAAGUGUCUUCAUAUGCACCAAUUUUGAAGGAGACUUGGACCGUAUGCUCAACUCGUGUAGUGCCGGAAUUUCUUAGCCAUUGGACUUUGUAGGGGUGCGGGUGCUUCAUCUUGACAAAUUGUAGCUUGGAGCAUAGUUCUUCACUUGCCAAGUUGUGACAACUACCUCCAUCGAUGAUGACCUUGACAGACCUUCCAUUGAUGCCAGCCUUUGUGUGGAAGAUGUGGCAUCCUUGGUCUUCUUCUUGUUGAUGUUGAAGAGUCAAGACUUUGGAGACAACGAGAGCGGGGCUCAAAUCCUCAUCACAAAAGACUUGAUCAUCUUCAUCCUCGUUCACGCGCCGGUGCAUGGCUACUUGCUCAAGGGCUUCCAUUUCCUCAUCACUCAUGGAGUCAUAGGUGUCGUCGUCGUUGAGGAUCAUGGUGCGCUUGUUUGUGCAUUGGAAGGACUAGUGGCCUCGGCCGCAACAAGUGAAACACUUGAAGGAGCUUGUCUUGACGGUCUCAUCAGGUGGAGUAGAUGAUGAAGCUCAUGGCUUGAAGUUGCUUGUGGUAGGAGGAAGACGAUUUGAGCUUGUCGAAGUUCUCUUGUAACUUGACUUGUCGUCGUUUCUUAUAGAUGGCUUGGUGGAGGUAGAAGUUGGAGGAGUCGUUGAAGCUUGGUUGUUGGAGAAGCCGUAGGUCUUGGAUGAGUACUUGGCGUACUUGAAGUCAUCUUGCACUUGACGUUCCGCUUUGGUAGCUUUAUGCAUGAGCUCAAUGAGGUUGGAGUAGGGUUGGAAGUCGGCAAUCUUCUUGAUGGGAUGAUUGAGGCCAUUCAAGAAGCGUGCCAUAGUUUGCUCGUCAUCUUCCGUGACAUUGGCUCGAAUCAUGGCUAUCUCCAUUUCCUUGUUGUAUUCUUGAACACUCUUUGUUCCUUGCUUGAUUAGUUGGAGCUUCUUGAAGAGAUCGCAGUUGUAGUAGGUGGGCACAAAACGUGCUCGCAUGACAUCUUUCAUUUGAGCCCAAGUGGUGAUUGGUGGUUCACCUCUUGCUUCUCGGUGCUCAAGGACUUGUUCCCACCAUAUGAGCACAUAGUCUUGGAACUCAAGGAAUGCCAUAGCGAUCUUCUUCUCUUCCUCAUAGUUGUGCAAACGAAAGAUUUUGACGACCUUCAAUGCCCAUCAGAGGUAUUCUUCGGGAUCAUUGCCUCCAUUGAACUUGGGCAUGGUGAAUUUUAGCUUGCCGUAGCAUCGCUCUUCAUUGUGUUGUGGUCGAUGGUGAUGAUGACGCCCUUGACGUGGAGGAUAAUCAACCUCAUGUUGCUCUUGGCAUGGAGGAAGUUCUUGAUCAUCUUGCUCUUGUUGAACUUGAGGUUGUGGAGGAGCUUGUCGAGUUUGUGGAGGAGCUUGUCGAGCUUGAGGAGGAGCUUGAGGAACUUGACAUUGCACUCUUGGUUGGUAGUUUCUCUCUUGGAUUUCUUCUCGAAGUGCUUCCUAUUGAUUGCGCCUAUCGCGGUUGCACUUGGGAAUGGCUCGACUUGAUUCUUGAAGGGCACGAUGCGCCUUAAGAGCUUGUGCUUCACGUUGUUGUUGCUGUUGAAGACGUUGAGCCUCGGCGUCUUGUUCCUCUUGAUGUAGACGCGCUCGUUCUUCCUCUUGGCGACAUUGACGUUGUCGUUCUUGCUCGAUGAAGAGUGUGUUGGUAGAAGAACUUAACCUAUCCAUCAUUCCAAGCAAAAUGUGAGUGGGAGAAGGAGAAGAACUUAUACCAAAUGUACCUUGACCGAUGUUGGAGAUGAAUCAAGAUCACUCAGAUGCGGACAAUGAAAUAGCACAAUUGGUACCAAUUCUUGUCGGCUCUCACACCUACACAAGUAAAAGCUUAUGGUGGAGCUUGGUUAGGAUGGUGGCACAAAAUUUGAUGCAAUUUUUAGUUUGACUCAAAGAUGUUGAAAAAGAUUCGCAAAUUCGCAAAUGCAACAAGUAGACCAAGCAAGUAGUGGUACGCGGAAACACACACGCAAAUAGAAUAAUGGGAUUGUGCAAACGAAAAAUGAGACAAAAUGUGGACUCCACGAAAAUGCUCGUUUUGCACAAUACUUGAGAGACGCUAGCACGAUCGCACAAUUGGCGGAUGAGGAACUUGUGCACAACCUACUAGGAAAAAAUGCAACGACCUCUAUCCCAAGUAUGCUAUAUGUAUGGUAUUUCGGUGAUAUGAUCCAAGAUGAUCGGAUAUGACAAUCUUAAUGUAGUAUGAUGCUAUGGUUCUUGCUUAUAAGCUCUUUUCUUAUCUUUCUCGUUUGCUUAAAAGCUUGGUUGGCUCUUUCACUUUUGAGCUCUUUUCUCAUGCAAAACUUCGCGAACCAAGGUAGCAAUUAUGUAUGCAAUGACAACUUUGUGAUAUGGUAUGUAUGCUAUGGAGUAUGAUCACUAAUGUGCACAAGUCACGUUGCCGGCAAUACUCAAUGGCUAGUCUUGAUGGGUAAGCAACACAAAAGUAAGGCUAUGGUGGUUAUCAAUGCAAUCGCAAGGCGUAAACAAAGAUGUCGUCAAAGUUACCGUCCGUAGCGAUGAUGAGUAGUCGACGAAGAUGAGCGGUGGUAAUGUUGAUGUCGUGCCGUACCUAAAUAGCCGAAACACAAUAGGACACGGGAAACCACAACUCAAAUUCUUGAACCCAAAGUCGAAUGGUAGUACGGAGGGGUAUGUCAUGGGGGUUGGCGGGUGAAGGUGGUGGUGGUUGAAGUGGGUGGAGUGCGGAGGCGUAGGUGUGAAGGAAAUAUGCCCUAGAGGCAAUAAUAAAGUUAUUAUUUAUUUCCUUAUUUCAUGAUAAAUGUUUAUUAUUCAUGCUAGAAUUGUAUUAACCGGAAACAUAAUACAUGUGUGAAUACAUAGACAAACAUAGUGUCACUAGUAUGCCUCUACUUGACUAGCUCGUGAAUCAAAGAUGGUUAAGUUUCCUAGCCAUAGACAUGAGUUGUGAUUUGAUUAACGGGAUCACAUCAUUAGGAGAAUGAUGUGACUGACUUGACCCAUUCCGUUAGCUUAGCACUUGAUCGUUUAGUAUGUUGCUAUUGCUUUCUUCAUGACUUAUACAUGUUCCUGUAACUAUGAGAUUAUGCAACUCUCGUUUACCGGAGGAACACUUUGGGUGCUACCAAACGUCACAACAUAACUGGGUGAUUAUAAAGGAGUACUACAGGUGUCUCCAAAGGUACAUGUUGGGUUGGCGUAUUUCGAGAUUAGGUUUUGUCACUCCGAUUGUCGAAGAGGUAUCUCUAGGCCCUCUCGGUAAUGCACAUCACUAUAAGCCUUGCAAGCAAUGUAGCUAAUGAGUUAAUUACGGAAUGAUGCAUUACGGAACGAGUAAAGAGACUUGCCGGUAACGAGAUUGAACUAGGUAUUGGAUACCGACGAUCGAAUCUCGGGAAAGUAACAUACCGAUGACAAAGGGAACAACGUAUGUUGUUAUGCGGUUUGACCGAUAAAGAUCUUCGUAGAAUAUGUAGGAGCCAAUAUGGGCAUCCAGGUUCCGCUAUUGGUUAUUGACCGAGAAUAGUUCUAGAUCAUGUCUACAUAGCUCUCGAACCCGUAGGGUCCGCACGCUUAACGUUACGAUGACAGUUUUAUUAUGAGUUUAUGAGUUUUGAUGUACCAAAGGAGUUCGGAGUCCCGGAUGAGAUCGGGGACAUGACGAGGAGUCUCGAAAUGGUCGAGAUGUAAAGAUCGAUAUAUUGGACGACUAUAUUCGGAGUUCGGAAAGGUUCCGUGUGAUUCGGGUAGUUUUUGGAGUACCGGAGAGUUACGGAAUUCGUAUUGGGCCUCAUUGGGCCAUACGGGAAAGGAGAGAAAGGGCCAAAAGGGUGGCCGCACCCCUCCCCUUGGACUAGUCCGAAUUGGACUAGGGAGGGGGGCGCCCCCUUCCUUCCUUCUCCUUCUCUCUUCCCUUUCCUUCUCUCCUACUCCUACUACAUGGAAGGGUUCCUAGUUGGACUAGGAAAGGGGGAAUCCUACUCCUGUUGGGAGUAGGACUCACCUAGGGCGCGCCAUAGAGAGAGCCGGCCCUCCCCCUCCUCCAAUCCUUUAUAUACAGGGGCAGGGGGCACCCAGUAGACACACAAGUUGAUCUACGGAUCGUUCCUUAGCCGUGUGCGGUGCCCCCCUCCACCAUAUUCCACCUCGGUCAUAUUGUCGCGGAGUUUAGACGAAGCCCUGCGCCGGUAGAACAUCAUCAUCGUAACCACGCCGUCGUGCUGACGGAACUCAUCCCCGACGCUUUACUGGAUUGGAGCCGGAGGAACGUCAUCGAGCUGAACGUGUGCUGAACUCGGAGGUGCCGUACGUUCGGUACUUGGAUCGGUCGGAUCCUGAAGACGUACGACUACAUUAACCGCGUUGUCAUAACGCUUCCGCUUACGGUCUAUGAGGGUACGUGGACAAUACUCUCCCCUCUCGUUGCUAUGCAUCACCAUGAUCUUGCGUGUGCGUAGGAAUUUUUUUGAAAUUACUACGUUCCCCAAUAGUGGUAUCAGAGCCUAGGUUUUAUGCAUUGAUAUUAUAUGCACGAGUAGAACACAAGUGAGUUGUGGGCGAUACAAGUCAUACUGCUUACCAGCAUGUCAUACUUUGGUUCGGCGGUAUUGUUGGAUGAAGUGGCCCGGACCGACAUUACGCGUACGCUUACGCGAGACUGGUUCUACCGACGUUCUUUGCAAACAGGUGGCUGGCGGGUGUCAGUUUCUCCAACUUUAGUUGAACCGAGUGUGGCUACGCCCGGUGCUUGUGAAGGUUAAAACAUCACUAACUUGACGAACUAUCGUUGUGGUUUUGAUGCGUAGGUAAGAACGGUUCUUGCUCAGCCCGUAGCAGCCACGUAAAAUUUGCAACAACAAAGUAGAGGACGUCUAACUUGUUUUUGCAGGGCAUGUUGUGAUGUGAUAUGGUCAAGACGUGAUAAGAUAUAAGUUGUUGUAUGAGAUGAUCAUGUUUUGUUAAAGUUAUCGGCAACUAGCAGAAGCCCUAUGGAUGUCUCUUUGUUGCAUAAGAUGCAAGUGCCAAAUAAUUGCUUUACUUUAUCGCUAUACGAUAGCAAUAGUUGCAAGAGCAAUAGUUGGUGAGACAACCAUGUGAUGACACAUUGAUAUAGAUCAAGAUUAUGAAGAUCAUGGUGUCGUGCUGGUGACGAUAGAGAUCAUGACAGUACUUUGGAGAUGGAGAUCAAAGGCGCAAGAUGAUCAUGGCCAUAUCAUGUCACAUAUUUUGAUUGCAUAUGAUGUUUAUCUAUUAUACAUCUUAUUCUUGCUUUGAUUGACGGUAGCAUUUUAAGAUGAUCUCUCACUAAUUAUCAAGAAGUGUUCUCCCUGAGUAUGCACCGUUGCCAAAGUUCGUCGUGCCCAGACACCACGUGAUGAUCGGGUGUGAUAAGCUCUACGUCCAUCUACAAUGGGUGCAAGCCAGUUUUGCACACGCGGAAUAUUCAGGUUAAACUUGACGAGCCUAGCAUAUGCAGAUAUGGCCUCGGAGCACGAAGACCGAAAGGUCGAGCGUGAAUCAUAUAGUAGAUAUGAUCAACAUAGUGAUGUUCACCAUUGAAAACUACUCCAUCUCACGUGAUGAUCGGUUAUGGUUUAGUUGAUUUGGAUCACGUGAUCACUUAGAUGACUAGAGAGAUGUCUGUCUAAGUGGGAGUUCUUAAGUAAUAUGAUUAACUGAACUUAAAUUUAUCAUGAACUUAGUCCUGGUAGUAUUUUGCAAAUUAUGUUGUAAGAUCAAUAGCUCGCGUUGUUGCUUUCAUAUGUUUAUUUUGAUAUGUUCCUAGAGAAAAUUGUGUUGAAAAAUGUUAGUAGCAAUGAUGCGGAUUGGAUCCGCGGUCUGAGGUUUAUCCUCAUUGUUGCACAGAAGAAUUAUGUCCUUAAUGCACCGCUAGGUGACAGACCUAUUGCAGGAGCAGAUGCAGACGUUAUGAACGUUUGGCUAGCUCAAUAUGAUGACUACUUGAUAGUUUUGUGCACCAUGCUUUAUGGCUUAGAAUCGGGACUUCAAAGAUGUUUUGAACAUCAUGGACCAUAUGAGAUGUUCUAGGAAUUGAAGUUAAUAUUUCAAGCAAAUACCCGAGUUGAGAGAUAUGAAGUCUCCAACAAGUUCUAUAGCUAAAAAUGGAGGAGAAUCGCUCAACUAGUGAGCAUGUGCUCAGAUUGUCUGGAUACUUCAAUCGCUUGAAUCAAGUGAGAGUUAAUCUUCCAGAUAAGAUAGUGAUUGACAGAAUUCUCUAGUCACCAUCACUAAGUUACUAGAACUUCGAGAUGAACUAUAGUAUGCAAGGGAUGACGAAAACGAUUCCUGAGCUCUUCGUGAUGUUGAAAUCAACGAAGGUAGAAAUCAAGAAAGAGCAUCAAGUGUUGAUGAUUGACAAGACCACUAGUUUCAAGAAAAGGGCAAAGGGAAAGAAAGGGAAACUUCAAGUAGAAUGACAAACAAGUUGUCACUCCCGUGAAGAAGACCAAAGCUGGACCAAAACCUGAAACUGAGUGCUUACACUGCAAAGGAAAUGGUCACUGGAAGCGGAAAUGCCCUGAAUAUUUGGUGGAUAAGAAGGAUGGCAAAGUGAACAAGGGUAUAUUUGAUAUACACGUUAUUGAUGUGUGCUUUACUAGUGUUUAUAGUAGCCCCUGAGUAUUUGAUACUUGUUCGGUUGCUAAGAUUAGUAACUCGAAACAGGAGUUACAGAAUAAACAAAGACUAGUUGAAGGGGAAGUGACGAUGAGUGUUGGAAGUAGUUCCAAGAUUGAUAUGAUCAUCAUCGCACACUCCCUAUACUUUCGGGAUUAGUGUUAAACCUAAAUAAAUGUUAUUUGGCGUUUGCGUUGAGCAUGAAUAUGAUUUGAUCAUGUUUAUUGCAAUAUGGUUAUUCAUUUAAAAUUAGAGAAUAAUUGUUAUUCUAUUUAAAUUAAUAAAACCUUCAAUGGUCAUACACCCAACGAAAAUAGUUUGUUGGCUCUCGAUCGUAGUAAUGCACAUAUUCAUAAUAUUGAUGCCAAAAGAUGCAAAGUUAAUAAUGAUAGUGCAACUUAUUUGUGGCACUGCCAUUUUUGGUCAUAUCGGUGUAAAGCGCAUGAAGAAACUCCAUAAAGAUGGAUUUUCAGAAUCACUUGGUUAUGAAUCAUUUGAUGCUUUCGAACCAUGCCUUUUGGGCAAGAUGACUGAAACUCCGUUCUCCAGAACAAUGGAACAAGCUACUGACUUAUUGGAAAUAAUACAUACCGAUGUAUGCGAUCCGAUGAGUGUAGAGGCUCACGGCGUGUAUCAUUAUUUUCUGACCUUCACAGAUGAUUUGAGCAGAUAUGGGUAUAUCUACUUGAUGAAACAUAAGUCUGAAAUAAUUGAAAGGUUCAAAGAAUUUCAGAGUGAAGUGGAAAAAUCAUCGUAACAAGAAAAUAAAGUUUCUGCGAUCUGAUCGCGGAGACGAAUAUUUGACUUACGAGUUUGGUCUUCAAUUAAAACAAUGUGGAAUAGUUUCACAGCUCACGCCACCUGGAACACCACAACGUUAUGGUGUGUCCGAACGUCGUAACCGCACUUUAUUGGAUACGGUGCGAUCUAUGAUGUCUCUUACUGAUUUACCACUAUUGUUUUUGGGUUAUGCAUUAGAGACAGCUGCAUUCACGUUAAAAGGGCACCAUCUAAAUCCGUUGAGACGACACCAUAUGAACUGUGGUUUAGCAAGAAACCCAAGUUGUCGUUUCUUAAAGUUUGGGGCUGCGAUGCUUAUGUGAAAAAGUUUCAUCAUGAUAAGCUCGAACCCAAAUCGGAGAAGUGCGUCUUCAUAGAAUACCCAAAGGAAUUGUUGGGUACACCUUCUAUCACAGACCCGAAGGCAAGAUAUUCGUUGCUAAAAAUGGAUCCUUUCUAGAGAAGGAGUUUCUGUCGAAAGAAGUGAGUGGGAGAAAAGUAGAACUUGAUGAGGUAACUGUACCUUCUCCCGAAUUGGAAAAUUGUUCAUCACUGAAAUCAGUUCCAGUGAUUUGUACACCAAUUAGUGAGGAAGCUAAUGAUGAUGAUCAUGAAACUUCAGAUCAAGUUACUACAGAACCUCGUAGGUCUUACAGAGUACGGUCCGCACCAGCGUGGUACGGUAAUCCUGUUCUGGAAGUCAUGUUACUAGACCAUGAUGAACCUACGAACUAUGAGGAAGCGAUGAUGAGCCCAGAUUCCGCAAAAUGGCUUAAGGCCAUGAAAUCUGAGAUGGGAUCCAUGUAUGAGAACAAAGUGUGGACUUUGGUGGAGUUGCCCGAUGAUUGGCAAGCCAUAUUGUAUAAAUGGAUCUUCAAGAGGAAGACGGACAUUGAUAGUAGUGUUACUAUCUACAAAGCUCGACUUGACGCAAAAAGGUUUUUGACAAGUUCAAGGUGUUGACUACAAUGAGAUUUUCUCAACUGUAGCGAUGCUUAAGUCUGUCCGAAUCAUGUUAGCAAUUGCCACAAUUUAUGAAAUCUGGCAAAUGGAUGUCAAAACUGCAUUCCUUAAUGGUUUUCUCAAAGAAGAGUUGUAUAUGAUGCAACCAGAAGGUUUUGUCAAUCCUAAAGGUACUAACAAAAUGUGCAUGCUCCAGCGAUCCAUCUAUGGACUGGUGCAAGCAUCUCGGAGUUGGAAUAUACACUUUGAUGAGUUGAUCAAAGCAUAUAGUUUUGUACAGACUUACGGUGAAGCCUGUAUUUACAAGAAAGUGAGUGGGAGCACUACAACAUUUCUGAUAAGUAUAUGUGAAUGACAUAUUGUUGAUCGGAAAUAAUGUAGAAUUAUUCUGCAAAGCAUAAAGGAGUGUUUGAAAGGAGUUCUUUAAAAUAAGGACCUCAGUAAAGCUACUUACAUAUUGAGCAUCAAGAUCUAUUGAGAUAGAUCAAGACGCUUGAUAAGAUUUUCAAUGAGUACAUACCUUGACAAGAUUUUGAAGUAGUUCAAAAUGGAACAGUCAAAGAAGGAGUUCUUUCCUGUGUUGCAAGGUGUGAAGUUGAGUAAGACUCAAGACCCGACCAUGGAAGAAAAUAGAAAGAGAAUGAAAAGUCAUUCCCUAUGUCUCAGACAUAGGUUCUAUAAAGUAUGCUAUGCUGUGAACCAGACCUAUUGUAUACUCUGCGCUGGUUUGGCAAAGGAGUACAAUAGUGAUCUAGGAGUAGAUCACUGGACAUUGGUCAAAAUUAUCCUUAGUGGAAUAAGGAUAUGUUUCUCAAUUAUGGAGGUGACAAAAGGUUCGUCGUAAAAGGUUACGUCGAUACAAGUUUUGGCACUGAUCCAGAUGACUCUAAGUCUUAAUCUGGAUACAUAUUGAAAGUGGGAGAAAUUAGCUAGAGUAGCUCCGUGCAGAGUAUUGUAGACAUAGAAUAUUUGCAAAAUACAUACGACUCUGAAUGUGACAGACCCGUUAACUAAACUUCUCUCACGAGCAAAACAUAAUCAUACCUUUGUACUCUUUGGGUGUUAAUCACAUAGCGAUGUGAACUAGAUUAUUGACUCUAGUAAACCCUUUGGGUGUUGGUCACAUGACGAUGUGAACUAUGGGUGUUAAUCAUAUACAGAUAUGAUUAUUGGUGUUAAAUCACAUGGCAAUGUGAACUAGAUUAUUGACUCUAGUGCAAGUGAGAGACUGAAGGAAAUAUGCCCUAGAGGCAAUAAUAAAGUUAUUAUUUAUUUCCUUAUUUCAUGAUAAAUGUUUAUUAUUCAUGCUAGAAUUGUAUUAACCGGAAACAUAAUACAUGUGUGAAUACAUAGACAAACAUAGUGUCACUAGUAUGCCUCUACUUGACUAGCUUGUGAAUCAAAGAUGGUUAAGUUUCCUAGCCAUAGACAUGAGUUGUGAUUUGAUUAACGGGAUCACAUCAUUAGGAGAAUGAUGUGAUUGACUUGACCCAUUCCGUUAGCUAGCACUUGAUCAUUUAGUAUGUUGCUAUUGCUUUCUUCAUGACUUAUACAUGUUCCUGUAACUAUGAGAUUAUGCAACUCCCGUUUACCGAAGGAACACUUUGGGUGCUACCAAACGUCACAAUGUAACUGGGUGAUUAUAAAGGAGUACUACAGGUGUCUCCAAAGGUACAUGUUGGGUUGGCGUAUUUCGAGAUUAGGUUUUGUCACUUCGAUUGUCGGAGAGGUAUCUCUGGGCCCUCUCGGUAAUGCACAUCACUAUAAGCCUUGCAAGCAAUGUAUCUAAUGAGUUAGUUACGGAAUGAUGCAUUAAGGAACGAGUAAAGAGACUUGCCGGUAACGAGAUUGAACUAGGUAUUGGAUAUCGACGAUCGAAUCUCGGGCAAGUAACAUACCGAUGACAAAGGGAACAACGUAUGUUGUUAUGAGGUUUGACCGAUAAAGAUCUUCGUAGAAUAUGUAGGAGCCAAUAUGGGCAUCCAGGUUCCGCUAUUGGUUAUUGACCGAGAAUAGUUCUAGGUCAUGUCUACAUAGUUCUCGAACCCGUAGGGUCCGCACGCUUAACGUUACGAUGACAGUUUUAUUAUGAGUUUAUGAGUUUUGAUGUACCGAAGGAGUUCGGAGUCCCGGAUGAGAUCGGGGACAUGACGAGGAGUCUCGAAAUGGUCGAGAUGUAAAGAUCGAUAUAUUGGACGACUAUAUUCGGAGUUCGGAAAGGUUCCGUGUGAUUUGGGUAUUUUUUGGAGUACCGGAGAGUUACGGAAUUCGUAUUGGGCCUCAUUGGGCCAUACGGGAAAGGAGAGAAAGGGCCAAAAGGGUGGCCGCACCCCUCCCCUUGGACCUGUCCGAAUUGGACUAGGGAGGGGGGCGCCCCCUUCCUUCCUUCUCCUUCUCUCUUCCCUUUCCUUCUCUCCUACUCCUACUACAUGGAAGGGUUCCUAGUUGGACUAGGAAAGGGGGAAUCCUACUCCCGGUGGGAGUAGGACUCCCCUAGGGCGCGCCAUAGAGAGGGCCGGUCCUCCCCUCCUCCACUCAUUUAUAUACGGGGGCAGGGGGCACCCCAUAGACACACAAGUCGAUCUACGGAUCGUUCCUUAGCCGUGUGCGGUGCCCCCCUCCACCAUAUUCCACCUCGGUCAUAUUGUUGCGGAGUUUAGACGAAGCCCUGCGCCGGUAGAACAUCAUCAUCAUCACCAUGCCGUCGUGCUGACGGAACUCAUCCCCGACGCUUUGCUGGAUUGGAGCCCGGGGAACGUCAUCGAGCUGAACGUGUGCUGAACUCGGAGGUGACAUACGUUCGGUACUUGGAUCGGUCGGAUCGUGAAGACGUACGACUACAUCAACCGCGUUGUCAUAACGCUUCCGCUUACGGUCUACGAGGGUACGUGGAGGAUACUCUCCCCUCUCGUUGCUAUGCAUCACCAUGAUCUUGCGUGUGCGUAGGAAUUUUUUUGAAAUUACUACGUUCCCCAACAAGGUGGUGGUGGAGAAAACUGCAGAAAAUGCACUUUCGACACACGAAGCCGGAUGAUCCGGGCCAGGAGCUGGAUGAUCCGGGUGAGUCUGGAUGAUCCGGGUCAGGGUCUAGGUGAUUCGGGCAGGUCAACUGUGCUAGGGGGCUGCUCGAGAUGAACUCGAAAAUGGGGAGAAAUUCGAAGAUUUCGUGGAUUUUGGAUGGAUUUCGAGGGUGAGAUGGUGGGGAAAGGCAAGAUCCACGAGUUACACAACGAAUCCAUGGAUCAAAAUCAACAAAACAUCAUCAAAACCAAGAAAUCACAAAAAAAAUUGGGGGCUAUCUUGGUGGGGAUUUUCGGAUUUAGGACGAAAUCAACAAAAUCAAGCUAGAAAAAGAGGGGUAGGGGCUCCAAAAAUGUGAUCAACGUGGCUCAUGAUACCAAGAUGAUGUAGGGUAGAACCCUAGAGGCCGAUCUUUCACGUUUGGAGAGGAUCCCUACGAAGAAUAUGAAGAACACGAGAAGGGGAAUGAGAGAAAAACACGAGAAAUCACUCAACCAACAUGAACAAAGUCACACAUGUGCUAGAUCAUCGAGGCACGAGGUAAUACAAGAUCCAAAUCCAACAAGAGAUGGUACAAAGGGUAACGGUUCUUCUCCGUGAGGAGGUCUUUAUGGUCUUCUCCGGAUGGAGGUCUUGAAUCUAGGUGGAUCUUCUCCGAAGAGGUGUCGGUCCCUCACGAGGAGCGGAUCUAGAUGGAUGAGCGAGGCUCUAUCUCAAUGCUAAGUCUCGAAAGGAGGAGGAGGAGUCCUAUAUAUAGACUAGGGGGUGAAGGGGUACAUGGGCUUAUCCCAACAUGCGCACGCAGGCGGGGUCCGGAUGAUUCGGAUGAGGAGUCGGAUGAUCCGGGUGAUGAGGAUACAAACCUGGGGUCGGGUCAUAGGCCUGACCUACACGUCCUACCCAAGGUCACUACCCCAGAAGAUAAGAAGACCAAGAAUCCACUCGACGACCUAGUCACUCGACCAUCUUUCCUCACCGUCACUCGACCAUAUGGGGAAUCACUCGACUAUAUCGAAGACCAGGAGUCGAAAGAACGCACAACGGCCGGGCAUUCACUCCUUAGUCUUCAUGAGCAUUAAGAGUAUUUAAGACUGCCGUUACCUGUAACGCCCUUACUUUAUGUACAUUAAGCCCUUUGUAAUGGAGGUGGGCGGGGGUCCUGGCACACUCUAUAUAAGCCACCCCCUCCUCUGGGACAAGGGUUCGCACCCCCUGUAAGACAACACACAUAAUCCAAUCGACCGCCUUCGGGCACCGAGACGCAGGGCUGUUACUUCCUCAGGGAAGGGCCUGAACUCGUAAACCUCAUGUGUACAUCUUCGCCAUAGCUGAGAUCUUGCCUCUCCAUACCUACCCCCCCUUCUACUGUCAGACUUAGAACCACGACAGUUGGCGCUCACCUUGGGGCAGGUGUCUUAGCGACUUAUUGGCGAAGUUGCAAUUUUUUCCGAUCAUCAUCAUGGUUUUCAACGGCGAGAUGGUUGAGGGCCGCGAGAUCCGUCUCGGCGCGCUCGUUUUCGUCGCCGAUGACUCGGCGUGGCUCCAGGAAGCUCCGCUCAAUGUCGAGGCGCUCCCCGUCCGAGGGGCGACGCACUUUCGCGCGUGCGUUCGUGGCGUCCUUCUUCGGCAGCCGUCGACCCAGUAUCAGUCGGCUCCGAUGACAUCUCCCCUCCCCGUUAUUCGUCGCUGCAAGUGAUCCGGUCGGUCGUGGCUUCAGCGAUGGGUGAGGCAUGCGGUGACUCGACGUUCGGCCACUCAUCAAGUCGCGGCAAUCGAGCUCGACGAAACUCUCCACGGCCUGUUCGAUCUGUCAACUGGCUCUGCGAAGACGGCGUCCGAGUGCGAUAGCAGCGAUCCGGCGGCUGAAGUCCUGAUGGUCGAUGGUCCGCGUGGCCCACCUGGCUUUCGCCGCGAGGAUGGGGAAGAGGCUGGUGGCGAUCCAUCACGGGUCCAUGAGGAGUACCAUCCCGAACCUCUCUCUUCGUAGCAGAGAGAGGAUCUUCGUGGUCGCAACAUGGACACACUCCACACGCCCAUCGUUGGGGAAACUCCCGAGGCUCGGGCCUUGGAGGAGGCGCGCUUGGCUAACUUGGCUGAGCGCACUCGACUGGAAAACCUGCAGCGCGCUCUCGACGAGCGAGCCCAGGAUCGAGUUCCUGAUUCCAGUCGACAGCAGCUUUUCCCACCUCCACCUAAGGUAUACCGUACUCCGAUUCAGAACCUCACUGUUGCGGCCCGAAUUGCAGAGUCGAUUCAACCUUCCCAGUCAGAGGCUUGCCGAGGGUUGGAGCAAAUCCGGGCCCUGCUCUGAGCGGCAGGAGAGCAGAAUUCUGCGGUGUCUCAGUCGCGGAAUAGGAUAUACAGCAGAUCCGUGGUAGCAGAUACAAUUCAGUCGGUCCAUAGCCCAAGAUCACCACCACAGCAUAAAGGACGUGGGUAGUACGAUCGUCAGUUCGUCCGCGACAAUCGUCGUCGAGUGCCAACGCCUCCUGCGAGGAGUGCGUCGUACGUGCCUCGGCAGAACGAUGACAGACGCCAUCACAUGGACGAGCGCAGAGUUCCGGUCAACCCAAGGGAGCCGGGCUUCGAUGCGAGAUCCAUUCUCGUCCAAGGCCUGGUCGACCGGAAUAGAGCACACAGAGAAGACUCGGGCAGAGAUCCUCCGAGUGGCAGCAGGUCACAUGUUUCAGGCCCAGAGUGUUUCAGCAGAGCCAUCAGGGCUCCAGUGAUUCCUCCCAACUUCAGAUUAGCAACAGGAGUCAGCAAGUUCACUGGAGAAUCCAAGCCUUAAACUUGGCUUGAGGAUUACCGAGUGGCUGUGCAAAUUGGAGGCGGAAACGACGAGAUAGCAAUGAAGCAUCUCACUCAUAUGUUGGAAGGGUCAGCCCGAGCCUGGUUGACUCAGUUGGCCCCAGACAGUAUACACAGCUGGGAAGAGCUGUCUCGAGUGUUCGUAUGAACCUUUGAGGGCACGUGCAAGCGGCCAGCAGGGCUUCCCGAGUUGCAACAUUGUGUGCAAAAGCCGAAUGAAACUUUGAGGGAAUUCAUUCAGAGGUGGACCACUUUGCAUCACACCGUGGAGAAUGUAUCAGAGCAUCAGGCGGUGUGCGCUUUCAAGGAAGGCGUCAAGUAUCGAGAGUUGAUUCUGAAGUUCGGUCGGACUGGGGAUAUGACAUUGACCCGGAUGAUGGAGAUAGCCACCCGGUAUGCUAACGGAGAAGAAGAGGAUCGACUCUGAAGCGAUAAGAGUAAACCAGUCGGCCAAGAGGCCGGUGGAGGUGGUUCCAGUCGGAAGCAAAAGCGCAAAGCCGAGCCAGCGGCACCUGGGGAGAUUGCAGCAGUGGCUCAAGGAAAGUUUAAGGGAAAACCUAAGGGGCCCUGGCCUCCUAAGAAGGUAAAGGAUCAAGCAGGAAAUGAUGUGCUGGACUUGCCGUGUCACAUCCACACGAAGAAAGAUGAGGAAGGUAAUCUGAUUUACCCAAAGCAUACCACUCGACAAUGUCGACUCCUGAUCCAACAGUUCCGGGAGAAACAUCCCAAUGAGAAGGACAAGGAGUCGGACAGAGAUGAGGAGGAAGAGGAAGAUGACGGUUACCCCAAGGUCAAUUCCACCCUCAUGAUUUUUGCCGAUGUUGAGAGCAAGAGUCCGUUGAAAGUCAUCAACAGAGAAGUGAAUAUGGUUUCUCCGGCGACGAUGACCACGCACCUGAAAUGGUCCCAGACGGCCAUCACAUUCGACCAGUCAGACCAUCCUGCUCGCGUAGUCACCCCCGGGAGGCAAGCGCUGGUGGUCGACCCAGUGGUUGGUGGCACUCGACUGACUAAAGUGCUGAUGGAUGGAGGUAGCGGCCUGAAUAUCCUGUAUGCUGAAACCUUGAAGGGGAUGGGCAUCCCGAUGUCCAAGCUUAGCGAGAGCAACAUGAGCUUUCACGGUGUUAUUCCCGGAAAGAAGGCCGAGUCACUCGGCCAGAUCACUCUCGACGUGGUUUUCGGUGACUCCAAGCAUUACCGGAAAGAAAAGUUGACAUUUGAAGUCGUAGAUUUCCAGAGUGCUUAUCAUGCCAUCCUGGGGAGACCGGCGUACGCACGUUUCAUGGCUCGACCGUGUUAUGUGUACCUCAAGCUGAAGAUGCCUGGCCCCAAAGGUGUGAUCACGGUCACCUAGCAAUCGGCAAAAAGCAGAAGAAUGUUUCCAGAAAGGUUCCAAAAUCGCCGAUGCACAUAUGGCGGCAGUUGAAUUCCAAGAGUAUCAGAAGAGUGCAGAUCCGAGUGAUUUGCUCCGAGCCAAGAAGCCUGCGACAGACUCUGCAUUUCAGUCGACUGGUGAAACAAAGCCGAUUCAUAUCACCCGACCGAUCCCAAUGCUGCACCGACUCAUAUAUCAAUGACGCUCGACAGCAAAUAGGAAGAAGCGCUCAUCCAGUUCCUCCGUGAGAAUUGGGACAUCUUUGCAUGGAAACCCUCUAACAUGCCAGGUGUACCCAGAGAACUGGCUGAGCACCGUUUGUGUGUCAACCCCAAAGUAAAACCUGUCAAAGAGCACCUAGGGCGGUCCACCAUUCAGAAGAGAAAAGCAAUCAGCGAAGAAGUGGCUCGACUGUUGGUAGCAGAGUUCAUCCGUGAAAUCUACCACUCCGAGUGGCUUGCCAAUGUCAUCAUGGUCCCCAAGAAGGACGAUUCACUUUGCAUGUGCAUUCAUUUCAAGCAUAUCAAUCGGGCCUGCCCGAAAGAUCACUUCCCUCUCCCCCGUAUCGAUCAGAUUGUUGACUCGACUGCGGGGUGUGAGCGCUUGUCUUUUUUAGAUGCAUAUUCCGGGUAUCAUCUGAUCCGACUAUAUGGUCCCGAUGAAAUAAAAACAGCCUUCAUCACCCCAUUCGGGUGCUUUUGCUAUGUCACCAUGCCAUUCAGUCUUAAAAAUGCCGGAGCCACGUUCGUGAGAAUGAUCCAGAAGUGCCUACUCACCCAAAUCAGUCGGAAUGUGGAGGCACACAUGGAUGACAUCGUGGUCAAGUCUCGCAAAAGUUCCGACCUAUUGACUGAUCUCGCAGAAACCUUUGCCAACCUAAGAAGGUAAGAUAUCAAGCUUAAUCCGUCAAAGUGCACAUUCGGAGUUCCAGGAGGAAAGCUGCUCGGUUUUGUCGUUUCCAAACGAGGGAUCGACGCCAAUCCAGAAAAAGUUGAUACCAUCCUCCGAAUGAAACGCCCCGUGCGAGUGCAUGAUGUUCAGAAGCUGAUUGGUUGUUUGGCCGCCUUGAGUCGAUUCAUCUCUCAUCUCGGUGAAAAGGCCUUGGCUCUUUACCGAUUGAUGAAGAAAUCUGAUAAGUUCGAGUGGUCUGAAGAAGCUGAUGCAGCGUUUGCAGAGCUCAAAGCCCUGCUUUCCACCCAGCCGGUGCUCGCUGCGCCAAUCAGCAAAGAGCCUUUACUGCUUUACAUUGCAGCCACUAGACAAGUUGUCAGUACAGUACUCACGGUCGAUCAAGAAGAGGAAGGAAAAGCUUACAAGGUUCUACGCCCAGUUUAUUAUCUCUCUGAAGUUUUGACUCCGUCCAAGCAACGCUAUCCUCAUUAUCAGAAGUUUGUCUAUGGAAUUUACAUGACUAUGAAGAAGGUUGCACAUUACUUCUCUGAUCACUCUAUUAUAGUCGUCAGCGACGCACCGUUAUCUGAGAUCCUAAAUAACAGAGAUGCAACUGGUCGAGUAGCAAAAUGGGCGAUUGAACUCCUUCCACUGGACAUCAAGUUUGAGCCAAAGAAAGCUAUCAAGUCCCAAGCAAUCGCAGAUUUCCUUGCCGAGUGGAUUGAACAGCAACUACCGACUCAAGUUCACUCGGAACAUUGGACUAUGUUCUUCGAUGGCUCCAAGAUGCUAAAUAGAUCAGGUGCUGGAGUAGUAUUGGUGUCCCCCCGUGGAGACAAGCUCAAUUACGUUCUCCAGAUUCACUUUGAUUCCUCCAAUAAUGAAGCAGAAUACAAAGCACUUCUAUAUGGGUUGCGUAUGGCCAUUUCACUUGGCGUCCGUCGCCUCAUGGUGUAUGGCGAUUCAAAUUUGGUGGUUAACCAGGUGAUGAAGGAAUGUGAUGUCAGAAGUCCAGCCAUGACUGGUUACUGCAAUGCUGUCAGGAAGCUGGAAAAGAAGUUUGAGGGGUUGGAACUUCACCAUGUGCCCCGAUUGAAAAAUCAAGCUGCUGAUGAGUUGGCGAAGAUAGGUUCCAAGAUAGAGGCCAUCCCCCGCAAUGUAUUACUGGAACAUAUCCAUUCACCUUCAGUUCAGGAGGAUCCCUUCACAGAAGAGUUGCCACAGCCCAAGAGUGCUGCAGAUCCGACUGAAGUUGACAUCCCAGCCGGGGUCGACUUAGUCAUGGAGGUUCUGGUCAUCACUCCCGACUGGACAGUGCCGUACAUCGCAUACAUUCUGAGGAAGGAACUUCCGGAGGAUGAAGAAGAGGCUCGACAGGUCGUCCGGUGAUCUAAGGCUUUUACUGUGAUAAAGGGGCAGUUGUUCAGAGAAAGUGCAACUGGAGUUUGCCAGAAGUGUAUCACACCAGAGGAAGGUCGAGUGAUCCUCAAUGAUAUCCACUCGGGGACCUGUGGUCACCAUGCGUCCUCUUGGACCAUCGUGGCCAAAGCAUACCGAGCCGGAUUUUACUGGCUGCGGGCCAACGAGAUGGCUAAGGAAAUAGUGGACAAGUGUGAAGGCUGCCAGUUUUACUCCAACAUGUCUCAUAAACCUGCGUCGGCUCUAAAAACAAUUCCACUCGUCUGGCCUUUUGCCGUCUGGGGACUGGAAAUGGUUGGACCUCUGAGGACAGGCAGGAGUGGAUUUACUCAUGUGCUGGUAGCAGUCGACAAGUUCACCAAGUGGAUCGAAGCCAAGCCCAUCAAAAGCCUUGAAGCAAGCACAACCGUGAGUUUCAUCAGGGAACUUAUAUUCAGAUAUGGCAUUUCGCACAGCAUCAUCACGGAUAACGGCUCGAACUUCGAUUCUGAAGAAUUCAAAGCCUUUUGUGCCUCCCAAGGCAUGAGAGUCGACUACGCUUCGGUCGCUCAUCCUCAGUCGAAUGGGCAGGCCGAGCGGGCAAAUGGAUUGAUUCUCAAAGGAUUGAAGCCUCGGUUGAUGCGUGACCUGAAACAUGCAGCAGGAGCCUGGGUCGACGAGCUCCCAUCCGUACUGUGGGGGUUGAGGACAACCCCUAACCAGUCAACUGGAAGGACUCCAUUCUUCUUAGUCUAUGGAGCUGAAGCCAUGCUCCCCAUUGAUUUGCUCCACAAUGCACCUCGAGUCGAACUCUUCUCAAAAGAAGAAGCAGAACAUGCUCGGCAAGAUGCAGUCGAUCUCUUGGAAGAAGAAAGAGAGAUGGCUUUGAUCCGGUCGACCAUUUAUCAGCAAGACUUGCGUAGAUUUCAUGCUAGAAACGUGAGGGGUCGAGCAUUUCAAGAAGGAGACCUGGUUCUUCGAGUGGACCAGCAAAGACCUCACAAGCUUGCUCCUGCUUGGGAAGGCCCUUUCGUCAUCACCAAGGUGCUCCACAACGGAGCAUACCGUCUCUUCAACGUCGAACAUAAUAAAGAUGAGCCGCGCGCCUGGAAUGCGGAUCUGCUCCGCCCUUUCUAUUCUUAAAUAUUUAGAAUGAUGAGAUGUAAUAAGAAAUACCUUUUAGAUUGACUAUCAAAAGACAUAAUUUACUUCUUCCAAACGAUUGUUGUUUAUUUCUUUUGUACGAAUUACCUUAGCUGCGAAUCUAUUUCGCCUAAGACGAAGUGAUAAAAAUCCUACCGAGUGAUGAGUCUGCCUCUCACUCGGGGGCUUAGCUGCAGCCCAGUGCUCUCCUAAGUGAUAAAAAUCCUACCGAGUGAUGAGUCUGCUUCUCACUCGAGGGCUUAGCUGCAUCCCAGUGCUCGCCUAAGUGAUAAAAAUCCUACCGAGUGAUGAGUCUGCCUCUCACUCGGGGGCUUAGUUGCAGCCCAGUGCUCGCCUAAGUGAUAAAAAUCCUACUAAGUGAUGAGUCUGCCUCUCACUCAGAGGCUUAGCUNNNNNNNNNNNNNNNNNNNNNNNNNNNNNNNNNNNNNNNNNNNNNNNNNNNNNNNNNNNNNNNNNNNNNNNNNNNNNNNNNNNNNNNNNNNNNNNNNNNNNNNNNNNNNNNNNNNNNNNNNNNNNNNNNNNNNNNNNNNNNNNNNNNNNNNNNNNNNNNNNNNNNNNNNNNNNNNNNNNNNNNNNNNNNNNNNNNNNNNNNNNNNNNNNNNNNNNNNNNNNNNNNNNNNNNNNNNNNNNNNNNNNNNNNNNNNNNNNNNNNNNNNNNNNNNNNNNNNNNNNNNNNNNNNNNNNNNNNNNNNNNNNNNNNNNNNNNNNNNNNNNNNNNNNNNNNNNNNNNNNNNNNNNNNNNNNNNNNNNNNNNNNNNNNNNNNNNNNNNNNNNNNNNNNNNNNNNNNNNNNNNNNNNNNNNNNNNNAAGUGAUAAAAAUCCUACCGAGUGAAUGAGUCUGCCUCUCACUCGGGGGCUUAGCUGCAGUCCCAUACUCGCCUAAGUUUGAAAAAUCCUACCGAGUGGUGAGCAAACCUCUCACUCGGGGGCUUAGCUGCGGUCCCGUACUCGCCUAAGUUUGAGAAAUCCUACCGAGUGGUGAGAAAACCUCCCACUCGGGGGCUUAGCUGCAGUCCCGUACUCGCCUAAGUUUGAAAAAUCCUACCGAGUGGUGAGCAAACCUCUCAUUCGGGGGCUUAGCUGCAGUCGCGUACUCGCCUAAGUUUGAAAAACCUUACCAGGUGGUUGACAGGAACGUCAAGACCAUUGCUGAGUGCCUUGCUGAUGAGCUGAUCAAUGCUACUCAAGGAUCAACCAAUUGGUUGACAGGAAUGUCAAGACCAUUGCUGAGUGUCUUGCUGAUGAGCUGAUCAAUGCUACUCAAGGAUCACCCGAUCGGCUGACUGGAACGUCAAGACCAUUGUUGAAUGCCUUGUUGAUGAGCUGAUCAAUGCUACUCGAGGAUCGCCCGAUCGGUCGACUGGAACGCCAAGACUAUGGUUGAAUGCCUCGCUGAUGAGCUGAUCAAUGUUGCUCAAGGAUCGCCCGAUCAGUCGACUGACCAUCCUUCUCCAGAAGCUGCAUCAAGCAAACAGACAACAAUUCGAGAGAAAAAUGAAUUUCGUUCGAAGAAAGACGCAAUAUAUGAGAUGAUAAAUCCAAAGUUUCUUAACCACGGAAUAAAGUGCUCGGGCAUCAGGCCCGAAGGAGUUUUAAUGGUUACAAAUUCACUCGGCAUCUCGAGGCAAAUAAAAGUGAGGCAUAUGUUUUUUAAUCACUCGGCUGGAGAAGGACUGGCCGGGUCGUAGAAGCUGUCGAGGUCGAUGCUGUCAGCGAUGCGAGUGGCUGCCUCGAGGAAGGUGUCCAUGAAGUCCUGGAAGGAGUACUUCUUAGUGUUUGCCACUUUGAGAGCUGCCAGUUUGUCUUCCUUAGCCUCCUUGCAGUGCACUCGGACCAAAAACAAGGCGACAUCAGCACCACAGCGGGCGGAAGAUUUCUUCCACUCUUGCACUCAGCCUGGAAUCUGAUUUAGUCGAGUCAUCAAAGACUCGAGAUCUUGAGACAUCUCCGCCCGAGGCCAGAGUUCAGCAUCCACCUGGGCCAUCGCCGCCUUCAGCCGAGCCAGAUAAGCAACCGCGCCAUCUAGGCGCGACUCCAAUCGAAGCAGAUUCAUUGCGGUGUCAUCUUUCACCGGAUAGUUGAUGAGGUCGAGACCCGUCUCCACCCGCCCAGUUUCAGCCUCAAAGUCCUGACACAGUUCUGUCCCAUUGCAAAAAGUGAUGAAUCGACGGCGUGACAACAAAGUUCAAUCGGCAACAAAGUGAUGAGUCGACUGAUCAUACCUUCAAGCUUCAGAACAAGUUUGGUGGCGAGUCGCUCCAGAUAGGACUCUAGCUUGUCGGUCUUGGUCUUGAGGCCGCCAACUUCAGUGGUCAGAUUUUCUUUGUCCUUCUUCAGCUGCUCGACUUCCCGAUUGGCGUCUGAGAUGGCAGCCUUGAGCUUCGCAAUCUCCUCCUCCAGUUUGCUGACCGAAGCCAGCUUCUGGUCCGCAAGCUUCGUCUUCUCGCGUGCUUCCUUCUGAGCGGUUGCCAGAUCCAGAUCCUUCUGCUCCAAAGCCUCCUUCAUCCUAUCUAAAGAAACAACACUCUUCAGACGGGACUGAAGUUGACGAUUUUCACUAUGCACAUCUGCUCGUGUGAAAUCAGUUGGUUCAAAGAGACUGAAGGAAAAACUAGUGUGAAGCAUGAAGCUGCAAAACAGGCAAAAUGGUCGAGUGAUUACCUCCCAUGAUAGCCGUUUCUUGUCGGGCUGUCUUCAGAUUCUUCUUCGCAAGUUCGAGGUCAAGUUCAACGCUGAUAUGCUUCUUCUUUAACUUGAUGAGCCGAGCUCCAAGAUCACAAGACCUCUGCAGCCAGAAAGACAGACAUGUCAGUCGACAGAUACAAGCAAUAGUGAAAGCAAAGAAUUACUCUAAGACUACUGCCGAGUCAAAUAUUCAACAGUAGUCUCGGGGACUACACCCAGUGGGUGCACUUAGCGUGCCCCACUGGAUCGGAUCAAUACUCAGCGUGAGUUCAAAAAAAGAAAAAGAGACAGAUACAUCAUUAGACCUCAGUCGACUGCCAGCAACCGACCAUGGUCUCGGGGACUACACCCAGUGGGUGCGUCUCCAAGUGCCCCCACUGAUUCGAAAAAGUGCAGAAUUGAAGAUUUCCUGAGUUCUAAGCAAAGGAACACCCAGUGGGUGAUCAGAUAUAAAGCGACAUUCAAAAGUUCAGUCAGAAUUUUGCUGACCUGGACAUUGGUCUGAAGGGCAGUGCUGGCAUUGUAAGCUAUCUGACUGGCUUCAUGCAUCACUUUCACUUGCUCCAUGACAAGAUUCGCCUGGCGAAGAGCUUCCCUAGCGGCACCCGGCGAGUCGUUUGGAGUCUGAUAUGUAGCAAAGAGGAAUGGCUCCAGAGGGGUCGAAGUAGUUGCCGGGUCGGAUGAGUGGAGUUGCACCGGUGCAGCAGGCGUCUGUGCAGUCGGCCCCGACGGACGAUAAGUCGUCAACGGGUUAGCGAAUGUGACGUUGGUCCGGACUAUCGCCUCGGCGCCGGUGUCGACUGAGGGACCUGGACUUCAAGCUUCUUCCUUCUUGAGCCUCCACUCUUCUUCCUCCUCUCCUAUAGAGGCACUUCUUCUUCGUCAUCAGGAAGCACAACAAUAUCUUGCGGAGCUACAUAAGAAGAGAAGUAUCAAAUUUUCAGUCAAUGGAUCACCCACUCGACUAAACAGAACUUGGUCGAAUGAACUUACCAGCUCGCGAGGUGGCCUCUUCGUCUCCUGGGGCCUUGUCAACGUCCAUGUCAGUAUCAACAGAGGUGGGGCUGGAAGGACACAAGAAUUGGUCGGUCAGAUCAAGAAAAUCUUCAGUCGACUUACAAAAACACAAACAAGAUACCCACCCUGAGGCAACGGGGAUGUCCAUCUUGAUGCGCGGAAAUGUCUUCCGGGCCUUGGAGGGAGCAACUUUAGGCUGCUUGGCCACCUUCUCCGUCGGCUCCGGAGUCGACGUCCGAGUGCGCUUCUGAGUAUUGGCACUCGGACCCACACCUUUCCCGCGCCCGCCAGCCGGAUCAUGCUGCUGUUUGGAUCGACGUUCGGAGCGCGGCCGCGAGUCGACUUCCUCCUCCUCGUCCGACUCCUCGCUCUCCUCCUCGUCGUCGUCUCCCUGAGAAUCCCACUCGGCACUAUCUUCCGUGCUGUCCUCCCCCUCCUGGGCCUGUUCCAAAGCCUGUUCACCAUUGGGCAUCGAAUGCAUCUCAGUGAACGCCUGCAGAACAAAUUGGUCGAACAAGAGUCGGUCAAUACCAAGUGCAGUCGGAGCAUGAAUGAGAAGCAGCCGGAACAAAAAGCAUACCUUGUCGGGUGGGUUUACGCUGCUAAAGGGAACAACUCGCCUGGAUCCUCUGGGAUUGUCCUGAUUGCCUGUGAUGCUCCUCAGCCACAAAGCCACCGUUUCAGACGGCACUUCUUCUGGAUGAACCAGAGCGGUGUCGUCCGGUCCGGAAUACAGCCACAUCGGGUGAUCGUGGGCCUGGAGAGGCUGGAUGCAUCAACUGAGGAACACCUCCAACAGAUCGAGACCCGUAACGCCAUCAUUGAUAAGCAGAACCACCCUAUCUACCAACAUCCUCGUCUCCAUGGUCUCGCCAAUAGUCACUUUCAGUGGAGCAGGAGUCUGGACUCGGUCAAAUGAGAAGUGGGGAAGGCCGGUCGACUGACCUGGAGACGCUACAUCUUGGCAAUAGAACCAAGUCGACUGUCAGCCUCUAACAGAGUCAGGAAGAGUCUGGACUUGCAGAAAGCACUCGCGAGGCCCCGAAGCUCGGAACAAGUUCAGUUUCGAGUAGAUGAUUUUUCAUAUAAAAAACUUUUUCAUCCGAGUUAGUAUGCAAAAGUUAUGCCCAUUUUUACAAAUUCUCGAGAGAUUUUGCAAAUAAAGUCGAAAUUCAUAUUUGCAAAUUUUCCCAACAACUAGACCACAUAUCACAUGGGAAACUUAUUUUAUUUUAUUUUUUUGACAUUUUCAUCAUUUUCUUUUAUUUAUUUUAAAACUGAAAAGNNNNNNNNNNNNNNNNNNNNNNNNNNNNNNNNNNNNNNNNNNNNNNNNNNNNNNNNNNNNNNNNNNNNNNNNNNNNNNNNNNNNNNNNNNNNNNNNNNNNNNNNNNNNNNNNNNNNNNNNNNNNNNNNNNNNNNNNNNNNNNNNNNNNNNNNNNNNNNNNNNNNNNNNNNNNNNNNNNNNNNNNNNNNNNNNNNNNNNNNNNNNNNNNNNNNNNNNNNNNNNNNNNNNNNNNNNNNNNNNNNNNNNNNNNNNNNNNNNNNNNNNNNNNNNNNNNNNNNNNNNNNNNNNNNNNNNNNNNNNNNNNNNNNNNNNNNNNNNNNNNNNNNNNNCCGGUACUAAUGCCUCAAACCCCAUUAGUACCGAUUGGUGGCUCGAACCGGGGCUAAAGGUCUAACCUUUAGUCUCGGUUGGUGCCACGAACCGGUACUAAUGGGCAUCGCACCCUUUAGUCCCGGUUCGUGGCACCAACCGGAACUAAAAGGUCCAGACGAACCGGGACAAAUGGCCCACGUGGCCCCUGGGCUCACGAACCGGGACUAAUGCCCCCAUUAGCCCCGGUUCUGGACUGAACCGGGACUAAUGGGCUAACCCGGCCUAGACCAAAGCCCUCUUUUCUACUAGUGUACUGCAGGCCGGCUCUUCGAGAACAGAUCGACCCCAGAACAGGUAUGAAAUUAUACUGUCAUUUAUCGUUUUGUUUUGGUUCAACCGGAACCACUUCAUGAAAACAAAACGGCGAAUUUUCUCUGAGCAGUGACAUUUAGUUUUCUUGCACCCACUUCUGCUCAUAGUUGUCCAGGAACUAUCUUUAUUUUUUUUGGGCACAUAGUGAGCUUGAACUUGGUGCCUUUCUUCAUUAUUAUGUUAAACUGGGCAUUAUGCAGAUUUUUGGUUUUUUACUUGAAGAUUUUAUUGGAUCAAUUAUGUAUUUUUUUAUGAGUGGUACAUGUGCUUUUUAUUUGAAACUUUUUGCUCUGGGGAUUUUUAGCUUACCACUUAAUGUGUACCCUUGCUGCAUCUAAGUACUUGUUUUAUGCUGAUCUUCCUGAUCAGAUGGCUGCAGUUGGCCCCGAACUUAAACCAACUUUUCAACAGCAGCAGUUUUUUGUACUUCUAGGAAGUAAACCUCCCCGGACCCAUCCUUUGAUAGGAAAAAAGAGGCCAAUGGCCUACAAAACAUUCAGUUUAUACAAACAUCAAAAAUCAGAAUCAACUAAGGGAAACAGCAGAUUUUUUACAACACUUUUUACCAAGUUUGAAUACUAAUCAGGGUGGUGUACUGCUACUGCAGGCCGGCUCUUCAAAAACAGAUCAACGCCACCACAGGUACGGAAUUAUACAAUCAUUUAUCUUUUGUUUUGGUUUAACUGAAAUGACUUCAUGAAAAUGAAAUGGCAGAAAUUUUCUGUGACAAGUAACAAUGUAACAUUCAGUAACGGUUACCGUACAUCCUAUUCUCUUUAUGUCUGUACAGAAAUUAUGUUUGUUUUUUCGAGCACAUGUAUGUUAAACUGAGAAUGGGCUUAUAGGCCAUCCCUUUGAUCAUCCAUUGUAGUAAUUUCGUUAACUAAAAAUGUGCCUAGCUAGCCACUUAUUCCCAGUUCCCCACUAGGACAGAAAUGAACAUGUGCAUGUAAAUCAUUAGGAAACUGCUGCUACUAUUCUCUGCAGCUAAAAAUCGACGAGCUGCAAUCAGUUUUGCCGACAUCUUAGUCAGAGGAACUCUCAAUUUUCUUCUGCUGCUAGCUUGUUUAGCUGACUGAGAUCGGUGUUAUAUGCUAGUACUUUUUUAACUUGUGAAUUAUAUGCGUCUCUUGAUACAUGUAUGUAUUGCUUUCGGGGGUGAUUUCUGCUACUGUGUAUUGCAGUUGGUCUGUUCUUGUCCUGGCCUACAUGUGAUCUCACAAGCUACUGCUGCUAACUAAUUAACUGCUUCAUUGCAUAUUGCUUCUUUUGAUAAGAAAUGUUUGUUCAACUUGUAUGCUCACAGAGUGCAUAUUUCGAUAACUUACAUUUUCAACACUGUUGGCUGAAAUUAGUAUAAUUUCCCCCAUAUAUAUGAUGUUGGAAUUCUUGUGGGUGUCCAUAUACAAGAAAAUUAUUACUAUCUUUCAGUAUGCUCGUAUUCAUCUUCUUAAGUAGCCAAGUUCUUUAGGAUUAUCAAUCCUCUUAUUUAUGACUAUAUGCUCAUUGUAUGUUCCUUCUUCACAAGUGAGAUGUCUCUUGUAACUAAAUUUUGUGGGAGCAUAUUUGCAGGCCUAGUGUAUUCUAUAUUGAAAUGGUUAAGUUUGCCACUGAAGUGUUAGGAAUGACCAUUAUGAUGCUUCAAACUGUGUAUUCAGAAUUUCAGAUAUAUUUACUUUUGUUGUGGUGUGAGUUAAUUCCAACUUUUAAGGACAGACGCAGCUACUUUUUUUCUGUAGUAUAUGGUUUUUAUUACUUCAUAUAACAAGUUUAUGGUCCAUGGACAAAUCGCUACAAAAAUAUCUUCAACAUGUCCAAAGGGAGUUUUGUAUAAAAUCAACUUUCUAAGUUCAACCUAAACGACUACAAGAAAACAAAUGGGUGAAUUUUCUGUGACUUGUAAGAUUUACAAGCUUUCUUACGUCCUUUUUCGGUAUGUAUAGUGUAUGAGAAAUUUUCUGUACUUUUAUUAGCACAUAUGGUUGUUUCAAUAUAUGAUAAACUGAAUAUGACAUUUACGGUUAUAUUUUAUCAUCAUAUUGAUAUUUAUUCCUAGCCACUUGAUGUGAUCUUGCUUGAAAAGAUUGCAUAUUAUGAUCUAUCAUGAGUGAAAUUUAAACAUAUUUUCUCCGUGUGGGUGCAGCUAUAACAUCGGCAGUUCAAAGAUAAGGCGCAAUGGCAGGGAACAGAGGAAAAGGGAUAGUUGAAGAAGCUGCACCCAUCCUUGACAUAGGUGUUACUAGCUACCUCUACUGAAAUAUGCAUGCCUUAUUAUCAUAAGCACUGUCUUAGUACAAAAAUGUGUGUAGAUCUUAAGAGACAAUAUUCCCCAUGGCUGCCUUCAUUAGUUACUUUGAUGAUAAUCAAAUGUGCAUGGUGCACCAUAUGAAAAACACAAUAUCUUCUGUAUAGAUGUACAACAACAACAACAACAAAGCCUUUAGUCCCAAACAAGUUGGGGUAGGCUAGAGGUGAAACCCAUAAGAUCUCGCAACCAACUCAUAGCUCUGGCACAUGGAUAGCAAGCUUCCAUGCACCCCUGUCCAUAGCUAGCUCUUUGUCGAUACUCCAAUCCUUUAGGUCUCUCUUAACGGACUCCUCCCAUGUCAAAUUCGGUCGACCCCGCCCUCUCUUGACAUUCUCCGCACGCUUUAGCCGUCCGCUAUGCACUGGAGCUUCUGGAGGCCUGCGCUGAAUAUGCCCAAACCAUCUCAGACGAUGUUGGACAAGCUUCUCCUCAAUUGGUGCUACCCCAACUCUAUCUCGUAUAUCAUCAUUCCGGGCUCGAUCCUUCCUCGUGUGGCCACACAUCCAUCUCAACAUACGCAUCUCCUCCACACCUAACUGUUGAACAUGUCGCCUUUUAGUCGGCCAACACUCCGCGCCAUACAACAUUGCGGGUCGAACCGCCGUCCUGUAGAACUUGCCUUUUAGCUUUUGUGGCACUCUCUUGUCACAGAGAAUGCCAGAAGCUUGGCGCCACUUCAUCCACCCGGCUUUGAUUCGAUGGUUCACAUCUUCAUCAAUACCCCCAUCCUCCUGCAACAUUGACCCCAAAUACCGAAAGGUGUCCUUCCGAGGUACCACCUGGCUAUCAAGGCUAAUCUCCUCCUCCUCACACCUAGUAGUACUGAAACCGCACAUCAUGUACUCGGUUUUAGUUCUACUAAGCCUAAACCCUUUCGAUUCCAAUGUUUGUCUCCAUAACUCUAACUUCCUAUUUACCCCCGUCCGACUAUCGUCAACUAGCACCACAUCAUCCGCAAAGAGCAUACACCAUGGGAUAUCUCCUUGUAUAUCUCUUGUGACCUCAUCCAUCACCAAUGCAAAAAGAUAAGGGCUCAAAGCUGACCCCUGAUGCAGUCCUAUCUUAAUCGGGAAGUCAUCGGUGUCGACAUCACUUGUUCGAACACUUGUCACAACAUUAUCGUACAUGUCCUUGAUGAGGGUAAUGUACUUUGCUGGAACUUUGUGUUUCUCCAAGGCCCACCACAUGAAAUUCCGCGGUAUCUUAUCAUAGGCCUUCUCCAAGUCAAUGAACACCAUAUGCAAGUCCUUCUUUUGCUCCCUAUAUCUCUCCAUAAGUUGUCGUAUCAAGAAAAUGGCUUCCAUGGUCGACCUCCCAGGCAUGAAACCAAACUGAUUUUUGGUCACGCUUGUCAUUCUUCUUAAGCGGUGCUCAAUGACUCUCUCCCAUAGCUUCAUUGUAUGGCUCAUCAGCUUAAUUCCACGGUAAUUAGUACAACUCUGAACAUCCCCCUUGUUCUUGAAGAUUGGUACUAAUAUACUCCGUCUCCAUUCUUCUGGCAUCUUGUUUGCCCGAAAAAUGAGGUUGAAAAGCUUGGUUAGCCAUACUAUCGCUAUGUCCCCGAGACCUUUCCACACCUCAAUGGGGAUACAAUCAGGGUCCAUCGUCUUGCCUCCUUUCAUCCUUUUUAAAGCCUCCUUCACCUCAGACUCCUGGAUGCUGGUCUCAUCAAAGGAGUCGUCCAGUUCAAUGGUAGAACUCUCAUUCUUCCUAUUGAACAGCUUGUCGAAGUACUCCCGCCAUCUAUGCUUAAUCUCCUCGUUCUGUAUAGAUGUAAUUAUUCUAAAUCAUGUUUCAUUGUGUAUACAGAAUAUCCCUUCUCCGAUUGCCACCUUUAAGAUGGGAAACAUACACAAGCUCUCUCAGAACUACGAGAAGUGUGUGAAGGAUAUUAGAGCUGCUAUGGAUACCACCGAUGUGAAGUUUACAAUCGUUGAUGGUGGAAAGGACACAACUGUUCCUGUCACUCCGGGCGAAGAUAACACAAGCCGUGGGGUAUAUGUGAUUAAAAUCACAGACGGCCAGUACAACCUCUCUCUGGUGCCUACUAAACACCAGGCUUGGUUCAGGGGGAUUGUUACUAACAAUGGAGGCAGAUAUGAGAUUGACAAGAUGCUAACCAAGAUGAUGAAGGGCUCUACAUCACUUCAUACCGAUGGGCAGUAUCCACAUUUGCUGUCUGGUGGAGAUAAAGUUGAAGCACUAAAGGUGGGAUUUCAUCGAUUGCUCCAUGCCUUCCCUGCUUUGGCUACUCUUGGGAAGGAUGAGAACAAAAAGGUCACGUCCGAGCAUAAGGAGGCUUUGGCUGUGCUAAUAGUCAUGUUCUUCGAAGGGCCACGUUUCCCUGAUGUGGAAAAUUUGGUGAAGCGCCUACUGACCCGUAUGGAGGACGGUGUGGUUGGGGAAUCGAAUGGAAAACUGAUAACUAGCUGGUGUUAUACCAGCGAAAUUUUUUACGAUGCAACUAAGAAUGAUAGAAGAAUUGUCAUCUCACAUGAGACCUCGGAGGUGGUGAAGAAGGUUAAAAAUGGUUUCCGAAUCUUGUGCCGGACAAUGUGGGAUAAAUCCUUGGAUGGACAGGGAGGCACCACAGGAAGCAGCAAAGGCAGAGCCAGCAGCAGCAAAAGCAAGAAGUGAAGAAGCAAAAGCAAGAAAUGAAGAAUUGAAGGGUUAGUACCUCACUAAUCAAUCCGCUCGUUGUAUGAAAUGGACUCUACUGCUCGCACUAUUUCCAUUACUAUGCUUCAUUACUUAGUGAAGAUUGCAGUGAACCACUCUAUGUAUUGUCUACUACUCGGUUGAUAUUCUGUACGAUUAAUAUCCUGCAGUUAGUUUGUGUGUUCACUUGACGUUCUCUUUUGCACAAGCUAACUAAAUGCACAUGUUAUAUGUACGAGUUUUGCUUAUGUCCGUAUUCUUCUUCUUCACAUGAUGCACAAAAUGUUUAAAUUUGAUGGUACAUAAGAUAAAAUAUUGUAAACAGAAUAAUAUAAGAUGCAGCAUACAUGGCAGAUUCUUCCGGUCCUCAGUGUUUCAAGUCAUGUAAACUCUUCACAGCCUUCCAGGUAACCUUGACAGAAAUUUUUGUGGAAUCAUGAAGAUACACCACUUCAUGCACUGUUCCAUGAUACCCCGAACCAAAUCGACCUUCCCACAUACAACACGGCAGCUCUUGAGAAAAACCACCAUC